GGAAGAGGAAGAGGAGGAAGAGGAAGAAGGGUAAAACCGUCAAUUUACGUUAUUAAUUAACCAUGGUUAAGUUUUUAACUGUGGUUAACGAAAUUUUUUUAACAGACCUUAAUGGUAGGGACAUAUCUACAUAACUUAAGACUUUUGGAGAAACAACUUAUGGAAUUUUCGUUUUGCAGGAAUAUUUCUGCAAUUCACUAUGUUUGCAGGGACGUGUAUGCAAAUAACCUAAUUUUUUUUAUCGUAUUAGCCGGAACGUGAUAGCAUACUCCGUAGAAAUUCUAUCCAGAGUGUAGUAGCAUCUCUCUUAUUUUAUGCGGACUAUCACGAACAAAAUAUUUCCCGCUGACUUCUCCUUGACAGUGGCCCAAAUCUGCUAGCGAAACGGGUUGAAAAUGGGUUGAAUCGGGUUGUCAAGGAGACCCAAACCCAACCCGCUGUGGGGAGACGAAGGGUUUUGUAACCUCUCCCAUCAAUGAUGAAAACUCAAGGGUUAUGAAACUCUCAUGAGUUAUGGGGUGACUUUUGGGCUUAUGGCUCAUUAUGAGGGUGAGUUAAUGUGUCUCAUAAUGAGAGAAUUAGCGUGUGUCUAGGUUCAUUGUAUUUAGGAGCUUAUAAGUAGUGGAGUUUUGGUUAAGGUCAAAACACACAAGAGAGAGUGUGUAUGUGAGUUGUAAUUCUCAUUUUCUAAGUAGUGUAGUACUUAGCUUUUUGAACAACCUCUGCCUUUCUCUUUGUCAUUUCCUUUACAUACUUAGUCGUAGGACGUGAAGAUCCGGACUAGCAAUAGGGACAAAGACUUGUCCAUCUUCGAGCAGGAAGACGAGCACCGUACGGACUUUGCGAACAGAACUGCUAAGCCUGUGACAGGACGCUUCUAAUCUUGGUGUCAGGUUUUAUGCGGACGUUUUGUAUUAAUGGCAUUGUCCUGUUUUGACUAUUAUUAAACCACUACAUGACGUUUCGUCCCCUUGACUGCUGUCAGACGCAUAGACACACAAAGGCCCUGCCGACGCCUACUGCAUACCUCACCCUAAUUAUUGAAAACCAUAAACAAUAGUGAGAGGAGGCGAUCGCCUAACAACAGAUGGAAGCGGAUCAGGCUUCCGCGGCGGACCCUCGGAGCGGGUUCUGCCGUGAGACGAAAACCUUCCGCAGCCUCCGCCCUGCCGCCGCCCUUCCGCCGGAGUCCCUGCCCUUGUCGGCCGCCGGAUUCGCCUUCUCCCUCCUCCCUUCUCCUCUCCCGUCCAACCCCGCGCUGGUCGACGCCGCCACCGGCGCCGCCCUCUCCUUCUCGGAGCUCCUCUCGCGUACCCGGUCCCUGGCCGCCGCCCUCCGCUCCGCCUCCGUCGGCCUCUCCCCGGGCGCCGUCGCCUUCGUCCUCGCCCCGCCCUCCUUCGACGUCCCCGUUCUCUACUUGGCGCUCCUCUCCGUCGGCGCCGUCGUCUCCCCCGCCAACCCCCUCUCGACCCCCGCCGAGAUCGCUCACCAAAUUCGCCUCUGCAAGCCCUCCGUUGCGUUCGUCGCCGCCGCCGCCGCCUCCAAGAUCCCCUCCCACGUCCGCACUCUCGUGCUCGACUCGCCUUCGCUCCGAUCCCUCUACACCCGGCCGCCAGAGCAGGAGGAGGGCGAGGAGGUUGUCCGGCAAUCCGACGCGGCGGCGAUCCUCUACAGCUCGGGCACCACGGGGCGGGUCAAGGGCGUCGUCCUGAGCCACCGCAACUUCAUCGCCCUGAUUGCUGGCUACCACGCCGCUCGGACCGCCGCCCUGGCGGAGGCCGCAGCCGUGGAGCCGCCCGCGGUGGCUCUGUUCACGAUCCCUCUGUUCCACGUGUUUGGCUUCUUCAUGCUGCUCCGGGCGGCGGCGUUGGGGGAGACGACGGUCCUGAUGGAGCGAUUCGAGUUCGGGGCGAUGCUGCGGGCAGUGGAGGCCUACCGCGUGACCUUCGUUCCGGCGGCGCCGCCGCUUCUCGUGGCUCUCGCGAAGUCCGAGGUGGCCCUCCGCCACGACCUCUCCUCCCUCCGUGUCAUCGCAGUCGGCGGCGCGCCGCUCGGGCGCGAGGUGGCGGAGCUGUUCGCCGCCCGUUUUCCUGACGUUGAGAUCGUCCAGGUGAGCUCGCAUUUUUGUCCCACCAUACUGGAUAGACCGGGAUUCUUCAAUCGUUAUAGUAGCUCUCAUUCCCGCUGUUAUCAAUUGUGAGUCCGUAACUUACUUUUACUUUUCUCAAGUAAAUAGGGGUAUGGUUUGACGGAGUCAGCGGGCGGUGGGUCGGCAACGAUGGGAGCGGAGGAAUCGCGGAGGUACGGGUCAGUGGGUCGGAUCGUGGCCAACCUGGAGGCGAAGAUAGUGGACCCCACCUCGGGGCAAGUGUUGGGGCCGGGAGAGCAAGGAGAGCUGUGGAUCAGGGGCCCCACGAUUAUGAAAGGUAAAUCCUUUUACAUCUUUGUUGACAUCUUUGAAGAAAAUAAGACACAGUUCAUAAUGACGCUCAUGGGCGUGGUAAGAUCAUAAUGACGCUCAUGGGUGUAAAUCUUACACUCUUUGUCUCACAGACAGUUUUAAGUUUUAACAUGAUCGUGUAAGGUAAGAUUUAGACUUAGGACCUGUUUGGGAAACACCCCGAUACUCACUCUGUAAUUGCGUAAUUUACUCUGUUUUUUUUUUUUUUUUUUUUUUUUUUUUUUUGCUUUUUUCACUGGCCCGCUUGGACAGCCCAGCAGAGUAUUUACUGUGUAAUAUGGGGUUUCUAGCGUAUAUCGGGGAAAAAUUAAAAAUAGAUCGGAGCAGCGUAAAAAAAUUCGUCGUUCGCCGCGCUCCGCCAUCUUGCCCCUUUCUCACUUUCUCCGCACAACCAGUUGUGCCCUCUCUUCCCUUUUUUUCUCCCCUCCCAGCCCCCAAAAUCUUAGCCGUUCGCCUCUUCCGCUUCCACCGCCUCUCUCUGCCCUCUCCACCCUCUCAGACGAACACACAGAGCGGGAGGGGCUAGCUCGGCGGGCGGAAGGCGUCCCCUGCGAUGAGCUUUUUGUUGUUUUUAUAUAAUAUUUCUUAAUUCAUCUUAUAUACUUAUAUAAGAAUGAAAAUAUAGUAUUUUUUUUAGAAACAAUCCAAACACCUAAAACAGAGGUGUUUUUUAAUAGAGUAUGGAGUAUUUCAGCAUAUCAAAUACACUGUAAAAUAAAAUUUUGUUUUAUUUCACAACAAUUGCCAAACAGACCCUUAUUAUAAAGAUAAAGUUAAUAUAUUAAUCUGAUUAUGUUUUUUAUAUUUACCUGAACCAAACACCGACAAUAGGAAUGAUUUAUUCCGAUUCCGACUCAGGUGAUGAACCAAACAGAAUUAGGUAAUGAGUCAUUCCGAUUUCGCUUCCAGCUUAUUUCGAUUCCGAUUCUGAUUUUGAUUCCGACUUCGAACCAAACACGCCCUGUAUGUCUAUUAAAGGAUUGCCUGCUCCACAUAUAACAUAUAACAAGCAACGAGUGAAUUAAGUGAAGUGUGAGGUGAAGUCGGGAACUUAAUUAGUAGCUUGUUGAGUUUCUCUUUGUGUUUUAGAGAAAUUCAUUUGGGAUAAAGAUAGGGAUUUUUUUCUUGUAACAAGGGAAAGGUGCCACUAACCAUAAGGCUCUUGUAUUUAGAUUGAGAGAAACGUAAAGGUGCGGGCUUGUAUCAUGGUUUCUUCAUAUAAGGGAUACAUCUCUCUUGCCCUCUCCAUGGACGUAGGCAAGUUGUCGAACUACGUAAAUCGCUGUCUCUUCUGUGUUUUUUUGUGUAUUUAUUUUUCCUAUUAUUGUCGUUUUUUUUUUCUUGUAUAUUUGUUGAUAAGACAUGCAGGAUGAUCCUAGGCCCCAACAUUUGGUAUCAGAGCGAUGGGUCGGUGCUACAAUAAAAAUGCAGAAUGUCUUGAUGUCUAAGUUCAAGGUGGAGAAAUUUGAUGGAAAAGGAAAUUUUGGCCUUUGGCAAAGAAGAGUGGCACGGUACAUGGGUGGUCUCGGACCCCCAUCCGUGCCGCGGCACACAGCGCCGUGCUGCACGAGACAAAGCGGCACAGCGCAGUGUGCUAAAUUUUUUUUUGCUUUUUUUUUUUGUUUUGUUCUUUAGGGUAUCCAAAGCAUUCUGGGUACCCCACGCCCUCCAAAAUCGAAAAUUUACUUAUUAGGUAAGUCAAAAAAAUUAUAAUUUAAUUUUUUUUGUUUAUCAAUAUGCUGACAAAAGAUUUGUUAAGCCCUCCGCUUCCACCACAGACAUCUAUUUUUUCUUCACAAAUUAUUUUAUCAAAAUUUGUCGCACCGCAAAAUUUUUGGCGAAUUAAGGGAAUAAAAUCGAACUCAAUAAACAAAUUUUGAGCAACAUCAAACAUAAAAUUUUAUUUUUGCGCUAGAAGAUUGAAAAUACUGAUAAAAGUAAAAGCUAAAUUAAAUCAAUUGAUACUUAAAUUUAUUUAAUUUAUUUGUCAUAUAAUUUAUUACUUAAUUUUUUUGAUAGAUCUACUAAUUUUUUGAAAAUACUUAUUGAAAUUUUUUUAAAUGCUUUUUAAAAUAAUUUUUAAAAUAAUUUUUUUGUAUUUUAUAAAAGAAAGACUGUAAUACGGUCAAAAGAAAAAAAAAGAUGUCUUUGCAUUUUAAAAAUUCUAAUCUAUAAAAAUUUCUAUUUUGCAUAAGGUAUAAUUCUACUUUACAUACUAAAAAACUUAUAAGUAUGUUAAUUGUUGAAUAUAGUAAGCUAUACAUAGCAAAUAUUUAUAACUAUUUAAUUAAAUCUUUCAAAAUGACAUUAUAAGAGUUUAAUGGAAUAAAAAAAACUGAAAUAAGUUCGUAGCAAAACGUGCCAGUAGGAGGUCAUGCGUAUCUAUCGGCUUGUAAGCGUACCAUAUGUUGGCACGGAAGCAUGCCGGUGCCGUACCGUAUCAGGCAGACAGCGGCACGCCUUUAUGCCACGGCAUUUUAAACCUUGCAACAAGGUCUUUAUAAAGCUUUGCUGAGAAAGUUUCAAGAAUCAACAGCAAUGAGUGAUGAAGAUUGAGAAGAGCUUGAUUUGAAGGCACUGAAUACUAUCAUAUUGUGCAUGGUACAUGAGGUGAUGUAUAACUUCAUGGAUGAAGAAAUUACUGUUGGAAUAUGGACCAAAUUUGAGAGUUGUAUAUGACAAAGAGCCUUACCAAUAUGUUGUACCUAAAGCAAAAAUUAUAUGGGCUACAUGGAGGGAAGGUACGGUAGUUGUUGAACACUCAAAUAUUUUUAAUAAAGUUAUCAGUGAUCUAGUGUAGAUGUGAAGUUUGAUGAGGACAAUAAGGCGUUGAUCUUCCUCACAUCGCUUCCUCUUUCCUAUAAUUACCUUGUUACAACUAUCCUUUAUGGAACGCAAACUCUUUCAAUGAAGGAUGUUACUUUAGCCCUCCUAUAUAAAAAAAAGUCAGGAAGUAAUCAAUCUAGGAGGAGUCGAGCGAAGGUUUAGUUGUUAAAAAUGCAGGAAGGGGACGACAUAAGGAAUGUGACCAACACCGCAUGCAUGAAACUCAUGCAUGCUAUGUUUGUCAAAAACCUAUGUAUAUAAGCUAAUUAAGAAUGUUGACCAUUGAAGUUGCCAACUUCAAUUUUGUGCAUGUGCUUUGUAUGUCUAUGAAAGGAUUGCCAACUCCACAUGUAACAUGUAACAAGCUACGAGUGAAUUAAGUGAAGUGUGAGGUGAAGCCCGGGAACAAACUUAGUAAUUUCUUGAGUUUCUCUCUAUUUUUUUGGAGAAAUCCAUUUAGGAUAAAGAUAGGGAUUUUUUUUUUUUGUCGUAUAACAAAGGAAGGGUGGCAAUAACCAUAAGGGUCUUGUAUUUAGGUUGAGAGAAACAUAAAAAUGUGGGCUUGCAUUCUGGUUUGUUCAUAUAAGGGUUACAUCAUUCUUGCUCUCCCUAUUGCUGAACAAUGUAAAUCGCUUUCUUCUAUGUAUUUCUGUGUAUUUCCUUUUUAUUAUUUUUCGCUAUUUUUUUGUUUGUGUAUUUUGGUUGAUAGCAUAUGCAGGGCGAUCCUAGGCCACAACAAUUGAUAUCAGAGCGAUGGGUCGGUGCUACAAAAUUCAUUUUAUCCUUUGGCAAAGAAGAGUGGAGGCCAUCUUAGCAUAGCAAGGUCUUCAUAAGGCGUUGUAGAGAAAGUUUAAAAAAUCAACAACAAUGAGUGAUGAAGAUUGAGAAGAGCUUGAUCUGAAGGCAUGAAGUACCAUCAUAUUGUGCAUGACAGAUGAGGUGAUGUAUAAUGUCAUGGACGAAGAAAUAACUAUUGGUGUAUAGACCAAAUUGGGUAAGUUGUAUAUAACAAUGAGCCUUUCCAUUGUGUUGUGCCGAAAGCAAAAAUUAUAUAGAUUGCGCACGAGGGAAGGUACGGUAGUUGUCGAGUACUUAAAUAUUUUUAAUAAAUUUGUGUAAAUGUGAAGCUUGACGAGGGCAAUAAGGCGUUGAUUGUCCUCACAUCGCUUUCUCCUUCCUAUAAUUACCUUAUUACAGCUAUCCUUUAUGGAAAGCAACUCUUUCAAUGUAGGACGCUAAAAAAAAAAUCAUGAAGCAAUCAAUCUCGGAGGAGCCAAAUGAAGUUUUAGUUGUUAAGGAUGUAAGAAGGGGAUGGCAUAAGGAACAUUAUUCGAGUAAAGGAAGGUCUCGCUCUAAGUCAAAGAUCAAAAAAGGUGAAGUGUUAUUUUUGUAAAAAAAAUGGCCAUAUGAAGCAAGAUUGUGAGAGGAGAAAGGCAUGACUGCAAAUGAAGAGUUCUUAUACAGGUAUAGUAAGCGUAGCCGAUGACCCCGAUCAACAUCAUGAUGUUUGACAGUUUCUUCGGUACUGAAUCUCUUGCUAACUGGAUAUUAGAUUCAGAUUGUUUUUACUAUGACAUCAAAUAAAUCUCUAUUUGAUUCCUGUUAAGUCUUUUAAAAGUGAAAGUUUUAUGAUGGGUAAUCACGCUACUUGCAAAACUGUUGGUAUAGGAACGGUAAAAAUAAAGAUGCAUGAUGGUAUAAUACGUACUUCGACAAAUGUGAGACAUGUUCCAGGUCUCAGGUUGAACCUAAUAUCACUUGGAGCUCUUGACUCUAUUUUUUGCAAUAUUACUAUUGCAGAUGGAGUCAUAAAGGUAAAUUGGGCCACCAUGAUUGUCAUGAAAAGAGAGAAGAAAGCAAACUUGAACAGGUUUUUCAGCGCGUCGGUGAUUGGAGGUGUUGUAUUGGCAUUCUCGGAUGAUCAUGAUGCCUAUGAUGUGGAACUCUGGCACAUGAGACUAGCCUGUACGAGUAUGAAAGGAAUGUUAGAGCUGCAUAAAAAAAGAGUAUUUAGAGGUAUGAAAAUCAGCAGAUUCAAUUUAUGCAAAUAUUGUGUAUUUGCGAAGUAGAAAAUGGUGAGUUUCAGGUCCUCCGAUCGUAGAAGUAAAAACAUACUUGAAUACAUCCAUUCGAACGUGUGGGGACUCGCUCUAGUGACUUCAAAAGGAUGUGCACAUUAUUUUAUUACAUUUAUUGAUGAUUUCUACUAUAAAGUUUAGGUCUUCUUCAUGAAGGAAAAGUCUAAAGCAAGGAUUAAAGUGCCGUGGCACGGGGGAUUGCGCUGUUUGCCCGGUACGGUACGGUACAGGCAUGCUUUCCUGCUGACACUUGGUAUUCUUGCGUGUCGAUGGAUAUGCAUGACCUCCCGACGCUUUGGUACAGACUUAUUUUAGUUUUUUUAGUUUCAACAAGCUUUUAUAAUAUUAUUUUGAAAGAUUUAGUCAAAUAAUUAUGAAUAUUAGCUAUGUACAGCUUACUAUUUAACCAAUUAACAUACUGGUAAAAUUUUUUAUAUGUAAUACAACUAGAUAAAGAAUAGAAUUAAAAUACAAUAAUAAAAUUUACAAGUAUAAUAAUUAUUUAAAUUUAUAUUUUUAUGGAGAGAUGACUGCUUAAUUCCAUAUAGAUCGUAUGGUGGAUCAUAUGGCAUAUUGUCAUAUGCAUAUACAAUAUUUAUUUGACAAUAUUGGUAUAAAUAUUGUUAGUAUUGUGACAAAAUCAUAUAUUGCCGGUACAUCUCCUUAUAUCGUCGUAUAUAAUUUGCAUAUGCAACUGGAUCGUGGAAAUAAUGGACAACAGUCACUUGUAGCAUAUAGACUGCAACAUCAUAAGGAUAAGGAUGGUAUGAAAUAGAAGAAUUAUAAUUUGGAUAUGUACAUGUAUUAGUGGACAUAGAGAUUCGCCAUAUGAGCUUCACUAUAUGAAGGUAUGGAUAGAUAGUAACCGGAUUGUUCCUGCUCCAAUUGAUGCGAGAUGGAUUGAGAUUCAUUUUGAGUGCCAUGAUUGAUGCAUCAUAAUCAUUUCUCUCCAUAAGCCAUGUUGAUAUGAAGGAUACGAGGAUACUGAAGUACUAUCAAAUUGUGAGCAUAGAUUAUUAUCUCUUCGUGGGUAUCUAGUUGAUGUUGCCUCUAAACCCUCUCUCACAAGGAUUUAAGUGCCUAUCGGCACGUGCCGUAUCCACCGUGCCGUAUCAUGCCAGCAAGAUAUUGGCAUGAUACAGCCCCCGUGCUGAUGGCACAAUUCAAAACCCUCUAUUCUUUAAAUUAGUUUUCUUAAUAAAGUUUAAAAGAUUUGACAAAAAUACAUAAUACAUAAUUGGCAUAUUUUGUUGCUAAAGAAAAUAAAUAUUUCAUUCCAUUAUGUGUCGACGCACAUAUUUUUUGUAACCGAUACGCAUCGGCAUAACCCGGCACGCACUAUGCCGUACCAUGCCAACAAGUUUCCACUUAAAUCCUUGAUCUUUCUCAUCUCCCUAUAAUCUUGUUGUGAGGACCUAUUACCUCUUCUAUGAUCAUAUACCACUCCAGAUGUUUGACGUGGUCAGGACGCAUGAUCAGCAUCUUGAGUGGUAUGCAUGAAAUUUUGCUCUUCAGUAAAUAAAAAACCAACCCUACCCUCCUAUUGUGUUGCUGGAAUGAAGUCGCCACCAUCCCCGCUGCUAUUAGUGGUAUCAUCGUCAUCAUUGCAUUCAUCUUUGGACUCUGGUAACCCAGAAUCUGCUGGUGUCGAUGUAUCACUAUCAUCAUCGAGCGAGAGUGCAUCAGCUAUAUCUAAUGGAUCCACUGAGGUCAUACGUUUUUUACUCUUACCGCUUCGGAUUGUUGUUGAAGGCCUCUUUGCGAUAUACGAUGUCUUCUUAUAUUCAGAUUGACUUUUGAGUAUGACGUCGACGACCAUAUCCAGGUCCCAGCAUAAGAUGCUCAAAUUCUUCAUUAGAGUCAUCUGUAGGAUUUUGGGAUUCUUCGUCCAAAGCUGCUUGUUCUUGCACAUCACCACACUGAUUCUGAGACCUCUGUUUAUUCUCGUCAGCGCAUUUUUCAACAUCACUAACUCAUGCUUCCUCAGCGAUUAUCUUGAAUGGUCGUGGUGGAUCUCUAGGCUCAUGGAGCAAUGGGUCCUCUUGAUUGUCUCCGUUUGAUUGUCUCCGUCUUGUAGCCAAUCGAAUAUGGGGUCUAAUUUAUCACUGAUAAAGCUUGCAUCCAGGGAAUCAUAAGUUUUAGUUCCUUUUUCUUAUCAUACUCUUGCAUGCAUCUUAAAUGACAGCUUCAUAUUAUAGUGGACAUAAAUUAGCUUCUCUAAUCGAGCGUAUCUUAAUCGAUUAGGCACUUUGGUAUGUAUCUGUCACGCCCCGAGACCGCUACCAAUUUGGUCCGGGAAAACAUGAACUCUCAUCUACUACAUAUCCCACACUCCAUAGUAAAACCUUUACAUUUGAGUACAACAUAAACCGUCAAAUUUACAUUUAGCUACAUAAUUUCUCCAACUUACUUACAUUAUCUAUCUGGAAGAGAGAAAUAGCAAUGAACAUACGAAAUAUGAACACGGAACGAGAAUAAACAAUCGUGAACAACACGAGAACACUAACACAUGAAUACUUAACUAAGGACCCAUUUAAGAACAUGUACUAGCAAACGAAUCGGAACCCGCCUGUCCCCUCUGAGACAGGCAAGCCGCAGACAAGCUGCGCGAGCUUGGCCUGGUUUAACCAUCGCCAGAGCCCCGCACCGUCUAAUUUAACCAUAGUCUCGUUCCAUUCUCGUUCAUUUCUCUCUCGGAUCCUAGCUGGAUCCUCUGGAAUCCUACCUUUGGAAUUCCAAUAUCCGCGCACUCACUCUGCACUUGGAUACCGCCACCGCCUUCACUAAGCUAACCCAGCUUCAACUACAAUACAGAGAUCGACACUUAUCUCUGCCUAGGUUCACUGUGAUCAAAGAACCGAGCAUCACCAACACAGCCGCCGGCUGCUGCGCUGCGAUUCUCAGGUUUUGAUCUUGUGAACACACGAAGGCGGGCUAAAGUAACAGCUCAGCAAAUUAAAGCACUUGCAAUUCUUCAAUAGCCCAAUUUUAUUGAUUGGUUCAACAACGAAAAGUCCUCGUUUACAGAGGUUCCGCGAUGCAUGCAUCCAGGCAAGGCCAUGGCGGAGGACGCCACGGGCUCGCUAGACCUAGUCUCCUCCACGUCCUUGACGCGCUCGUCCAGCGACGUUACAACCCGCGCUACGUCGCGGUCCUCCGAGCUAAGCUCGUCGAGGUCCCUAAACACCUCGCCGUUCGCCGUCGUCGCCGCCGGCGCUGUCGCCGUCCUCUAGUGCUAGGCGGGCGUGGAAGCCGUGCGCGCGGCCAUCGCCGGCUCCCACUCCCGUAUCGCCGCCAAGGCUACCGUCGUCAAGGGGGCGGCUGUUCACGCGGGGGCUGCCGAAGCCCAAGCCGCUGUGGACUGUGCUGCCGGCUCCUCCACCUCGCUCUCGCGCGUAACCGCCGAGAAUAAUUCAAGUUCUUCAAAUUUGGCGGUUAGAAACUCCCCCUCUUUCACCUCGGCCGUUACCACCUCAGUACCUAACUGAGAUACCUCUGGGAGAAGCUCCUGGAUAUAUGGAGCCUCUUCCUGUUCCAUGGGGAGCGGUGGGUAACGGAGCUCUUCCGCCGCUUCCACACCACCUUCGCCAACUUCGCCCUAGCCGGGAGACUGGAAGGGGGUUACGAGACCCUCCUCAAAUUCUCCCGUUACAAGCCCUUAAUGAAGGGGCUGUGGCUCUUCGCCUUUAACUUCCUCUCCAAAGCGUUUAACUCCGUCCCCCUAGCAAGUCAUCGUCUGAUGCUCGUCCUCAAGAGGGUGUAAUAUCUGACACAGGGCCUGCAACAAUCCCUGCUGCGUCUAGCCCGGCUCACCAAGAACGCCCCUGAAGCCGGUACCUAAAUAGCCCGCCACGUCGACGAGUUCGAGUGCUGGAAGCGGCUCCAGAAACUAUCUCGCAACACCCGCCUCGUGCCCCUACGGGUGCACGCCCUCCUUGCGCUCAACAACCGACCUAGGGUUCUGUUCCCCUUCUUCGCCAGCUCGCCACCAUGCCCUCCAGUCAGCUCAAGGUUCUCCGGGGGCUUUGUGGGCGCUAGCGUCAGCACCCCAGCACCCGGCGUCGUCACACGAUAGACGCCACGACCCCCGGUGGCUCGCGUCGUCACAUCCGUUGCUGUCCCGUUUACGAAGUUAACACCUGUUCUUCCCGUAUAGUCGGCGUUGACAGGUCGUUCCCGGGGCGGAUGGGGCAGUCAGCGUAGCUGAGGUCGCUGGGGUGGAGUAAUACCUCCUCGAGGAAUACAAGGGCAGAGCCGUCCCGCGCGCUACUACGGCGCAGUCGGCCUCCACUGAGUUAGUCGCGGCUCGUCUGCCCAUAAGCGGCGACUCCGGGAUCGGCUCCUCAGAUGGGUUCGGCUCCUCGGAUUGCAACACCGUCCAUACCAAAAUUAAUUGCCUCAAGCGAGGUCCCGAUACAAACUAUGUCCACGGUGUGUAAGCAAAUAAUCAUCUCGUAAGCGUGCGUACGUACUGUAUGGGUAUCUUCGCUCACCGUUCACCGCUCAACUUCCGGGACUCAGCAGCAAGUUAUGGAUGUGCCUCACGAGAAGCACGGGUCAUGUUCAUCCGCUGACCUAUUACGGGUAGGCCUACAACCUUGAAUUCUUUGACCUCCGCAUACUGCAGUAAAACCCGUACCUAACCGAGAGUUUCAUAAUGCGGUGCUAACUAACAUUCUUAUUUAACUAGUGGAAAGCCCUCGGUCCUGUCCUCCUCAGGUAAAUAGCUCGAACAGCUUCGAGAACGAAGCAGCGCUGCUAUAGCCGCUGCUCUCGAUCUUUCAACCAGUUGCCGCCGACGCAUCGUAAAAACCGCUGACAGUACCUUCACCUGGCUCACCGAGGCUCAAAUCUCCUAAAUAGCCACCACGCCCUUAAGGGCCUACAUAAAGGGCGCCUCAAUGGCCCCUACGGCGGCCUAGCCUUCUAGCUCAAGCAAUAUCUGAACCAAGGGCCCUGCCGCGGCUAGAGUUUCCGGGGCAUGGCGUACCGCGGCCGUCUCGAUUCCCUCAACUCCCUAGUCGAUGUCCUAGAAGAGCUGUUCCCCAAAUAGUCCGGCUCGCAUAGCGGCACCCCUCGGGGCCACAACAAGCACGCGUUCUUCCUACCGAGCAAAGCUGAGACGCACCUAAUAGCCCUCAACUUAGCCCAGUGCUAUUUCUUGUUCAUGGGCAACGGGGCUUAGCUGCUGAAUAAACUAGUCAAUGUUCCCAGUGCUCACAUGAGCUUCUAUCUGGAUGUUAGGCCGAUAGUAGUCAAUUUCUAAUCCAGCCUCCUACAAGUCUUCUGGCGCAAAGCGUGCGCCAUACCUGUGAUGCUUAUGUGCCAAUACGGAAAGCCCGAGUGAUUACGGGGCCGUCGUAAGUACCUAGAUUACUUGGCACACAAGUUUCUCACGAACCUGGCUAAACAGCACCAGAAGUAUCUGCUGUAGAACCAGAUAAGCGCCUGGCUGCUUCUCGUGCGCCUCGUAAACGCCUAUCACGAAGUUUAGGAAGCCCUCCUCUUCGAUAAGCGCUUCAAUUUCUUCACACUGAAGACCGAAGCUCUCCAACGGAAGAAUCCCGUGCACUAAAGGCUCCCGCCACAAAGUCAACUGGGCUCCUUUCAGCUUCAUCAACUCUUAACCGGCGCGGGUUGCUUGCAGUGGUUCCAGGCUUCGAAGUAUCCGAAUCGCCCGAUGAUAGCUGCCAAACACCUCCCGAAAAGCUUCUAACACUGAGGCGAAUGGGCAGACUGCGUCUUCCCGCAGUUCAAAUAAACCUCGCUGCCAACACUGGCCUCAAAAUUGCUCAAUUUCCUUUCCAAUUGAAGCCGAGGCUAUGAGCGGAAUGGCCACGUCCCGCUCCUGAAACGCCAGAUAUCACUACGUAGGAUAGACCCAAACCCCACACAGAACUACGUUCCGCCCUCUCACUAUCGAAUACGCAGGGCAGUCAAUUUCCUGGUACUCUUCUUAAUAGGGUAAGUACUGAACCUCAACCGCCGCCACUAGAAACGCGACUUCGACACCUCCGUGAUGGAUAUACCACGCGUGACGCUCUAGAUGUGGCUGGUGUUUUCAGACUUUAUAGAUAAAUGGGUCUUCUUCAACUUAUACGCAGUUGCCGCCACCAACCUUGACAAUUUCCUAAUGCUACAACUAUAGGAGAUGGUGGGGCCGUUCCGUUUACACCAGCGCCUACACGAAUCGUCUUUCAGCCGCUUCUUGGAGCGAAAACUACAAUGGAUUGUUUGUGGGAAUACCGACCUAUACCUCGCCGACCUGGAUCUUCACCAGCGAGGGCUCCAGGGCUGAGUCGACUACCAUGAGCAACAAGUUGGCUGAAACAACCUCUCCUAGUUCUUGAACGUUAGACGCCUAGGUUCAGAGGUUUUCCACGCCGCAUUAUAGCUCCUUCCAGUUCCGCCGCUAAAGUCACACCUGAGGCCACCGCGCGAAGCCAAAGCUUUGGCCACCACACACGGGCUUUCACUUCUCGAAGCGCUCGACUAAAACGUUCUUCGGGUGGCCAGAGGUAUGCGACUAGUGGGCCCGCCGUGUUUCUACAUAGUACUCAACUCUCGUGAGAUAACCACCGGCCCCUACUUUCAACUAUAACCCGCGAAGCACCGCUUCACAAACUGAACAGUCGUCCACUUCCGCCUCGCGGCUAAAGGUCGUCCUUUCGAAGUUUCGGAUAGAUAGGGGCAGACCUUUACCCUCCUGUAUAGCUACCUAAAGCAGCAACCGAACGGAGCGAGCUGUCCCCCGGUGCUGAGUUAAACCCACUAACACCUAGCGAACUGCUUCAGUCGUGUGAAAGAUGGCCAGGUGUGGUGAACCCGUCCUCUAUUCAACCGCGUCCAUAUAGAACUGCUCCAUCACUCCAAUGUGCCCCAUGGCUUCAGUUAACACAGCCUAUCUCUGGGGUUCAAGUGAAGUGUAAAGACCUUUUCGGACGUCCUCCGGGAACCGUGUGCCGAGCUGAAGUCGUGACGUAAAGUAGGGGUCUGUCUGCCCGUUUGACUUUCCUGGUAAGUCUGGGACCUCCUAUACAACGCUCGCACACAAUAACUGAUGUUCCCUCCAACCACGUUCCUAGACGAGUACUACUGAGCUCAAGUCUGAUUUUCUUUUUUAUAAGUACGUUAGGAGACCUUUGAAAACCGUUUCAAGCUCACGUUAAUUACCCUCUGUGUUGUGGCUAGGGGUUAUUCAUUUAUUAAAUCUCGCUACAUCUCGCUUGCUAUUUGUCUUAAACUAUAUUGGGGUUACAAAUUAACGCUGUCUGAUCCCUUCUGUUACCCAUGCGGUAUGGGCGUUUGCCAAUGAGUGCUUGGGUUUGAGCUGUCGUUUCGAUACGCCUAUAUCGGCUGCCUCUACUUAUACCUCAAACGCUAUCCCUCUGUUUUUUAUUUUUGGGCUUCCAAAGCGUAUACUCUCCGCCUAUUCGCUAAACCUAACAUGGGCUGGGUUUGGGCUUGGGCUGGGCUUGGGCUUAAAUAUAACCUGGUAUAUUUUAUAUAUCUCGUCUAUCUCUGCUAUCUAUAUAUAUAUAUUUUAAUGUCUUUUUCAAGUGCAUAAACGUUAAACAUAAAAUUUUUAAAUUUAAAUUAUAUUAUAUAAAACUUUAUAACUUUUUUCUUUAUUAAUAAAGCCUAAGUUUAAAAGCCCAAGACCAAGCCCAAGCCCAAAGCUUAAAAACCAGCCCAAACCCAAACCUAUACCUAAAAAUUUUAGGCAGCCCAAGCCCAAGCCCAAGCCCAGAGCCCAAACCUCAGCCCAAGCCCAAGCCCAAAAAUUUUUAGGCGGGGCUUAGGCUGGGCAACUGUAGAGAUACCUGUUGACUCACCACCGAUAUUAUACUAUCUAAAUCGUUUCGUAAAUUUUUCUAAUUACACGUACAAAAUAGAGUUUGCUGUUGUAGAUCACCUACACUUUCGUUGACCUCUUGUAAGCGUGACUAUGACAUCCUAUGGCUUGAAGACUUUUAUCCUUCAAUGCCAUCCUAUCAUACAGCCUCAAAUAAUAUUUUUAUUUAUAUUUAUUUUUAUCACACUCUAUGAUAAAAUAACCUGAGUAUCUUCAUUUCAUAUUCAACCUUUACUGGACACGACUUUAGCCUCGCUUUUGGCUUCUAAAUCUUAAAAGACACUCUUUACCCCGUCUAUUUAAUCGUCUUUUACGUGUCACAGUCUUUUAAUACUUUUGACCUCCUAUACAGUCUUAAUAAAAAUACUCCGAUCUAAAUUUCAAAGUCGGGUAAGACUGUGGGCCUUCCACCUCUUAUUUUAGCUUGACGAUAGAUGAUUUCUAAUGUCAAGCCGUGUCAAAAGCCACUGGUUUGCCCCAGCUUUGACUUUUGAAUUCUAUAUAAGAACGAGUCAUGCAAUUUGGCUCGGACGGACAGCUUAAACUCGCGUUUGUCUGUAAGUCUUCCCGGGGCUGACAAGGCUUGACGCUUUUACGUUCAACAUUAUCCACACUCUCCCCCAAAACACGUUAACAAUGUCGUCGGAUACACCCGACCAACGUACGCAUGUGUGUGUGUGUGUAUGUGUGGAAGAGGGAGUUCAAGAGAGUAAGAGAGGGUGAGAGUGUGAGAAAAGGGAGAAAGAGAGAUCUUUCUUUCUUUCUUUCUUUCUUUUUCUUUCCUCUUCCUUUCUUCUUUUUUCUUUCUUUCUUUCUUUCUUCUUCCUUUCCUCUUCCUUUUCUUCCCUUUUUUUCUUUCUUUCUUCUUUCCUCUUCUUCUGGUUCUUCUCCUUCUAGUAGAAGAAGGAGGAGAGGGAGUUGGAACCUCUUCGAAAAUCUCCAUUCGAGGUUUGGGAUAUUACCAUCUAAGGAAUUCUAUCCCAAAAUACCAAAUCUUAACCAAACUUACCUUGGAUAACCUCGAUCAAUCUACCAAGAUCGAGCUUAAACUUCGAACUCGGUACCUAAAGGAGUAACAACUUUGGAUCCCGUGAAGUUUUGGGAUAUUACCAUCUUAAAAUCCCGAAGUAAAUAUACGAUAUUUUUACCUAAAUAACCUUAGGAUACUACGAUUUAUCUACUAACAACGGAUUUAGUACCUAGUUAAAACACUUAAAAACGUUUUCAACUUUGGAUCCCAAGUUUUACGUUAAAAACCUUUAUACCCCCAAACUAGAGUUAAUUGGGAGACAUUUGGAUUAACGAUCCAGAUAUUUGUGCAACCGCUUCUGCUAAGCAGCUAGGCUGUUCGCCCACGCCUCAAUAGCGGUUUUGUUCUUGAACUCCCAAACCAACGGGGCUCCUCACCUUCGCUGCAUGCUCCUAGCGCCGCAACCCAAAAGAUUAAAGCACCGUGAUGGUUCUCCACCCACCACUGGUAGGGCUUCGUUGACCUGAGGGGAAAUACAGAAUCAUGUAAUUUAGAACGUAGAACAUAAGUGAACGUAAUAUCCUACUAACACGUAACGGAAAGGAAUACGAAUGGAUCUACUAUAGUAUGAUACGAAAUCAACGAACUAUAUCACCUAACUACUCCUAACCCAGCUCUUAACACUUAGGAUAUCACGGCUCCACUUUCUACCUGAGUUACCAACCAAAUUAUAAUUUGUUUCUUACUCACCGUAGAUCAACUAUCAUUUGUUUUCUUGCUCACCGUAGAUACACUCAGGAUCACAUAUACUUUGGAUACCUGGAACACUACUUUCAUUGGGAUCUCCUAUCCCUUAGGAGCUCACCUCUCCUAACCUAGAACGAGUGCCAGACAAAUAUGGAACACUACCAGCGAGGUGUAUUCAUCACGCGAGGCCUCAACCAGUGCACCCUAUCGGAUAAACCCCAGGGCUCCCUAUCGGAUACACCCCAGGGCGUCUGCCAGAGCCUAAGCAUCAAACUCAACUCAGAGGGAUGCGCAGCUCUACCGAUACACUCAUCAUCCACUUGGGAGCCCACUCGGUAUUCUAAUUACUUGUUCAUUUAUUGAAAUGAAGAACCUGUACUACUGCUCAAUCAACGAAUGGGUAAAGUAACUUGUACGUAAGUAUAUAAAUACUAAGCCCGUAUUAUCGCAUCAAAAGAUAAGACAGGAAUGUCGAAAGGUAUAGAUAGAUAGACAAAUAGAUGAACACGGGUGAACCUGGAUCACCCCUCUGGCCGCCUCAGCCGCCGGCUUGGGUGACCCUUGAUUCCUUCAAUCAAGAGUGGGGGGUAAAAUAAUGUCCCGGCUCGCACUCAAGUGUGCCGCUCCUAGCGCCAUUCCCGAAUCGCGGGAUCUACGUAAUCAAAUGAAAGGAAACGUAAUCUCGGUGGGAAAACAUGAACUCUCAUCUACUACAUAUCCCACACUCCAUAGUAAAACCUUUACAUUUGAGUACAACAUAAACCGUCAAAUUUACAUUUAGCUACAUAAUUUCUCCAACUUACUUACAUUAUCUAUCUGGAAGAGAGAAAUAGCAAUGAACAUACGAAAUAUGAACACGGAACGAGAAUGAACAAUCGUGAACAACACGAGAACACUAACACAUGAAUACUUAACUAAGGACCCAUUUAAGAACAUGUACUAGCAAACGAAUCGGAACCCGCCUGUCCCCUCUGAGACAGGCAAGCCGCAGACAAGCUGCGCGAGCUUNNNNNNNNNNNNNNNNNNNNNNNNNCUCAAAUUCGACAGGCAGGCUCGGUUUAACGUACUGAGCAAGAAUAUAUCUUAAGUUUUCAGUUUCGACCCCGUUUGGUCACCGAAAACUGUGCCGAACUGUAAUCUUUAGUAGAUAGCAGUUCGAUUUUAUUCUCCACCUUCCGGGUGUCAGAAUGGGCUGAAACUUUAAAUCUAGCCUCAUAAAAAUAAUUCUGACAUAUCCUCCAGUUUUCAUAAUUUUCUGACACUGUGCAUUUUCUGCUAAUUUAUCUGCCCCAUUCCUCACAGAAAAUUCUAAAUCUUCGGUUUUCGCUCCGAUUUCAGCACAGGUCAUUUCCAACUUAUACUUUACUUCUAUGAGUCCAAUAAAAUAGUAUCUCACACUAUUUUUAUUUAUAUUUAUUUUUAUAAUAAACUCCGACAUACUAUCCUACCGUAACUUCCUAUUUUCAGAAGUUCGGUAUCCUACAGUAUCAGUGCGAAUGUUCUCCAGUUGCUUUCACAUCCACUAGAUGUUGUCGUUUGAGAUAAAACAUGCACAUUAAUCUUUUUAAAUGCUUUGCUAAAUCUAUCAUAUUAUAGCCACCACUCAGUUGUCCAUAGAGAUGUCAACGGGUCGGAUUCGGGGCGGAUUUUUAAAAACCCGAACCCGAACCCGACUCCAAACCCGAGACCCGAACCCGAACCCGAACCCGACGGAUUUUAAAAAUCCAUAUCCAAACCCAAACCCGACCAAAAAUUCGAAACCCGAACCCGAACCAGAACCCGAAAAUUUGAAUCCGAAAUAAUUAUUUCUUUUUUCAAUAUUUCAAAAUAUAUUAUAUUAAAUUUAAAUUUUUAAAAUACAAAUUCAAAUAUAACAUCAAAUUUUUAUAUAUAUAUAUAUAUAUAUAUAUAUAUAUAUAUUAUAUAUAAUACAAAAUAAAUUCGGGUUCGGGUCGGGUUCGGGUUUGGGUCGGGUACAAUCAAAAUCCAUAUCCGAAUCCAUAUCCGUCGGGUUUUUAUUUUUUAUAUCCAUAUCCAAAUCCAUAUUCAUAUCCAUCGGAUAUAUCCGUUUCAUUCGAGUUCGGGUUCGGAUAAAAUUUCGGGUAUCCAUACCCAUUGACAUCCCUAGUUGUCCAAUUAAAAAUUAAAAUUAUAUCAAAUUAGGUUUAUCGUUAGAUAUAAAACGUCUAAAUUAUUUACUUAUUGGGAUCGGUGUUGUGUCUCCCAUUAAUUGCACCCACUUUGCCAAAAGUUUCAGAGGAUUCACGAAUAUUUUUUCCUUUAGUAUGAUAGAGUAAUAAUGAGCAAUCAUCAUAUUAACAUCUAGUAAAUUAAUAAUACAUUGAAAAAGCUAUUGUAUCUCAUUUAUGGCAAGAGCGGCAUGCGUUGGAUCUCUCUCCGAUCUAUUGAUGACAUUUCGUAAUGCCUUUAACAAUUCAUCAUCAAACCUAAGAUUAUAAUGAUGGUGGUACGGCGAAUUAAGAUAAUAACCUAUCAUUAAGAGAAGAAAUCACUCCAUCAACAAUGCAAGAAUAUAAAUUGAAUGAUCAAUUGAAUGCAAGAAUACAACGUCUGUUAUGCCUCGGGUUUGGGGCCUGACAAUUUUACACUAAUAUUGAGCUCUCAUUUGACUAUAUAGCUUUUUAGUCAAUUCACGCUCCUUUGCGCUUUAUACUUAGAUUUAUUGGUGAUGAAUUUCACAUAUAACAUUUUGUUUUCUAUGAUUUUCUUUUUGCGCAGCUGCCUUCUGUGAACAUAAUGCUACUUCACAUCAAGUGUGUGGUCCUGUGAUAUUUCGGGUCAUUUAUGUGGGCAAAGAGUUGCCAAACUCUCAUAUCGGAUUGUCACAUAAUCAAACGCAGAAGUGACUACUCCAAGAUCUUGAAGGAGCUUUCUUGUCCAAACUACCUCCUCAGUUGUAGAUGUACAAGCUACAACUUAAAUCAAUAUCGGUACUUACCCGAGUUCUGCAAAACUGAGAGCUAUUCAACCCUGCUCUCAAAUGAGUUCUGGUACCUCAUUUUAGUGCUGGUACUCAACAAAAAACUGUAGUUUUACAUAUUUCGAUCUUCAAAAAUCCGUUUUCGUGCUUAUUAAGCUCUGAAAACAGGCCUAAGCUCUUGAAACUUCAGUCAAAACUUCUAGAAUAGCAUAGAAUACUAUUCUCACACUAGAAUCUUGCAAUUACUAAAGUUCAGUGUGCUAUAUUUUUUUUCCAAACUUCUAAUGAUUUUCAGAACUAUUCUUUCCUAUUUCUAUCUCCUUUUAGUAUUCUAUUUUUCCAAAAGAUGUGAAAGGAAUAAUGACCCCAAAGCGGAUAAAAAAUCAUCUAGGGGUAAGGGUAAAGAACUUGAGAUUUAGAAUUUGAGAUUUAAGGCAUAAAAAUAGGAGGACACAUUGCAAGAAAGAAAAAGAUUAACAUCAUAUUAUUAAAAUUUUAGAUCGCAACCAAUGUUUCUAAUUCAACAGUUUGACUCUGAAAUAAUAGAUCUUCAUGUAGAAAAAUUUGAAUAUUUAGAAUAUGUCAGUUCUUUAUUAGUUUAGUUUUAUACUUACGACUUAAGGUGAAACCAUUUGGUGUAGAAAAAUAACAGUUAUGAGAUUUAUGAAUUCUCAUAAAGCAUGUAAUAUUGUAAAUAAUUGGCAAAUUAUAUUAUUAUUAUAUAUAUACAUAAAAAUAAUUAUGCAUAUUCUUAUCUUAAGCAUACUAAAUGAAAAAAUAGAAAAAAUCAUUUAAUUUCACUUAACUAAGUAAAUUUAUAGACAACAGAGAUGCAUGUAAUAGAUAUUUUAUAAGAAACUGUAAUCGAUAAUUUGUAAUUAAGAAACUUUCUUUUGUUGGCAUGUAAAUUACCCGAGUGUUGACAUGGUGUCCUCUUGCUGUUUUCUGGUCCAUUGGAGACCUAUGAGAUCACAUUAAAAUGGAUAAAAAAACUACAUUUUGGAUACUUCAAAUAUCUGGAAGAAAACGUUGAUUCUUAGCCAAGGUGCCAUCCCUCAUUAGCAUACCGCUCAUGUAAAAUGUUGUGUAAAUUUAUAUUUAGUAGUUAUUUUCAUUGUUUUCUAAUGUUCCACUUUCAGGUUACAUAUGUGAUGAGCAAGCAACUGCAUCUACCUUGGAUUCUGAAGGCUGGUUGAAGACGGGUGACCUUUGCUACUUCGAUGACGAUGGUUUUCUUUUCAUUGUUGAUAGGUUAAAGGAGUUGAUAAAGUAUAAAGCAUAUCAGGUAUAAAGUAAAAAUCUGAAAGCUGCUGAUUGCCUAUACAGCAAUUGCAAGUCGCACUUAAUACAUUGUUUUUGAUACAUCAAUUGUUCCAUGUUUCAGGUGCCUCCAGCUGAAUUGGAGCGUAUACUGCAAUCCCAUAAAGAAAUUGCUGAUGCUGCAGUCAUUCCGUAUGUAUCUAGGACAACUAACACAGAUUUCUGUUUUUGAAGUCUAAACAAUACUGAGUUCAUAGUAAUCUUCAUUUUUCUCCAUCAUGCUGCUUUUUCUAUUUUUGUCUCCUAGGCGAUGAUGAAUGUUCUGACAUAAACAGCUGAAGGUUAUAACUUCCGAUAUAAAAACAAAAGGAAGAGGUAUAUGCCGGAAAUGGGGCUAACCGAAUGCCGUAAUGCUAUAAGAAGCUUUUUUACUAGGAUUGUUAAACUACAUGUUUCACGAGAAGACAGUGAUAGACUACAAACCACAAGAUUCCUGUAUAAGGAUUUCCAUGCUUUUGAUAGGAUCACGUACUAUGUUGUCAUAGGAAGUUUCUUUAUAGUUUUAUGCGAGUAAAACAUGAAAUAGCACAUAGAGAUGUAAGAUCCUAACAUAGUGAAAUAAAACCAACUUAGAUGUUUGGCUAGGAGUUUCUUACUCUGGAGAUAAAUAUAAUAGAAUAGAAAAAGUUGGAAUUUUUAUUUUUGAGUAAUAUUUCUUUUGGACAAAAUAUUAGGUAAGCGUCAGGAGUGACAAACUAAAAGAGUGCAAUGGAAAUCAAUUUAGAUGGCCUAAGCAUGUAAGACGAACACAUAAGAGACAGAAAAUGUUGAAUUUUCUACACCAUUAAAAAAAGAUUAAUAAAAUAAAACAGAUGAAGUUUCUAUGGAGGAGUACAUGAAAGAUUCAUAACAUAGACAGAAGUCAUGGGAUAGAAUGUGGAAAAGAUUUUGGCAGACCACGAAUUUAUAGUUCAAAUACAUAGCAGUGAUCAUAGGAAAAAUGCCCGUUUCUAUUGCUGAAGUUACGAUUUCACUUCUGCCAAAGGCUUAUUUUUAUUAGUUAUUGUAGAAGUUUUUAAGAUUAUUUAUAUAAUGGCCUAGCUGAUGCAAACCUAGAGGUUGCCAAAACUGAAUUUUUAACUUUGUUUUUGUGUAAAGGUAUUCUUGAAAUAAAUAAACUAGGUUCAAUUUAUCGAUUCCGGCGAACUUACUAUGUAAACCAAGGAAGCAAAAAUUUCAGCAAGACGGAAAAUUAAAAUCAAAUUGAAGCAAUACUAAGAUGGUGAUAAACUUUCAAUAUAUGAGAUAAUAACAACCAACUAAAAAUACAUAUAAUAGUUCCACAAAGGUAAAUUCUUUUUAUUGGACUUGCAAGUUUUUAGAUUUGGUUGUUUUAGAUUUGGUUGUUUUGGCAAAUAUGGUUAGAUUGGAAAUGUGUAAUGACCCGACCCACUAGCAAUAAUAAUUCGUUGGGGCUAGAUCUUCGGCUCAACUACUUAAGCCCAAUUAUUACUACUAGGGUGUGAGGACUCAUGUAUACCAAUUAGAAUCGUUUUUCUAUCCGAUGUGGGAAUAUUUGGGCGUUACAGACUCCCCCCAUUUAGAUCCUGACGUUCUCGUCGGGUCCAAACCAGAUCAUAGACAUAUAGACCAGAAUUAUUAGGCGAUGUAUGAUUCUAGAGGUGGCUCAUACGGAUUCAAGAGGUGGCUCCCGUGGAUGAAGGCAUAGUCGAACAACAUAAGUUAUUGUGUUUUUGUGGUUUGCUUUAUUUUGUAUGUUUGCUCUUGUGUUUGCUCUCCAUUGGAUGUUUGUGGGGUAUGGGUUGUGAUACGCCCACCAAGUGUUUGUGAAAUUGCUACUAAUAACUUUCAUCUUUAGUUUGGAACAAUUGGUACUAGAGCUUGAUUGAUGGUUACUUAGCAUUUAUUUAUGGUCGUUAACUCAUAUUUCCGAUAAAGAAAGCAAGAUAAUUUGAGAGGUUGAAUGAGAGAAAGUGGCCUAUAUGGAAAAACAUGAUUGAGGGUUAGUUGAAAAAGACCUUUAUUUACCAAUAUUGGAGAAAAGUGCAUAGCCAUCAUGAAUGGGAUCUACUUGACCAAAAAUAUUUGGCGGCGAUUAGGCUAUGUAUUUCAGCAUUGACAUUGUUUGAUGUUUAUCAAUGCAAUUUCCUGGUUGUCGGAGACUUUGGAGCAAUUGUUUGAACAAGCUUUCGGUGUGAACUGUGAACAAGAUGCAUGUAAUGAAAGGCUCUUUCUCUUGAAAAUGCAAUAAGACUACUAUUCACAAGCAUGUGAGUGAGGUCAACUUUAUUGUAGCGCAAUUCUAGUCUUUCAAAAUCAACCUUGAUGUAAAAUCCUUUGUUUACUCCUUUUGAGUUCCUUAUCUUCAAGUUGGGAAAUUUGAUUUGCUUUACAAGAUACGUGAUAGAAACAUGAUGGAAAUAAGUGAGUUGAAUCCGCCUAGGGAUGUAAAACGGGCCGGGCGGCCCAUGCCCGGCACGACUGCGGGCCGGGCCUAGCCCGACACGAUUACUGUAGCAUCCGUGUCGNCUGCGGGCCGGGCCUAGCCCGGGAUGGCUACUAUAGCAGAUGUGCCGGGCCGGGCUAGGCCGGUUCUUCGGGCCGUGCCGGGCUGAGAUUUUGCGACCCGCAGGCCCGACACGGCACGGCCCGUGUCGGGCCUGGGCAGUGCCGGGUGAUGCGCACCAGGCCCUGUUUCAGACUUAUACCCGUCGCCGAAAACUCAAUAUCUGGCUUGAUGACGUGAUCGCACCAUGAUUCAAACAUUGGGUGCGACUUGAGUUCGAGCCGGAUUUGCAUGAGGAUAGGUUUAGAUAUUUUAGUUAUAGAGAUAUUUUAAAUAUUAUUUUCUGUUUUAGAUUUUUUUUAGAUUUACUUGAAUAUUGGAAUUUUAGGUAAGAACGUUUAUCGGUUUGUUUCAAGUUGUUAGUACAAAACUCUAUGAAUUAGGUAGGACUCCAGAUAUUCAAACUCUUUUGGAAGCAUCUGAUAAGGAAAUUGUGGUUUUAUCUCAAAAAAGAUGACAUAGUUAGGCAAGUAAGCAAGUAAAUUCUAUGUGCCUUGAAGCAAAUCUUAACCUUCAAACUAACACAUUUUUGUUAUUCUAUUUACUUCAAGAUUGAAGUGAAAUGAUUCAAAAAGUAGGAUGAUGGUUGAUCUUUCUCCUUUAUGUAACAUGGUAGGUAUCCUGAUGAAGAAGCUGGACAAAUACCAAUGGCUUUUAUUGUAAAACAACAAGGUAGCACCCUCACCGCACAGCAAGCCAUGGAUUUUGUUGCGAAACAGGUACGUGCUGUUUUAUCAUUUUUAUGUUGUUCUAUAUAUCACCUUCUCAAUUUUUUUCCUCCAAGAUUGUCUCGGUGGUUUCAACACAAUGAAUUGGCUAAAAUGCAGAAAAACUCUUAUAAAUGUCCGCUUUUCUACUUUACCUCCUGUCUUUUAAAAACUCCUAUUUUGCCCCUUUAAAUUUAGAGGUGUAUCACUUAACUCAGCAAUAUUAUAAUUUCGUCACUAUUCUGUUGAUAAAUUGUAUAGUACAGCUAAGAAACUUACUUACAUACUCAUUAAAUUUAGAGGUGUAUCACUUAACUCGGCAAUAUUAUAAUUUCGUCACUAUUCUGUGGAUAAAUUGUAUAGUACAGCUAAGAAACUUACUUACAUACUCAUUAUAUCCUUAAAAAUGGUGGGAAUGCAUAAGCAUCUUAUAUUUUCUUUCAAAUAAGAUAAUUUUUGACAGAGAUCGCUGGAUAUUUACUAAUUUACUUUCCUUUUUUCGUCAUUUCUAAGGAUAAAAUAAGUAUAUAACGAUGUUAAGUGCUGCAACUUAACAUUUUAAGGGGGUAAAAUAUAGAUUUUUAACAGACAUGAGGCUAAGAUGCAAAAGCAGAUAUUUAUAGGGGGUUUUAUGUAUUUUAGCCGAAUGAGUUUUCUUUAUCUUCUCUCGUCGGGACCUUGAGUAGAAUUUGUGGAUUUCCUAAAGCUAAUAUAGCCUGUGCAACUGUCCUCAAAUUUUUUUUUUUGAAAUGAGAUCCUUUGUGCUACUUACUGAAGAUCCUACUGUAAUACAAAACUUUUUUCUCUCUCAAAAUAAAAAAAAGGAAAAACUGAUAAUAUUAUGUUGUUAACUACAGCGAAAAGUUAUGUAAUAACUCUUGUUUUCAUUCCUUAAAAGUAGUUACCGACUCAGCUCACACACUGCCCUUCCUUUGGUCUUUGACAUUCGGUGAGUUCAAAACUUCCUUUUACUAUUUCGAGACCAAACAAAUUCUAGAAAGUAAACAGUGUCAUCUUCUUGCAACAGGUUGCGCCUUACAAGAAAAUCCGCCGUGUUGCCUUUGUCAAUUCUAUUCCAAAAUCAGCUGCUGGGAAGAUUUUGAGAAGAGAGCUUGUUGACUAUGCACUAUUGAUUCCGUCUUCCAACCUUUGAAUGGUGUCAUUUCAUUGCAGGUGCUUGUCAGCUCCGAAGACAUUGUAAGUUUGCUUAUGGUUGUCAUUGUUUUUUUGGGGCUUAACAAGCGUUAUAUAUAUAGAGCUAGGCUCUUAUAAUAUUCAUAGUACUGGGGUUCCGGUAUUAAAGUCUCGUUUCAACCUUAGAAUGUUCAAAUUAAUGAUCCACACCAUUAAAACUGAUAUAGGGUAUUUAAAGUUUUUAGAAAUAAAAUUUUAUAUUUUUUUGUCAUAGUUUAUUCUAUAAUCAAACCGUUUCAAAAUUAUCAAUUUCCAAUGGCUACUAUGACGAGUUUGUAGUUUAAAGGCGUAGAAGAAUCUAAAUUUAUUCAAAUUUUGUUAGAAAAUAUUUUAAACUAUUUAGAUUAAGGUUAACAUCCUUAAUCUUGAAUUCAAAAGUCCUAUACUUAAAUUUCAAAGAUCGUUCAAUUUUCACCAUUCAUUAUAACAUAAUUACUUGCUAAGUAAACGCUAUCGAAAAAAAUUAAAAUUUUAUUUCUAAGAACUUCAUAUACCCUAGAUCAUAUUUAAUGGUGUGGAUCGUUGAUUUGAAUACCCAAAAAUCGAUAACGAGACUAUAGUACCAGAGCUGCGAUACUAUAAGAAGUAUCAUAGCCUCGUUAUAUAUAUAUAUAUAUAUAUAUAUAUAUAUAUAUAUAUAUAUAUAUAUAUAUAGAAUUCAGCUCCUAUACUUUAUAAAAAGUAUUAGUUAUUGGUGCUUGUAGUUUUGUAGCCUUCGGAUGAAGAUUUGGAGAGUUAGGAUAGUAGGGGUCCACUAGGGUUGAGUGGGUGUGUCACGGCCCACGACCACGCCUAUUACAGCGCCGAACAGACACGGUUUUUCCUGUACCGCGGACAGAGUCUUCCCUGUACUGUUCAAGGCCCAACAAACAGUACAAUACAAAAGGUUCCAAACAGAAACAAUAUUCGUACACUGAUUGCAUAAUGGAAGGUAUCAAACAACAUAAACACCUAAGUUAUUACAUGCAUUCACAUUCAUACAUUUUUACAACUCAAUUACAAUUUGCUUCCAGCCAAAAGCAACCUAAGUUAUUACAUCAUUUAUAUCUUUAAUGCAUUUUUGUUCUUUUAAUUCACUACGCCCCUGAGCUAUGUCGACUCGGGGUACUGCUAUCUCUGGUCUCUGGGGGUAGGGCACUACCUACGGAGCUACGCCCUUGCCUUGCGCCGCCGCGCCGCUCACGUGCGAACCUGUAACACCCCAAAGCAACGUGGGAUGAGAACCAACUCCAUGAUUCCCAGUGGGUACGGCCACCCAAGGAAAAAGCUCGACCAACAGGUCCAAAUGAGGCAAACUGCAGGUUAGUUUAAUAAACAGAUAGAUAUGAUAUCUAGAGUAUGCAACUAACGAUACCAUGCUUUGCCUAACAAAUGCAACAAUGCUAUGCUAUAUGCAAAUCAUGCAAUAAUGCAACUAUACAACCAAUUAGUAGUUCAUUCGAUACUACUUCCAAUCCUGCUAACCAUAGCUCAUCCAAUUGACUUCUAAGUUUUUCCUCUAUCUUAGAUUCCUGUCAAUCUCAAUUCUAUUCAUAAGGUUUCGUCUACUUUUACGAGCUAUCCACCCGACUCGGUGUUGAGUCAAUCAUCUGCGGAGUACCGCACAAAGCCAGGCUCGAGGCGAAGGACGUCUCACUUGCACCUCAGCCUUAAAUCCACUCAACUAGGAUACCGAAUCCACUCUAUAGCUCAUGUACUUGUCACCCAAUCACUUGGCUAACCCGAAGGGUCGCCACCAACUCACGUCUCAAAGUCUCAUAGGGGAAGAGUCUUUAAUCGCUCGGCUACCUCCGAGACCGCCUGCGGACAGCUAGCUACUGUCUGGACAGCUCACGACCGCCCCUCAUGUGACCAAACUCCGGAGAGCACAGCUUGUGUGGAGCGACCACCACAAGCGCAGACAGGCUAUGUGAGUAUGAUGAUCCAAUCCUCGUCAACUGAGGUUAUCCUGUUAACUAGGGUCAUCAUCAACAUGGAAUCAAUGUGUUCCUAUACUCAUCAUCCUAGUGUUUCAACUACACUAAGUUCUUAUAUCAUACAUCAUGACCUAUGUUAAGUGUCUCGUCUGUACUAGGUCCUAUGCCACUCACCUAGAUCCAAGUGACUCUAGGUUCAAUGCCCUCAUCACACAACCUAGGUUUAAUUAACUCUAGGUUCAAUCCACAAUCUAUGUUCACGACACUAGAUUCGAUNGCGUUAGUCCAUGGGCAAGUACGUUAGCCCCUUCAUGUGACAAAACUCCCGAGUGCACAGCUUGUGUGGAGCGACCACGACAAGCGCAGACAGGCUAUGUGAGUAUGAUCCAAUCCUCGCCAACUGAGGAUACCCUGUCAACUAGGGUCAUCAUCAACAUGGAAUCAAUGUCAUUCUUCCUAGAUCUUGCUUCUAGGUUCACUUGUUCAACCUAUGUUCACGACACUAGGUUAAUGCCACUCGAUCUAUUCAAUACCUAAUUGUCCACAUCGAGUUUCUAUAAACAUCCACAUUAUCAACAUGCAUAUUAUACUUAGCCUUUUCUCAUUAUGUCACUAUGUGUAACCCCCGAGAUCUCGGUGAAAUAUUGUGGACUUUAGCCAAAUUGACUAAAGUACUCGAAAGGAUUGGUUGGACGCGAUCCCUUAACAUCCCAACCAUGUUAGAAGGUUAAAAAUGAGUUCUAAAAGAGUUGGAAUGGUUUUAGCGUUGUUCGGUACGAAAUAGAAUCGAAAACGAGCUAAAACUGCAUUCUGGAGCAUUGUGUACCGGUACAGGUUGAUGGCUGUACCGGUACAGCAAGCGACCUGAAGAAAAGGCUACUCUCGGAUUUGGGCUGGAAAAAGGCUGUGUAUCGGUGACAGGAUUUCGUGUACCGGUACAGUGCACCGUGGACCACAGAAAAAGGCUGUUGUACCGGUGACAGGAACCCGUGUACCGGUACGGCGCACUGUGGACCGCAGGUGCAGCCUGCUACCGAAUUAGAGAGUUGGAGGGCCUAACUGCAAUUGUAGCAGCCCAAAUAAGACCCAAACCCUCUCCUCUCUUCACAGCAACAAGGAGAUCUCUCUCUCCCUCAUUUUCUCUCUCUAGAGAGCUCUCCAAGAGGUGGAUUUGGAGGAGUAGCUUGAGGGAUUUGAGGCUUUUGGAAGCUUGGGAGUUCUCCAACAAGAAGAACCUUGGAUAGCAUUGUGGCUAAGGUGAGGUUCCGUGCAAGAGUGGGUCUAGGGUUUGGUUUUAUGCCCUAGAACUCAUGGUUUUGGCUCUUUUGCAUAUGUAGAAACCCUCUAGAGUCUUGAGAACAUAUGAAAACCAUGGUUUCUCAAAGUCCUCUCAUGGUGAACUUCUAGGGUUCAUAUUUGAUGCCCUAGAAAUGGUUCAAAUGGUUUAGAAACGAGAUUAGAGAGCUUCUUGGGUGGUUCUAAGCUUGAUUAUGCUUAGCAACGAGAUCAAUCCUAAGAAAUUUAAUUAUGACUUGGUUAGGGCACCAAAUUUAGGGCUUUUGCCACCGGGUGUUUCUAAGAAAAAUUGGCCUUGUAGAAACCUAAUUGGGGACCUAACGAAUGCGUUGAAACGCUCGGUUCGGCAAUCCGACGAACGUACGCGAAGUUAUUGACGAAACGGUCGGUUUUGGUACAGAUAGCCGCAGCACGUGGAAUAAAGGUCUAAAAAUCAUGAGAUCGGAACUGGAGCACAUUGGAGUCAAGGAAUAAACUCCGGAAAAGACGGAUCGCGGUUCGGAGGUCGUUUGGAAGUCGCGCAAGAGUUCGGGCCAAACCGAGCAACGGUUGCCACGGGAGGCCGAUUGCAAAUGACUACAAGCAAUCGGAGCGCGAGUUAAGGUGGGUUGGUUUACUGAAGCGACUAGGUCGCCUUUAUGCCUAAGAAAUCAAGAAUCCAUGUUGAUGCAUAUAAAUGUAAAUGAAGCAUGUAAAUAAUGCAAGUAGCUAAAUAAUGCAUGUUGAUAGUGUGAUGUAAAUGAGAUAUAGAAUGCACUAUGAGCAAGUUGAAUAAAGCUAGAUAAUUAUGUGAAUGCAUGUAAGCAUAAUGCAUAGAAUGAAAGGCAUAUUGAUGACAUAAGUUAAAAUGAGAUAUAGAAUGCAUGAUGAACAAGUUAUAUAAUGCUACAUAAUUACAUGAAUGCAUGUGAACAUAAUAGAUAGAAUGCAUGUUGACAUUGUGAGACUAAAUGUGCAUGAAAACUAAGUUGAUAACCCUAGAAUGAUUAAAGUAAAUGAUGCUAUGUUAAGGUAUAGAUGAUGAGCAUGAUAUGAAAAUAGUACAUGCAAGUACAUGGUAAGAAUGCUAAGAAAAGGACAACAAGUAUAGGUGGACAUGAAUCAACCUAUAGAUCGAGUGGCAUAAAUCCUAGUGUCAAGAACAUAGGUUAAAUAAGAAUGAUGCCAAACCUAACGUAAGGAACAUAGGUUGUGAUAUAAAGGUGCUUAACCUAGAGUCAAGUGAACUUAGGUUGGAAAGAAUAAUAAUCCUAGUGUAAUAAACCUAGGUUAAGAAUGUGAAAGCAAUAAACCUAAUGGGCUAAUUUAGGUUGAGUAAAGGCUUAGACCUAGAGUGGUCAGUUCCAUAGGGUUAAGACCAACCCUUGGUUAAUGUGAUAUGGAUUCCGGAAUCUCAAAGCUUGCUGAUACACCCAAAGUGGUGUCGGGUGUGUGCGACGAUUUCGCCACCCAGGGGCUAGAGAACCAUUGUCGUGGCGUGUGUGCGAUGAUUUUGCCGCUGGAUGGUUAGCCAGUUUGUGGAUCCUACCGCCUGUUGACUGAACCACUGUCGUGGCGUGUGUGCGACGAUUUCGCCGCCGGGUGGCUAAGUCAUUGAACCUAGGCCGUUGUUGGGUGAGGUGCGAUUCGUUCGCCGCCAGACGGCUAGGACAGGAGUACGGUGAGCUGUUGCCAGCUGAGGUGCAUGUGAGAGUUCCUUCACCUCGAGCUAGACAGUGCGCGGACUAUCCGCGAUUGAUUGACUCAAGACCGAGUCGGGUGGCUUUGUUGACUAAGGUAAAGUGACCUUAGAGUAGAAUGCCAAAGGCUAAGAUAUAGCAUGGUUCAAGAAUGUUAAGAGUAAAGAAUAGCUAAAGAACAAAGAGUGGCUAAAGAAUAAUGAAUAGCUAAAGAAAGGAAUAGCUAAGAGCUAAAAGUAAGCAUCAAAUGGCAAAGAGUAAAGAAUGAUUAAGAACAUAAGUAGUGUUAAAGUAACCUACUUGCAUGAUUCCAGAUAUUGCAUAUUGCAUUUCGUGAGGCAGGACAUGUAUUUCAAUUGAAUAUAUAUAUGUUUUAUAUUGUUGAUCUAACAUGUUGCAGUGCCUCGUUAGACCUGUUGGCUGAGCUUGUUCUCUUGGGUGGCUAAACCCACUGAGGACUAUGGACAAUAGUCUCACCCCCGUGUUGCUGUUUUGGGGGUACAGGUACACACGUGUGCGGCGCGGCGGCGCAAGGCAAGGACGUAGUUCUGCAGAUAGCGUCCUACCCAGAGACUGAGAUAGCAGUACCCGAGUUGGUGGUCUAGCUUGGGAGGUUUAAAGAUAAGAACGAACUUUUGUUUAAGUUGUAAUAAGUAAACGAUGUGCUGAUUAUGAUUGUAUUUGGAGGUUAAUUGUAAAAGAAAAAUUAUGUUGUAAAAUGCAUCUAAGUUGAAUGCUGUAAUAACUUAGUAAUUUAUGUUUUUGAUACUUCCUUAUGCAAUCUAUGGUUGAAUACUGUUCCUGGUUGGAACCUCUCGUAUUGUUUUGAUUGCGACGCCUAGGACGUACAGGGAAAAUUCUGUCCGUUCGGCGGUCUGUCGGCGGCGCCGCGACCUGGCCAAAUUGGCGGGUGGUCGCGGGUCGUGACACUAUGCUCCCAUCUAGCAUGUAGGUUAACAUGUCAUAUGCAAAUAACAUCUAGCAUAUAUUUCAACAUACCAAUUUGCCAUUAUCAACUAGCAUGCAUUUCUAAUGCAUCAACAUGCAACUAUCAACUAGUAUACAUAAUAUUUAUAUGCAAUUAUCAACAAGCAAGUAUUCCCAUGAUGCUAGCAUGCCUAUGUUUUCAUUUAGCAAUUAGGUUCACAUGCAUAAUUCCCUAAACCUAUCAAUUCGGUUCACAUGCAUAAUUCCCUAGACCUAUCAAUUAGGUUUACAUGCAUUAUCUUCACCUAGCACACUACAAUGCCAACAUGUACCUAGCAUAUAUUUCACAAGAGGUUGUCAUGCAUUUCACUUUGCUUGUCUAUAUCAUGUCACAAUGUACUCCUCUAGCUUGUAUUCUCACACAUCAACAUGCAAGUAUCACCUAGCAUAUAAUCUCAUCAUGCAUAUUCUAUCUAUAUGCUUUAACACAUUCAUGAUGCCAUCAUGCACAUAUUCUAAUCAUGCUAACAUGCAUAUAUAUCAUCCAAGGUGGCUAUUACAUAAUAUCUCAUGCUUUCACCAAUGCAAUCAACUACCACUAAUAUAUAUGCAUCAACGAGAAAGCACAUUUCUCUUUGACAUGUAGGCGACCUAGUCGCUUCGGUAAGCACAACCCACCUCGAUUCGCGUUCCGAUUGCUUCGGUAAUCUAGAAAGCUAUCAUUGUUGAGCAUCAAAAGCUCACCUCUAAGCUUGUUCCAAUGGCCCAAAGAGGAAGAAGAAGUAGAGCUCUUUCUUCAAGCCUUCUCCUCCACCUUCUCCUUCCUUGCUCCACUUUUUAGAGAGAGAGAGGGAGAGUUAGAGAGAGAGUGUUACGAUAUAUUUUAUCUAUAUUAGGAUGUUACGAUAUAUUUUAUCUAUAUUAGGAUAUUGUGUAUUAUUGCCUUAUAUAGAGUAGUAUCAUUGCCUUCUAUAGAGUAGGACUAUAUAAUAUGUAAUCCUAGUUAUACUCUUACUAUAGUAGUCAUUGUUACUAUAGUAAGACAAUCUCUUGUACUAUAUAUAUUCGUUAAUACAACUCAAGAGGGCAUGCACUUUAGCCCUUCUUUCAUGGUAUCAGAGCGGGAACCCUAACGUUGGGAUAUCGAUUCAUAGCCACCAUCUACCAUAAAUCUCACCUUUUUUCUAUAGGUGUCUUUUCUUUUGGUUUUCUGUCUUCCCAGUACUGCUACAGUACUAUCGCUAUAGUACUGCUAUAGUAUUAUUGCUACAGUACCAACGCUACAGCACCGGCGCUACAGUGCCUCUGCUACAAUAUUUUCAGCCUUUCUGUGAUUCCUCUUUGCUGCUCGGACUGUCCUACUGUUGGUUGCUCGUAUCGCUCGGUUCUUUCCUUGGUGCGGUCGAUCUUAUUUGGUGAUAAGUGGUUCCUCUCAUGUGGUAGAAUUCAGUUUUUAUUUUUAUUUUUUUAUUUACAUCCUGUUACGAUAUAUUUUAUCUAUAUUAGGAUAUUGUGUAUUAUUGCUUUAUAUAGAGUAGUAUCAUUGCCUUCUAUAGAGUAGGAUUAUGUAGUAUGUAAUUCUAGUUAUACUCUUACUAUAGUAGUCAUCGUUACUAUAGUAAGACAAUCUCUUGUACUAUAUAUAUUCGUUAAUACAACUCAAGAGGGCAUGCACUUUAGCCCUUCUUUCAUGGUAUCAGAGUAGGAACCCUAAUGUUGGGAUAUCGAUUCACAGCCACCAUCUACCAUAAAUCUCAUUUUUUUCUAUAUGUGUCUUUUCUUUUGGUUUUCUAUCUUCCCAGUACUGCUACAAUAUCAUUGCUACAGUACCAACGCUACAGUACCGACGCUACAGUACCGGCGCUACAGUGCCUCUGCUACAGCAUUUCUGCUACAAUAUUUUCAGCCUUUCUGUGAUUCCUCUUUGCUCCUCUGGUGCCGCUCGGACUGUAGCGCCUCUGCUACAGCAUUUCUGCUACAAUAUUUUCAGCCUUUCUGUGAUUCCUCUUUGCUCCUCUGGUGCCGCUCGGACUGUCCUACUGUUGGUUGCUCGUAUCGCUCGAUUCUUUCUUUGGUGCGGUCGAUCUUAUUUGGUGAUAAGUGGUUCCUCUCAUGUGGUAGAAUUUAGGUUCUUUUCUUUUAUUUACAUCCGCUACAUUCUGAUUUAUCUGUCUUUCUUAUCUAGUGGUGGAUCCUUAUCUUAAGGUAGUAAAUAUGUCUUCUUUUACCUCAAAUUUGCCAAUUGUUAAUAUCAAAACUCUCAUACCACUAGAACUCACCGAUUCCACAUAUCUUGUGUGGAAACAAGUCUUUUUUAAUGUUCUAGAAAGUUUCGGUGUUACAAAACAUGUGAACGGAACUAGUGUUGUGCCUUCUCAGACUAUCAAUACUGCUGAUAAGAAGGAGGUUAUAAAUCCUGAAUAUGUGAGUUGGAAAAAGAACGAUACUACUAUACUUCCAUGGAUUAAUGCCACUUUAUCUCUUAGCAUAUUACAUAUGGUUGUUUCUAGCUCACCUAAAACUGCAUAUGAUGCUUGGAGAAUUAUUGAGACAUUUUCUUUAUAAGACUGCUUCCACGGCUUUUUCUCUAAAGUCUGAAUUGCGGAGCAUCAAGAAAGGCUCAAUGAGCAUGAGUGAUUACAUGCAAAAGAUCAAGACGAUUGGUAAUGCUCUUCAGGCGAUUGGUGAAAUCGAGUCAGACCAUAAUUUGGUCAUGACUGUUCUUCUAGGGCUACCAGAGGAAUAUCGAGGUUUUGUUAGUGCUCUAAACACACACAGAAAUAAGCCAACUUUUGAACAACUUCGUCUUCUCUUGAUGCAAGAAGAAACAGAAGUUUAGCGUCGCACUAGUGUGACUACGUCCUCUGCUAUUCCCACUAUUGACGGUGAAGCUCUUUAUGCCAAUCGUGGACGUGGUAAUCGUGGAGGCCGUGGAGGUAGAUAUCGUGGAGGCCGAGGACAACGUGGUAGACACUAUUCUGGUCGUGGAUCUCCUGGAAUCUACCCACAGUCUCAACCCAAUUAUCCUCAACAAUCUUACACUCCAAAUCAACAACCAUACAUUCCGAAGUCCGGCAUACAAUGUCAGAUAUGUGGAAAGUUCAAUCAUUCUGCUCUUCAGUGCAGACAACGCUUCAAUCAUUCUUUCGCUGCUGAUGAAGUUCCUCAGACCUUUGCUGCUAUGAACCUUCACGAACCCGGUGAGGAAGUUUGGUAUCUGGAUACCGGAGCAUCAAAUCAUAUAACCGCAAACUCUGGUACGCUAGAAGGUUUCCCUUCCGGGAUUUCCUGGGGGGAAAGAAAGGACUUCUUUGUACAGACUCCUUAAUCCAGAGAGUGCAGUGCUUGAAAGAUAUAUAUUUACAGGAAAAGAAGGAAAAUAAAGGCCAUUAGAAAUAUUUGUGGAGUUUGUCUCUAUCGCUUGCUUCUUCUGAGGAAUGGGGAUCCUUUUUUAUAGGCAAAAGAGGAGGCGGAUUGGGUGAAAAAAACCACGGCGGCACCUGGUUUUUUCAAAACUACGGUUGCCCAUGGUUUUUCCACAGUGAAACCAUCAUGGCGAGGGGCCCAUGGUUUUAUUCAAAACCGGAAGCAGAGGAGGUUUUGGCGUAAUCAUUCGGUGGGGCCCUUGAACACUUCUGUAAGGAAGUGAAUUCUCGAAACUCGAGGAUUAGACUUCGGCCAGAAUCGACUAGUUGUCGAGUGCGUAGGNCCAACUGUGCCGACGUCUGCUUAGUAAUGUUCGGUAAUAAGCUGUUCAGGUCUCAAGUCCAGAUGGAGUAAUAUGGAUACUCCCUCCUGAAGAAGCGAUGUUUGUUGCCCACCAAAAUCCAGGACUUAGAUUUACCGCUUCCCUCUAAGACGUAAUAGAAGUACUAAGCGGUCUUCGUCCGGUAAGCCCCAAAGCAUUCUGUAUAUUCUCUCGAGAGUUCUGGAAGAUGACCUUCCCCUACUUCUUUCUGUAUUUCUUAGUACAACGCAGAACGCUAUAGACGGUUUCUUUGUUCUUGCUUUGUUAAGGGUGAGGACCCGAAGAGGUUGGAGAUAGCUAAGGACUCGCAUAAACCCGACUGUAAAGCUACCUGAAGUAACUACCCAAUGGAUGAAGUAGCCCCUCCUCAUGAUAUAACCAACAUCAACUGGCCGAGAGGUUCAUACGAGUAAAAUAAGGCCACCGAGUAGGUAUGUGACGCAGGGUUUAUCGUGUGAAUAAACAGCUCGUACAAAAAUUUAAAGUACCAUACGGUUGAAGUUAACAUUCACUAGCACUAGGCUAUAAGUGAUCACGAAAAACCUUCCUUAACAAAGCAGAAGUUCCUUGAUUUAAUACGUACUCAAGUCGGAUAGUGGGAGUUAGCCUACCAGUUUGUCUCCAUCAGUUGGCUACAAACCUCUGCAUAGAGGCUACGAAGAGUCCCGUUGCUGGAUUUCUAACCUGGUUUACCGAAGGAACCCGCCUUACCACCAUGUUAUGAUGGAAGGUAAGAAGAUGAGUCUAUUGAGGUAUACUCCGCCAAAUACCAGUCGCUGGGGGAUGAGAUGAGAGCAUAUAAUGGCCCUGAUGAUUACAAGUAGUACAGCUUCACCUUAAUGUUCUAGCCCUAUCUUAGAACGCGGAAAACUUCCUUUUAGAGCUUAGGCGGGUUCAAGCUUACUUCGUUGUUCGACUGUUUGUAGCGUGUCUCGCCCACAAACUUUAACCACUAUACCACAUAGAAUCCGAAGUUGGCAUAGCUGUUCGAAGCCACUGAUAAGCACGGUUAGCGUUCGAAAGAGGUUCUAAAAUACCAGGUAUAUUUUAAAAUCUCUCUUAACCCAGACAGCGGAUGUUUAACCUCAAUGGCGUGCCUAGUUUUUAAGUAGGUCAAAAAGUACAGAGUACGAAUUUCUUCUUCUAUCCGAGGCUGCUGUAUCACCGUAGGGUUAAUGGUCUGUAGAGUCUACCUCACGAUUUCUAACUUGGAUAACGAUAAGAGCUAGCGGCUUACCUCUUUGUAUUCUUAGCACGACAAUGGUUCCAUGAACAGGUCACCCGAGUAGAUGGUGAGCUUCUGCGGUGCACCCUUUGAACCGUGUUUUAAGUCCUCGCUAAAGGCCUAAAGGUUGGAACUCCCGUUCCAACAAAACCUCCUGCCUCCUCUACUACGCUGGGGUUGAAAAGUAAAAUUAUUAAAAGAGAAAUUUAUUUGUUCAAGUUUAAAUUUAUAGACAAUAAAUCCUUAUAUUAAUCCCUAUCAGUUAAUAGAACAAUCCUUAACCAAUCUUCAUCAACUCGAAAUAUAUUACAUUGGUCCCGCAAUGUUCUUUGAUAGUUCAUUUUAAUAGGGAAAAGGGAGUAUAGAACAGGGAUGGAGAGUUAAAGAAUUAAGAGACCUCCGAGCUAGGGGAGCUUCACUAGCUAGGCUAUGCCAUCUUGGCAUAGUGCUCGAGCGGCUGCUCUCUAGCAGUUCCUCCUCUCUCUCUCCCACCCUCGCCUAAUCCCUUUACCCAAAAACUCCCCCAAACUCAUCGACUCUCCUUCACCUCCUCAGUCCCCUCUCCGGUCCACUCGACUCCCUCACUCCUAAAAAAAUUAAAAGAUUUAUAAAUUUAAUAAUUAAAAUUUUAAUUUAAUUUUAUAAUUAAAUUAAAUUAAAUUAAAUUUUUAAUUUAAUUUAAAUUAAUUAAACACCGUUGAAAAAAAUAACGGUAAUAUCUAUUGGUCGCUAAAUAAAAUAGUGGUGGUAUUUAUUGAUUUAUCACCACUGUUUCAUUAGUAAAUCACCAUUUCAGUCAUAGCGGUAAAAUUCAAUUAAUUAGCCAUCUUUAAAAAAAAUAGCGGUAGUAUCUAUUCUUUUAUCACCGCACCGUUGUUUUAUCAGUAAAUCACCAUUUUAAUCCUAGCGGUGAAAUUUAAUUAAUUAGUCACCGUUGAAAAAAAUAGCGGUGAUAUCCAUUGAUAUAUCACCGCUAUUUAAAACAAUGGUAGAAUAGAAACGGUGGUUAUGAUGGAAAAGAACAUCACGACCUUAGCCUUAGCCUUACUCGCUUAGGGAAACAUCCACAUAAAAAAAAUUGAAAAAAUUAAUUUUAUACUCAAAUUUAAAUUUUUAAUUUAAAAAUAAAAAUUUUAAAUUAAAUUUGAACUUAAUUUUUAAUUUUAAAUUAGUUCAUAAAGCUUAGAUUGAAUACUUAAACUUAAAUUUAAUUUAAAAUUAUAUAUAUUUCAAAAUAAGUUUAAAAUAAAUUUUGAAUUUAAUUUAAAUACCUAAGUUUAAUUUUAAAUUUAACAUUAAAAGUCAAACUUAAACUUUACAUAAAAAUAUAAAACUUAAUAGGUGAGUUGAAGUUUCAAAUAUAAAAAUUUUUUUAUCUAAAUUUUAAAAUUGUAAUAAAGUUUUAAAAUUACAUUUAAAAAUUAUAAAUUAAAAAUUAAACUUAAAUUUAAUUAUAUAAUAUUUCUAUUUCAAUCAUAUAAUUAGACUAAUGCAAAAAAUAUAAUGAACUUGGUUUGUGGCUGUUACUCUUACUAAAUAAGGCUAAGGCUAAGUCCACUACUUGGUUUGUCUUAAUCCGUUACUCAGUAAGGCUAAGGUUAAGGUCGAAUAAAGCUAAGGCUAAGACUAAGACUAAGGGCUGAAGCUUAGUUUGUGCGGGAUUCAGAGAAUAUAUAGGUUAGUGUAAAGGAAAGCAUAAACUACAACCUAAUAACUUCAGACUGUUAUUCAAGUCGUCGGCCGAUAACCUCAGUGUUUGGGAGGUACUGAUGUUUUGACAGCGUUGAAAUUAAAAGAGAAUCGGUUUUUAGAAAUCACACAGUAUCUUAUUUUUCAUCAAUCUUAAUUCUACGAAAAUUAUAUAUAUAUGAAUAAUUUUCUACGUAAUUUUCUACGAAAAAGAAGUCUACUAUGAGUAAAAUCUCUGAAGAAAACGGAUGAUCUACUCUUCUAAACCUAAUGUGUACAAUUUAGCUUAGGUUAUUUUAAAAUGCACGUCUUUGGUUAAUCUUGACAUUACCUUUUCAAUGUCGAAUAAACACCAAUUCAGGUUGUAAUAGAUUUUAAUAUCAACAAUCUAUAUUUUUAUAAAUUUGUUGGUAAGAUAGAGUUUGUUGGCAACAUUAAUAUUUUCAAUUCGACUAUCUCUUGCCACAAAUUGAUAAAAAUAUACAUUGUGAGAGUGAGUGCAGACCCAAGCUCUAUAAAGUGUCCGGGUAAUGUAUCUAAACUUAAUUUACCCUCCUACACACUGAGUUUGACUCCUGCAGACUAUGAUAGACUUUACUGGCAAUAUGAGAUUUUAAAAUCGGCUAUUUCUGCUAUAAAUUUAUAAAAAUAUAAAUUGUUAUCAAACCAAGGUGUUGGUGUUAAGUUAGAUAAAUUUCAACAUGGAUAGUUAAAUUUUUUUUUUAAUUUAAACCAAAUGACCACAACCUACAGCUAGUAGGGCUGGGAACUGGGUCAGUUUCUAGAAAGAGCCCUUCGCGCAGCCCCAACUUUGCCGAGGCUUUCUACUGGGAGCUUCACACGCGGGAAAAUGACUUGUUGGCUAAGCCGACUACUCCCUAGGUUAGUCGGCCCAGACUUUCGAGAUAAGAGAGAAGCCAAGACGGCCUACUCAGCUUACAUGCUCCCUUCGGCCCUUGAGCUGGUCCUCUACUCGGCUUGCCGAUUUUGUCGUGUUCUAGACCGGCCGGACUUCUCGGCUUUUACUGAAAGAUAACUUACUUGGUUAUCUUUCAUGUCUUUCUCCCCAAAAUUAGAUGUUGCCUCACUACCGGUACCUCGUCUGUCUGAGGUUCUAAGAUUCAAUGGUUCGAUGACGAUCUUUUUCGCCAUUUACGUCCUUUCUUUCUACGCCAUUUUAUUCUCACCAGAAAACAAGCGUCCCCCUUUUCUGGGAAAAAAUCCCAUAACACUUGAAUAAAUAUCUCAGCGGGGACUCAACCAAUAUCGGGAACGUACUAGUCGGUAAUAGAGGAUAAUAAAACCUGGUGGAAGUCAGCUAGUCUUGGCAGACAUUGACGAACGCCAACGAUAUUGAGGGAGCUAAAACCAUGCCAAGCACAAGGAAGACCACGGGGAUUACAUGAGAGCCACGUGGCGACUUUGGCGACAUGACCAUACCUGGGCCACACGGUCGACAAACGCGGCUUAACCGAGUUGUUAACGGGGGAGCCUUCGAAAGCUUCACUGUGAAGCCAUCGACCGCAAAAGGUUCCGCGCAAAGUGGAAAACCGUACCAAAAUAAACUUAGCGAGCCAAGUUUUAGGGCGGUGACGAAGUUUUUCCCGCACUAGACUCCGUAUGAAAAGUUAGGUUAGUUAAAGUUUAGAAGACGCGAUCACGGACUGCAUUACGUUCUGGGUCACUGAGCUAAAACCAGCAAGUAAAAAAAAAAGGAAAUGCCGGGACUAAGUAAGAGCUAAAAACAGAAUAUACACCGUAAUUAAUACAGGAGAAUUAACGGCGGCAGAUAAGUAGUAGUAUCGGCUGGAGCCUUGAGCGAAGCUACGCUACCAAGCUGUGCUGCCGAAAAGAAGAAGGGGUUCGAAGUGUAAGAAAAACAGAAAAGAUGGAAAAGCAAAGAAGGAGAAGAAAAGACUGCUUUAGAAAAGUAAAGAGGAAGCAGAAGAAGCAGCUUUGGAAAAGUAGAGAAGAAACGGAAAAGGCUGUCAGAAGGAAAGCAGAAGGAAAUGAAAGACAAAGACACAAAAAAAAAAGAACAAAGCUCACUACCGCGGUGAAGGCGGCAAUGGAUGAGCGGGAAGUAACCUAAUGUGGAACGAGUUUGGCAUAGAAGGGAAUCUGGGAUGGUCUAACUAGAACCCUGGAAGAAAAUGGGUUCUAGGUUGAGGACUCCUAAAAGGAAAGAGGUCACUGCCAGAAGGUAAUUACCGACUGAGAUAAGUAGAAGUAAGGACCAUGAGGAGUCGGAGCUGUCCUUCCUCAGAAUCCUGAACCGGCUCGUGGAGUCUACGUAUAGAUAGAACCAAUCUAGCUCAGUUUAGACGAAAUACCGCUAAAAACCUUUCUCUAACCCUAAAUACUUCGAUAGGUCGAUAGCGCCUUUGGGGGAUAUCGACUAUUGAAAAACAAUCGAAGUCGAGAGACAAAAACCAGGGGACAGAGGUUGUAAAAAGAAAAGUCUCCUCCGGGUGAAUGGGGUUGAGAAAAAAUACAUCGGCGGUAACAACCAAAUGCGGGAGUACCGCAAUGGGAGAGGUACCGGAUAUUAGGACUACCACAUAGACUAAAACUCCGGGUAGAGCUAGAGUUACUAAACUGAAUGAGAUUCAAAGAAGCAUUCCAACGUCCACUUAGGGGACGAGGCCAGUGGUCAUUCCUUGUAUGCCGCAAGGAGGACAUGACCGAUACAGUAUUAGAAAAGACGUGAGCAAGCAUCUUUUAGUUAGCUCUAAAACAAGGUUAGCGAUAACCAAAUAGAUUGCCGCUAUUUAACCGGAACCCCAGGAUAAAGGAACGAAAACAAAUGUCCUUUUAAAAACUAAGGUAAUUCGUCAAUGAGAGACCUCUAUCACAUUGGUAAUCGAGUCCAACGCCGUAAAAAACCAAAAACGUUUAUAAAAACGUUUAAAUAAAAGCAUUCAACACGGCUCUUGGAAAUCUAUACCUAAGCCGACGGGUAAAACUGAGGAUACCCGAACGAGAGUUGACGGGAGGCAGCAACUGUAGACCUGUAGGAGAACUAAAAGGGUGAAUAAAAAAGCAAAAAAUACUAAGCUCAGGAGUGGAAGAGUAAAUAACCAGAGGAAACCGACUGGUUCAGUGACCGGAGAGAACCAAAAAUCGGUCCAUACUUAGAGAAGUUCCACUCGAGCGAAGAAGAGCACGGCCGCUCGUAGAACUACAAACCAUAAGAAAAAACCGGGGAGCCCUAAACGUAUAACUGAACUUUUGCGUGAGCUUCAACAACGGGUCGUGGCUCCAAAUGAGAGGUGUCAAACACCGCGCGGUUAAACCUAAAUGUGUCCGUUAGGGACGAGGUCGGUUUGAGAAGUACCGAUUAUGACAGCAAAUAGCGAGCGGAUGGUUCUCAUAUCGGCUGCGGCUAGCCUAAAGUCGGUACCCUUUAGUAGAAGCCGCUAAAAAGUUUAACUGAUCGAAGUUCGGCUUAAUAUGGCCUCAUAAUCCGAAGGUGAUAUGGCAAUUAACCCUAUAGAAAGAGUUCUUGUGGAAAGGAGGGUAAUAAAGCGUACGUGUGGCGUUCUGAGCAGUGGGUGAGCCAUACGAUAGAGUAAAUUCCAACUAAAGUUAGUUUUUUUCUCUUUUCUAUAGUCAAACUACUUUAUAAGUAAGGUGCUUGGGCUAUUUCUAUCAGUAUAUCAUGAGGAACGGACAUUCGUCGGCCACGACACUCUCAGUACGACUCCGCGCCACGGAAACCAGCUUAGGGACAACGGAGGAACUUUCUCUCUACAGGACUUGGUGAUCUGCUAUCCCCGUAUAACAGUGCAGGGCGAUAGCGGUUAAACCAGCUAGGCCCGGGCGCGUGUCUGCGGCUUGCUUGUCGUGGAGGAGACAAGCGGGUUCCGAGUUGUUGUUGCUCAUGUACAUAUUUCUUUAUUUAUUAAGGGUCCUAGUGUAAAGUCAUAUGUACCGAACGUGCUUCCGUUCGUUGUUGUGUUCACUAUCAUUUGAUUGACAUGUUACUUUAAGUGACAUUAAAUUUUGAAAUGUAUUGACUUGAACAUUGACUUUGUAAAUCAAUAUAUGUACGAAAGACAUGUAAGUAAAUGCACAGAGACAUGUAGUUUUACCUACUAUGUACUUAAUUUGUUCCACCCAUGUUGGAGUAGGAUAGGAGAUCGCAAUUAACUCUGCCUCGUCCUGACGUGAUAAUGCAUCAGCAACAGAAUUAUCAACUCCCUUUUUAUAACGAAUUUCAUAAUCAUACCCGAGCAGUUUAGCGGUCCACUUCUGCUGCAUCUCUGAAGAAACCCUUUGCUCCAUCAAAUAUUUAAGACUACGAUGGUCGGUAUAGAUAAUGAAAUGCCGUCCUAACAAGUAUUGGCGCCACUUGUUGAUCGCGUGCAAUAUCGCCAUCAUUUCCUUUUCGUACGUCGGGAGAGCACGAUGUUUUUCAGAAAGAGCCUUGCUAGUGAAGGCUAUUGGUCGACCUUCUUGCAUUAGAACACCACCAAUCCCAAUACCAGAAGCAUCACACUCGAGUAUAAAUGUUGUAGAAAAAUUCGGUAGUGCCAAGACUGGGGCCGAGACCAUGGCUUCUUUAAGGGCAUUAAAGGCCAAUGAUGCCUCGUCAUUCCAAUGGAAAGAGUCCUUCUUUAAUAAAUUCAUUAAAGGUGCACUAAUCUUGCCGUAAUCCUUAACGAAUUUUCGGUAGUAUCCGGUAAGGCCUAGAAACCCCCGGAGUGCUUUAAUGCCUUUUGGUGUAGGCCACUCAGUUAUGCAAGCUAUUUUUUGAGGAUCGGUCGCAACUCCUUCGCGCGAUAUUAUAUGCCCCAGAAACUCCACCUGCUGCUGGCCAAAAGAACACUUCGAACGUUUUAUAAAAAAUUGAUUAUCCCGAAGAGUUCGAAAAAUUACCUCGAGGUGAGAUAGAUGAUCUUCCCAGGACGAACUAUAAAUUAAUAUAUCAUCGAAGAACACCAAAACGAAACGCCGUAAAAAAGGCCUGAAUACAUCAUUCAUAAGACUCUGAAAAGUAGACGGAGCAUUUGUUAGCCCAAACGGCAUAACGAGAAAUUCGUAAUGCCCCUCGUGCGUUCUGAAGGCCGUUUUAGAAAUGUCAUCUUCAUGCAUUCGAACCUGGUGAUAACCAGAUCGAAGAUCAAGUUUAGAAAAAUAAGCCGCACCAUGUAGCUCAUCCAACAAUUCAUCAAUAGUCGGAAUGGGAAAUUUGUCCUUGAUAGUAAUAUUGUUGAGUGCUCGAUAAUCAAUACACAUCCUCCAUGAACCGUCUCGCUUUCGCACUAGCAGAACAGGGGAUGAAUAAGGGCUGUUGCUUGGUCGGAUAAUGCCAUUCGCGAGCAUUUCCCUAGAUUGCCGCUCGAUCUCUCCUUUCUGAUAAUGAGGGUAACGAUAGGGUCGAAUGUUUGGGGGUUGACUACCCGAAAUGAGAGGAAUCCGAUGAUCAUGGGAGCGCCUUGGUGGUAAAGUGGAAGGAAAUCCGAAAAUACCAUCGUAGGCCCUUAAGAGGUCUAUCAGAUCCGAAGGUAAGGAAUCCUCUACCGCUUUCUCCUCUGUCGAGUAUAGAGUCAUGUAUACAGCAGUCUUACUUUUCGUCAGCAGUUUCUCGAUCAUAUAGCCUGCUUACGAUCUGUGAUGCUGGUGCUCUUGAUCCCUUGAUUGAAUACUGCUGUCCAUCGAUUGUAAACUGCGUAGAAAGCUUUGAAAAAUCCCAAAGAAUAGGUCCAAGAGUAUGAAGCCAUUGGGCUCCAAGUACCACAUCGCACCCGCCGAGAGGAAAAACAUAGAAAUCUGUUGUAAAAUAAUAAUCUUGAAGAGUAAUAGGUAGGCUGGAACAUUUACCUCCGAUUGCGACUUUCUCGCCGUUGGCAACCAUCACCUCAAAAUGCUUUUCUUCGGCAAUUUGAUAAUGCAUUCUCUUGGCUAGAUCGCAAUCUAUGAAAUUGUGGGUGCUUCCUGAGUCGAUGAGAAUAGUAACUGGUUGUCGCUUAAGAAGACCCUUCAAACGCAUUGUUUGGGCAGACAACGACCCGGAUAUAGCAUGCAUAGAAAUUUCCGCCGGCAAUUCUUCGAUAUUAAUAUCCUCGGGAGUGUCCUCCAUAUUAUCUUCGUCAGGCUCGCCUUCGAUCAAAAACAAUUGUUUUGUUUUGCAUCGAUGACCAGGGCUAUACUUCUCGUCACAAUUAUAACAUAGUCCCUUCUCUCUUCUUAUUUUUGCUUCGGCCGGCGUGAGACGCUUAAUUGGUGGGAGACAUGAGCAAAACCAGGUUGAUACAUGCUCCUAAUAUACCCUCUUAAUCGUUUUGAUGUUGUUCCAAGCUGCGUUUCACAAGCACUAAUAGUCCGGGCUAAACUUUACGAACGUUUGGCGUGCUGCCCCGAUAGGCUCCGUAAAAAGUAUUCGACAAAAUAAUCGCCGAACGCCCUCCUGGAGUUCGUACUACAGGCUCGUAAGGCUGGUUGUAGAUACAGACGGCGAUAACCAGAACGUGCGGAAGUUCUCCUCUUCGAGAAUCGGGUUGCUGCAGUCCACUCUGGAUGGGGAUGAUCCGGUUCAUUAAGAUGCUGGUGUUUGGGCUUUCUUCGNUUUAAAAAAUUGUUCUGCUUGGUACACCCAUCCAGCUGGAUCCUCGCCAUCAAACCGAGGAAACUCCAGUCGUGUGACACGAGGUAUCACCAUCAUAGAGUUCUCCAUAGAAGGAACCAAUGUCCUUUCCUUGAAAGGAGUAGGAAGAAGGGGGCGAUUUUUAUCGGAACUGGAGGCGGAUGUAUCUACGGACGGUGCUUGCGGUUGCACAUCCAUUUUUGUGUUCAUAGCGAUAAUUAAAUUUUUAAUAUCGUUAAUGGAAUCGCUAAUGGAUUUUACCUCGGUCUCCAGUUUGUUUAAUCGAAUAUCAACGUUAUUCAUUUCCUCCCUUCUUACGAACUCUCCGUCCAUCUUUCGUAAUAAUUCCCGUUGUGCUCGAGUCAGGACCAUACAAGCUCUGAUACCAAAUGAUACGGUUCUACCGUAUCGGAUCGAUCACUUCGAGGGGAUCGAGCCUCCAGAGAAUUAAGAAGUUGAGAGGUAGGGACAAGAUAUGAGGAAAAAGAGAUAAUAUUACUUGAUAGUUUCUUGUAACGCCCCGGUUACAUUAUAUAGAGUUCAACUACUUCUAAUCAUUUCCUAACAAGAUAAUUGACUAUCCCUAAUUAUAUUCCUAAAUAACAGAUAUUUAAAUUUGAACUUGUUUAUUUAAAGAGAAAAUUAUUAAAAUGAAAAGUUGGGGUCGCAUCAGAUCCCGAACCUUAAUUUGAUUUUUGACUAAGUACCUGGCCUUUUAGUUUUUGCAAUGUGUCUCCAAUAUUUUAUUAUUUGUUUCAAUUAAAUGUCAGCCAUAAAAAACCCUAUCAAUUUGGAUAGAAUUUACAUGCCAAGUUUGGUGGUGGUGUUGAUGCGGUAAGCACUGCUUGGUAAUUAAUAUGACAAUUGUUUGUUGAAGUUACAAGAUUUUUUUAUUGCAAGGGCUUUAACUAAAUAGUGAAGGACUUGAUUGCAAAAUUAAAAGUUGGGGAGGUGGAAGUGAAAAAUUGGGCGUGGACCAAUUUAAUCAUUUUCAUAUGUUCCAAGUUGGAAAGACUUUAAUUUUUUUAGUAGACCUGGAAAAAUCGAAAACAUUUCUUUCUGCUUAAGCUUGAGCAAUUUUUGGGCGAAGCAGGUAAAUGCAUUUCAGCUGUCUUGUAAGAAAUUGUUGACUUAGAAAAAUCUCUGCCGAAAAUAAUUUGUGUGCGCUCAGGUAGCAUUAGGCUUGGGAAAUAAACCUUUUUUGGUUUCUCUGAAUUAUCGUAAGAAAUUGUUGACGUAGAAAAUUCCCUGCCAAUUAUUAUUAUUUUUUAUUUUUUAUUUUUUAUUUAUCAUUUUUUUAGGUAGCAUGUGGCUCGAGAACAAAAGUUUGAUGGAUAGCUUUCGAGUGUGGCUUUGAACAAGGGAUAUAUCAGAACUAGCUGGAACAAGUACAAAAAUUUGUAUUUGGCAUUAUUGUCUGAUAUAUAUAUAUAUAUAUAUAUAUAUAUAUAUUCCCUGAGCUAGUUUGGAUGAAGUAAGUCAAGAACAAAGCCUAAUAUUUUUUUAAAAAAAUUUGCCAAAAGUGCCUUUCUAUAUCAUAAUUGAAGUUUAGCCCAGUUUCGAAAUAUUAAAUUGGGACCUUUCUCGUCUUAAGUUUGUUGCCAAGCACAAGUACGGCAGUACAUAGUUACACAAUAAAUUUGGUGAAGAGUUAAAAGUAAAUAAAUUAGGAUGUAAUAUAGGACUUAAUUAUGAUAAAGUACAGGACUUCGUUAUGACGAAGUAUAAAAUUUUAAAUUCAUAUGUUUUGGAGUAUAUAAUAUCGUGAAAAUUUUAACUUAGUUCGUCGAGCAUAGUUAAACAUUGAGCUAAUUUCUCAAAUUCAAAAGGCAUGCACAAUUAAUUACGUAGCAGCGAGAGUACAGAUCUAGCGAAAGUUGGUAGCUCUCAUCACAAUAGGGACAAGGAAUAAACUUGUGUCCACUGUUCCAUAAUUGCUUGGUUAUAUUAGUACGGGGUGUGCCGCCUCAUUGUGCUUCAUCCAGAACUCUUCCGUAUUUUCCUCUAUACUCAUUACUAAUAAAGAAAGAUUUUCGGGAAAGCCUCGAAUUUCUCUGAGCCCUGCACUUAUUCUCAUCUCUCAGCCCCCGAUCCCCGAAGCUUUACUAGGUCUCCUCUUUCUCCAUGAAUUCACUCGACCACUCGGCCUUUGUUCCCUUGGAACAGAGUAGAUGUCACCACCACCUCGCAAGAGCAUGAUUGAUGCUUCUCUGUCCAUUUUCUUGUUUUUCGCACAGCAGGAGAUCGAUCGAAAGCACGAGUUCCAAUGGCCCAGCCUUCAAUGCAGGUCAAAAGAAAAGCAUAUGGUCUCGCUAAAUCUGUUGUGCCGUCAUCAUUAUCAUCACCUGGGGGCAGGGGUUCUACUACAUCCAUGUUAAAGUACAGAUUGUUUCCUCGAUGCCGUCUAAUAAAAAGUAUGUCUCACGUAGCAUGCAUGCUAUCACAAUUUGACACUGCAGUUUGUAAAGACUUGGCAUUCCUUGAAGACGAGGCGAAUUUUGAAACGGUUUUAUGAAAUCCCAAAUGCCUUUUUCCUCGGCAUUCCUUUCGGGUUAUUUGGUUUCUAAGAAAAGUGUGGAAAUAAAAAUUUCAAGAAAAAGCUUUUCAUGACAAAUUGUUUUCUUUCCAGUUUUCUGUCCAUUUAUUUUCAAGGAAAACAAACUUUUGUGGAAUUUUUUUUUUCAUGUUUUAUAGAAAACUAGUGAUUUUGCUGAAAAAACUCUAAAAAGGAAAAUGCUAGUUUUCCACAACAUAUGGGAAAAAAGGUUUUCAAAAUACUUGUUUUCCUUCCAAACAAAUGAGCGAAAAAUUGCAAAAGAAGUUUUCCAUGAAAAUUUUUUUUUUUUUUCCCACACUUUUCGAGGAAUCAAACAACCCCUUAAAUAGAUGAGUGGUGAGAAUUAUAGAGAUCUCAGCGACUUUGAUGAGACUCAGCAUUCGUAUUGCCACUGAGUUAGCUCAAAUGGUAAUGCUCGUUCAACCUGAGAUCUUUACGAUGACUUUUGUAAAGAUGAGGAUUAUUAAGUAACUCGACUCCUUUCCAAUGAAAUAAAAUUUCUCACUUUAGAAGUUCGUCAGUACUGUUAGUUAAGAGAGCGAUUGUGGUGUAGUUUUCCAUAAUAAAGUGAUGUUUCAGAAAUAAAAUCGGAUGAGACUGAACCCGAUAUAAUAGAGUUUUUAUUCAAAAAGCGCCAUAUUUUGUAUGUCAACUUACGAUGAUUUUAGAGGUGGAGAAAUUUAUGAGCAAAACAAACCGGUGGUUAAGUUUUGAGUAGGAAUGUGAACUAAAGGGGCUAAAAUAUAAUUUUUACAAAAUAGUCUUACGUACGAAAUUUUGGAAUUUAAUUUGGCAAAUGAAAGGACUUACGUAAAUAUAGGCUUAGAGAGAGACGUGUGGAUUCAAAUUUCACGAAAUUCAAAAAAUUUGUACAAAAUGGCAUAAACGUGAAGAUUGAGAGUCAAAAUUGAUUGGCGGUUUUCUUGCAAAAAUUGUGAUAUUUUAUGUGUGGAAUUGUAAAAUUUUACUGCAAGAAGGGCUUUUGUGCAAAAUGCGAAUUGCUUUGAAGUUAUGGGCGAGAAAGCAACAACGGAUGAUCUAAUAUGCAAAUGUUACAACUGAAAUCCUAAAAAACUAAACCUAACCCUAAGGGUGCGUUUGGUUCGCAUUAUGAAAGAUUACUAGGAAUAUAAGAUAUCCGAGAAUCUUAUUCCUAUUCAUUCUAUUACUAAGAAUGUGGAAUUCCUGUGUUUGGUUCGCACGGUAAUAUUAAUUAGUCAUAUUAUUUAAUAGUAUAAAAAAUAUACAAUUAAUUAAUUUAUUUAUUUAAUUAAUUUUAGAUAAUGUUACCAAAAGUUUCAACAUCUUUUUAGAAAAAAGGGAGAGAGAGUAUAAGUUAGAGAAAGAGAGCAUAAUUAAAAAAAUAGAAAGAAAAAUAUAAUCGAAAUUAGAGGGAGUGAGAGAGUUGAAAUUUUAGAAAAAGAGAGAGAAAAAGCUUAGUUUAGAGAGAGAAAAAAAAGUUAAAUUUUAGAGAGAAAAAUAAGUUUAGAGAGAGAUAUAAGGUUAGAGUGUAAAGAAAAAUAAUAUCAAUUAGCCGACGAGUAAGAAGAAAGAAAGAGAUUAGAUAUAUUAUGAUUAUCCAAAUCUAUUAAUAUGAGGAUACCCACCAUCACUCAAGGGAAUGAGAUUAGUACUUUGGGGUGAAUCUUAUUCCCAAGUGAAUCUAAUAUUACCAACUAAAUUACUUAGUGCGUUUAAUCAAACACCGUCAUAUUUUUUUAUUCCCAUUUGAUUACUAAAAAUCUUUAAAAGAUAGCGCGAACCAAACGCACCCUAAACUUAAUUCCUCUCUCUCUCUCUCUCUCUCUCUCUCUCUCUCUCUCUUCGCCCAAACUGCAGCCGCUUGUCACGGCACAAAGAUUUUCUCCGCGAUUUCGCUUUGCAAUCACCCAAACUCCAAAGCGGACAUCUGACGGAGGUUUUGGCUUGGAAUCUUCUAGAAGCUUCUACGCGGAUCUCGAGACUGAUGGUGCGGAUACCGGAGAGUCAAGAGUCCCUUGGGGUUUCUAGGUAGCCCAUUAAUGUACUUAGAGUUUCUAUGCAUAUUUAUUAUGACUCUUGGGAGACCGUAGCGUACUUAUUGGCCUCCCCUUUUGGCUUGUAGUAUUGUGCCAUUUGGCACCUUUUCAUUGGAUGUAUGGGCGGCGAGUGGCCUAUAAAUAGUGUGGCCUCCACCCCCUCUCAUUUCAGAAUCUCAUAUUGUAUUCUCAAGUUUAAAGCAAUAGAAGAGCUUUCUUCUUAUCUCUCUCUUGUAUUUAGUCUAGGACAAGCGAGGUCCUAACUUAGCAAGUAGAGAGACAGGCUUGCUCACUUCGGGAAGGAAGGCGAGCGCCGCACGGGCUUUUGCGAGCAAAUUCAUUAAGUCCGUGACAGUUGGUAUCGGAGCCGGUUCGAGAAGGAGCCAUGUCGUCAUCAGAGGCCGCUGCUGGCGACGUUGGGGGUGAUGCCUCCAAGCAACCCUCCAAGCGGGGCAGGGGCAAGGGCAAGGACACGCGAAUCACGAAGGAUUCCGUGUCGGUCGAGGACCGCCUUGCACUGUUGGAGGACAUUCUAUCGAAGGUGGGAGAAAGGUACACUGAGAUGACCGAUACCUUUAACGCCUUCAAUGACGAUGUUCGCAGUAUGGAGGAGAGCGUCGCCACUGCCAUGGCGACCUUUCGAGGCAAGCUCGAGAAGUUCCAAGGCAACAUCACCCGUCGUGACGAGGAGCGGAAGAACUUGAUCGAGGAGCUAGUCACUCGAGCCGACGAACUCAAGACGAGGGUGACUAUCCUUGAGAAGGCGAUGGCUCGAGGCGGUGAAACGCAGAAGGAGUACACCCCAAAGGUCCGCGUCCCUGAACCCCAAUGCUUCAAGGGUUCACGCGACGAGAAGGAGAUAGACAACUUCCUUUGGCACAUGGAGCGCUACCUCAAGGCGCUGCGAAUCGAGGACGAGGAGGACAAGGUCCAGACCGCUUCCAUGUACCUCACUGACAAUGCAAUGCUGUGGUGGCGUCGGCGUUCUGCAGAGGCCGAGAAGGGCCAAUGCAAACUGGAUACUUGGGAGGACUUCGUGCCCGAACUGAAGGCACAGUUCUACUCCGAGCACGUCGAAUACUUGGCGCGGAGGCAACUUCGACGGCUCAAGCAUAUAGGAUCCCUCAAGGAGUAUGUCAAGGAGUACUCCAAACUGAUGCUUGCCAUCACCAGCAUGGCCGAGGAGGAUCGGCUGUUCUUCUUCCUCGACGGUCUCCAACCGUGGGCUAACAAGGAGCUCGUGGCGAGAGACGUCCAAGAUGUGAACUCCGCUAUCGCUCAAGCGGAGAAGCUGCUGGAGUAUGACAAGCCGGACUUCGCUCGUGGCAAACCAUCCAAGGCGGGCAAGGCCAAGGGUGGGGGAGACCGUCGCGAGCAGCGUGAUCACAGGGGCCAAGAGCGAAAAGGCCCUCUGCAGAAGAAGAAGAUCUCUUGCUAUGUCUGCGGGGGUGAUCACUGGGCGAGAGAUUGCCCAAAGAAGAAGACCGUCAAUGCCAUCCAAGCCGAGGAGGGCGAGGAACAAGCGGAGAUGAAGAUGGGCGCGCUACGACUCGUCAGCACGAUCCAGGGCAGGCGAGCAGCAAACCGCUCAAGGAGCUGCUGUUUGUGGACGUGACCCUCAACGGGAGGGCCACUCGUGCGCUCAUGGACACGGGAGCGACCCACAACUUCAUCGCCGAGUCUGAGGCCAAACGGCUGGGCCUCACACUUGAGAAGGACACGAGCAAGAUCAAGGCUGUCAACUCGGUGGCACAGCCUCUCGUGGGAGUAGCCAAAGGGGUGACGAUCGCUGUAGGACCUUGGUCGGGUACAGCGAACUUCACCGCCGCCACCAUCGACGACUUCAAAGUCAUUCUCAGCAUCGACUUUCUAGCUUCAUCGAAAGCGGUCCCGAUGCCGCACCUCGGGGCCUUGAGCAUCAUGGAGGAGGCAGCCCCGUGCAUGGUCUUGGCUAGCCGCAGCGAGCCAGCGGCAACCCACACCCUCUUCGCUCUGCAAUUGCGGAAGGGGGUGAAGCGCGGCAAAAUCACUUAUCUUGCGGCCAUCCGCGAGGUGAGCGACGAGGACCUCGAGGAGUCCUGGGGGAGUUCAAGGACGUCAUGCCCCAGGAGUUGCCCAAGAGACUUUCACCAAGGCUGGAGGUGGACCAUGCGAUCGAGCUCGAGACAGGAGCAAAGCCACCAGCAAAGGCACCAUACCGCAUGGCCCUGCCAGAGCUCGAGGAGUUGCAACGUCAACUGAGGGACCUCCUCGAUGCGGGCUUCAUCAGACCGUCGAAGGCACCCUAUGGAGCACCAGUCUUGUUCCAAAGGAAGAGCGACGGAAGCCUGCGGCUCUGUAUUGACUACAGAGCGCUCAACAAAGUGACGGUAAAGAACAAGUACCCUAUUCCCCUUGUUGCUGACUUGUUUGACCAGCUUGGCGGAGCUAAGUUCUUCACCAAAUUGGACCUUCGCUCGGGGUACUACCAAGUCAGGAUCGCGGAGGGCGAUGAGGAGAAAAUGGCUUGCGUGACGAGGUAUGGAGCCUACGAGUUCCUCGUCAUGCCAUUCGGCCUGACGAAUGCGCCAGCGACCUUCUGCACCCUGAUGAACAAGCUAUUCCACCCCUACCUCGACCGCUUCGUGGUAGUGUACCUCGACGACAUCGUCGUGUACAGCAACACUCUGGAGGAGCACGUCGAGCAUCUGCGGACGAUCUUCCAAGUGCUGCGGGAGAACCAGUUCUAUGUCAAAAGGGAGAAGUGCUCCUUUGCGAAGGAGGAGGUGCACUUCCUUGGCCACUGGAUCGGCCGAGGACAACUCCAUAUGGACCAGCAGAAAGUGCGGGCGAUCUGUGAGUGGGAGGCGCUCACGACGGUGUCCGAGUUGCGAUCCUUUCUCGGACUUGUCAACUACUAUCGCCGCUUCAUCGCGGGCUACUCUGCUUGAGCAGCCCCUUUGACGGAUCUGCUGAAGAAGACCCAGUCGUGGGACUGGACCCCUCGAUGCGCGGAGGCAUUCGAGGACCUAAAGCGGGCGGUGACAGAGAAUCCGGUGUUGUGGCUUCCCGACUUCAGCCAUCCAUUCGAGGUACAUACUGACGCCUCGGACUUUGCCAUUGGUGGUGUUCUCGUGCAGGACGGACACCCCAUCGCUUAUGAGAGCCGCAAGCUCAACGACACCGAGCGGAGAUAUACGGUGCAAGAGAAGGAGAUGACCGCCGUAGUGCACUGCCUCAGGACUUGGCGGCACUAUCUCCUUGGAAGCAAGUUCGUGGUGCGGACGGACAAUGUCGCGACGAGCUACUUCCUCACUCAGAAGAAGCUGUCACCCAAGCAGGCAAGGUGGCAGGACUUCCUGGCGGAGUUCGACAUGGAGCUCAUGUACAAACCCGGGAAGGAGAACCAAGUAGCUGACGCACUCAGCCGCAAGGCGGAACUGGCAGCGGUGUGUCAGAUCCAAGGCGCGAUCAGGGAGCGAAUCUGCGAAGGGACUUGCGAGGACUGUUAAGGAUUUUAUAAGUUGGCGAAUUUCGUGAAGGGUUUGGAUGGAGUCUCGAAGAAUUAGAAGAUGAAGAUUGACGAAAAGAAUUGAAGUUUUGUGAUCAAAGACACUUGAGAACUCAGGUAUGAUUAGAAACAAUUUAUGGUGAAGUUUUCAUUAUUAAAAGAUGUUUAGAAAACUUGGUUUUCUUUUCAUUUAUUCAAACUUAAGUUUUCUGAAAAAAUCAGGGGUCGGGGACCGGUCCUUGAUCAGAGGGACCGGACCCAUCAAGCUUCUCUGCGUAGAAGUUUUGGGAGACCGGUCUCUGGUCUUGAGGACCGGUCCCCGUAAGUGGUUUUCCUUGUUGCGCAGGGAAGGACCGNNNNNNNNNNNNNNNNNNNNNNNNNNNNNNNNNNNNNNNNNNNNNNNNNNNNNNNNNNNNNNNNNNNNNNNNNNNNNNNNNNNNNNNNNNNNNNNNNNNNAAUGGUGAAUGAAUGAAUGUAUAGUCGUUUCUAUAUUCAUUUGGUUGUGGUUGUACCUGGGUUACUCCUUGUACUUGUGCGACGCCGUGCAAAUAUAGGGGAGACUCUGUCCGCGUGAACAGUGGAUUUCCUGUAUUUGUGGCGGAUCUGGCAUUCCCUGGCGUUAGGUUUUCAAAAAAAAAAAAAAAAAAAUUUCCGCGGUGUUUUUAACCUAAAGGACCCCGGGGCUUGACAUAAUUCAAAAUUUAAAUUAGUAAAUUUAGAUUUAAAUUUAUGAACAAAAUUCAAAAUUUGAAGUUUAUUUUGAAUUCAUAAUUUGAAAAUAAGUAGUUACUUAAUUUCAAUUUGAAACAAUUUGUUGACAGACCCAACAUUUAAAAUUUAAAAUUAAUUUUAAAAUUUGAAUUAAAAUAUAGAUUCACGCUUGAAACUAUAAAUUAAAUUUAAAAUUUAAAGUCGAGCUAAUAUAUUUUACUUAAAGAAUUCUAUUUUUUAAACCUAAUUUAUUUUUAGUUAUUUAAUUGAAAGAUAUCGGAUAUUGCAAGCAUUUUUUGUGUGUUUGCACGCAAUAGAUAUUCUUUAGAUGGAAAUUCUCUGGAUAAGUAUAAUUCUUUUUCUAUUUUAGCAAACAUAAUGAAAUAUAAAAAAACAGGUUAGUAAAUAAUUAUUUUAAUAGUUAUUUCAAAUUAACAUAAAUUUGCACUUUAAAUUUAUCAAAAAAUUUACAAGAAAACUUUUAAUUUUUAAGAAACUAAAUUAAUUUGUAAUAUUUUAUUUCAAUAUAUCUAUCAUAGUAUAAUUCAAAUUUCAAAUAGUUGCCGCUGAAAAAAAUUAUAUAGUUAUAUAUUUUUUUCUUUUUAUAUAAAUUGAAUAUUUCCUUAUAUUUUUUCUUUCUAAAGAAUCUAAAAUUUAAAUAUAUGUUUUAAAAACUAAAAUUACAAAAUUUUAAUCUCGUUUAUAUUCAAAAUUAAAAUUAAUUUUUUAUCUACUUUAAUUAGUAAUUUUACUGUUAAUUGACAUUUAAUAUCACAAAUUAUAUUUAAUUCAGGAUUUAAACUCAAAUUUUAAUUUUAAUUUAAAAUUUUAUAAUUUUAAAUUUAAAUUAUAUAAUUAAUUUCGACUCUAAAUUUUAGAUGAAAUAAAAAUUAUUAAUCAAAUAAAAUUUUAAUUUAUAUAGAUAUUUAAAUUUAAGUUUAAAUUUGAUUAUUGGUUGUAAUCAAUAAAAGUUUAGAUAACAACUUAAAAUAAUAUUUUAACAAGUUAAUUAAUUAAUUAAAUAGGAAUAUUGUAUAAGAUGAUGGAAAAGCAUGUUAAUUAUUAAUAUAAUAAUAUUUUAACAUGUUAAUAAAUUAAUUAACUAGAAAAAUUUGUAUAGGAUGAUAGAAACGCAUGUUAAAUAGUGAAUUAAUUAUAAAAAAUAAAUUAAAUGUGUUGCCUAAUUAAUUAAUUAUACAUUUAGUAUUGAUUAUUGGUUGUAAUCAAUAAAAGGUAAGAUAACAACUUAAAAUAAUAUUUUAACAAGUUAAUUAAUUAAUUAAAUAGGAAUAUUGUAUAAGAUGAUGGAGAAGCAUGUUAAUUAUUAAUAUAAUAAUAUUUUAGCAUGUUAAUUAAUUAAUUAACUAGAAAUAUUGUAUAAGAUGCUAGAAAAGCAUGUUAAUUAGUAAAUUAAUAAUAAAAAUAAAUUAAAAGCAUUAACUAAUUAAUUAAUUAUACAUUUAGUUGAUAAAUUAAGUAGAUAAGUUAAAGUAUUAAUUAUUUAAUUAAUAUAAAUAUUAGUUAUAAUUUUAAUAAACAUAUCAAAUUAGUUUAUUAUUUAAUUAGCUGAAUGAUUAUAUAUAAUAAAUUAUUUAUUAGUAUUUUAUUAAAUAUAUAUUAAUUUAAUAAGUCUAGUGGUUAACAGAUAUUUAAAAGCUAAUUUGUUAUUAAUUAGCAAUAUUUUAUUAUUAUUAGAAACUAAUUAAUAGAAAAAUUAUUUAAGAACUUAAUUUUUUAAGAAUAUAAUAUAAUACUUAUCAUAGUUUAAUUAAUAAGUCAGUAUUUAAAGGGGAGAAUAGAGGAAAAGAGUAGCUGUUCCAUGAGAAGGCAUGAAUAGUAAUUCUCCUCUCUUAACCGGUUAUUUUAGAAUAACCUUUUAAGAGUGGAAAAACCAUUUUUAUAUCCCAUUUGGUAGAAUAAGGGGAUAUGUUAGAAUUUAUUGGAUUUUUUUGUGAUUUAAAGCUUGUUAGACCAUGGGCAGCCCAAUACUUAAUAAGCCUUAUUUGGGAGCCCAACUAAAGUUUUCAUAUGUGAGGUUUAGUCUCACAUUGAAAACUAAAAAGGUGUUGUUAGUAUUUAUAUAUUCCUUUAUUCUCAAACUAGUUGCUUGAAAGAAAAUGUGAGUUAUACUUUCAUUUAAACGCACACACUGUCACGCCCCGGAUGUCACGUUCCCCGGGCACGCCGACAAAUCCGCCGUAUACAAAGGAAUUUUUCCUGUAUACGAAGCGACAGCUGUACCUGUAAACAUACAAUACUACAAACAGUAGUAUAGAGCUGCACGAAUAAACAAAAGCUAAACAAACGAAACUCCAUAUACAUAGUCCAAUACCAAAAACCCAGAGCUACUCGCACUGGCGAGUUAAGUAUACUAUGUACAUGAACUCAAAACAAAACAUCUACCUGCAGUAAGGGUGCCUCUAGCUCUGCUCGUCGGGUAGGGCUCUAACUCGCAAUGCCUUUGCCCCGAUCCUGAUCCGCGGAAGGUGCAGCAGCCGAAACCUGUGGCUCUGCAAAACAGGGGUAACAACUGGGCGUGAGAACUACUGUAAAAACAAGUAGUCCUCAGUGGGUGCUGUUAAGGAUUUUAUAGGUUGGCGAAUUUCGUAAAGUUGAAUGGAGUCUUGAAGAGUUGAUCGCGGAAGUUUGAAGAAAAGAUCCAAAUUGAAGAACAAAGACUCAUUCGGAAGCUCGGCAUCUCAGGUAUGAAGAAUAGAUGAUUUAUGGUGAAGACGUUUAAUUGUAAUAAGUUCAGAAGGCUUAGAUUGCUUUAAAAAUUCUUUUACUGAACUUUUGUGUGUUCUGGGACCGGUCCCUGUGUUGAAGAGACCGGUUCCCCUAAGGUCCUCACUGCGUGAACACUGAUGCAACCGGUCCCCUGAGAUGAGAGACCGGUUUUCGAACGUUCUGUUUUUUAUCACGCAGCAAGGGACCGGUUCCUCACUUAAGAGACCGGUCUCUCACAGACCGGUCUCCUCGAGAGGACCGGUCUUUGAGGACGACAUAUGUUUUUAAAAAGGACUUUUUGCAAUCCUAGUCUACUUCUAAGUCUUCUAAACAUAUAAAUAAGCUAUGGGGGUCAUCUUAAAAAGUUUAAGGCUUUGAAUUUUCUAGAUUCUAAACCCUAGAAACUUGUUUUUCCGUUCUAAUGCUUCUUUUCACCUAACAAGUUUCGUAAAAUCAACAAUCGACUUGGUUCUUCGUUAUUACUCUAGAUCUUAUCCUAGAAUCAAGUUGAUAUUUGAUUAGAAGAUGAACCCCCAUAGCUUAUGGGAUUCUAAAGCUUAAUCACCACAAAUCUUCGAUUCUAAAAGCUCCGGAAGGAGACUUGGCGCGUGGAGCUCGCGUGUAGCCGAGGAUUCGGUAGACGCUUCGAGGAGUUGAGACGUUGACGCUGCGAGAAGUUGCGGCGAGGUCGAUUGGAGGAUUCCUAUCGAUCGAGGACCGGCGAAGAUCACCAUCAACAAGAAAUCGGUAAAUUGAGUCGUGUAUUUUUGUCAAAAUCACUUGUACUCAAGUUUUCUUAGUGGAUUUUCUUUGCGUGAUCGGUCCCGUGGGUUUUUCACUCCGAAUUGGAGUUUUCCCACGUUAAAUUCUCGGUGUCCUAUUUUAUUUUCUGCUAUUUCGUUUUAUUUGCAUCGAGAUUUUUGAGUUUGCCGUUUUUACACCUAUUCACCCUCCUCUAGGUGUUACUUACCUUUUAGAUUCUCGAGAUCCACAUCUUACAGGUGCCGCCCAAAACACAUCGGUCCACCCACUAAGUCUACAGAAGGGAGCAAUGGUAAAAGUAAAAUGCGGGAAUGAACUCUACAGUUACUAGUCACUACACCAUCCUGCUCUAUGUAACCAACUGUAGGAAAUGUCAAAACUGAUCCAAUCCAAUCGGGACUGUAAACAUACCUGUCCUGGGGACUGUGAAUACACCCGUCCCUGCCCCGUUGGGACUAUCCAGCUACCUCCACACUAACUGGUCCGUGGAGAGCAAGUCCAACCGGCAUGAGCGACCCCAACGCAAAAGCACAAAGCCCAUCUCCGGAGUGGCACUCGUGGGCGCUACCCAACCGAGUAUGCAGCGUAUCUCUGUCGAGCUCAAUCAGGCUCUGUCAAGCCAAAGUCCAACUAACCGACUCUAACUGGUCUAACAACAAACAAGUAACGUGCCCUCGGCACAAUCUGAUGCCAAAACGGCGAACCGGGCCCACCGUCAACCCUAACGGCGCCCAAGAGUCCGAAACAGCCCAAACGACCCUGUAAAAAUCCACUCGGCGUACUAGCACGAACGUAAAUGUAUUCUAAACUACCUGGAGUACUCGUCUUGAGGAUACUGCGACAGUACAAUUUUAUAACGGCUCCUAGAGCUAAAUCAGGUAGUUUAAACAAGUGACAGGUCCAAAUCGCAGGUUUUCUCCUAAUUCAAAUUCCAAGUCCAACAUGUAUAAUCUACUCAAUUUAUUACCACAUUCUCCAAAUUCAGAUUUGCAAUCUACCAUAUAAUCCAUGAAUUCGAGCUAGAGUAGAGUAUCCAAAAGUCGAAAUUUAUACAUGCCGACGAUUAUGAACUUAGGAGUAAAACUGAUGUAAACCCACCUCAAGAAGCUAGCUCCUGGCAGCGAACGAAGCCUCGAACCAAAGUGACCCCUGCUGGAUCAACUGGAACCCUCCAAUUCUAGCACUCGAGCUAACUCCAAGCUCUACGAUCAAAAUCCAUCAAUUUAAUCCGAAUUUCGCAGCAACAGAGUAGAAAAGGGAUUCGACCAAGCUAAUCUUCACCAAAUCUAGCAAGUAAGGGCUUCGCGGAUUCCUCUCGAAGUCCCGAAUCCAACGAACCAAGUCUCGUCACAAUCCAAUGCUCCUACGUCGAGUACGAGCUGAAAUACUAACAGUCGAUGAUGAAUUUCAGCAAACAACAUCACUCCGAGUUGAAGUAGUAAGAACUUGCCCAAAAACAAUGGAAAAGCUUAAAUACCCACCUCGACGAUGCCAAGCACCUGUGUGAUAGCAAGAACGGCGAAAACCUACGCUCGCCCGGCCUCCACGCGCUACCCCGGCGUCAAACACGAGCUCGAACGGCUUCGCGGCGCGACGUCGGCGACAAAAUCCUUCCUUGCCUUCAACCGGAUGGGAGUGAGAGAAAGAAGAAGAAAUGCUCCCAAAGGACUCCUCUCUCUCUCUACACAAAGCUAUAUAAAGAGAGGGAGAGCUGCUAAUACAAACGAGGUGGAGAUUUACUCAAAUACCCUCUCACCUACCCCCUUGUACCAGUACACGAGCUCCUGUACCGGUACAAGAGCCAACCCGAGAGCUGCUAAACCAGUGCGCGCUGGUUGUACCGGUACAGCUACGCUGGUUGUACCAGUACAACAAGCAGAGAAAUCUGCAAAACUGCAGAUUUCUUUGCUAUAAGCUGCCCUCGCGUCGCAUGGAGUCCGUUUUGCUUCUAUUUGACGCCAACGCGACUCGGACUUGUCCCGACACUGUCCAGAGCUGCCGACAAGCCUCCACAACAGAACACCAGGGAUCUCACACGCACAGCACCAGCAAGAGUUGCGGCCCGCGACACGCGCCGUCCAUGCACCCGGAUUAUUUUAUUUUAUUUUUCUUUAUUUUUAUUUAAGAAUUUUGUCUUGGUUAUAUAUAUUAGACGAUGUUGCAUGAGUUCAACAGGAACCCAGACAUACCUAAGAGCAAAACCCUACCCUCUAUCUCGUCUUUUUCUGCUUUCUCUCCAUUGAUCUUUUACGCCGUUUUUCACCGAGCUUUCUCAUAUUUUGCUAUAUCUGAAGCUUGUUGGAUUCGUCUUGUGACACCUUGAAAGCAUGCUGACAGGGAGGAAUAUGAUUGUUGUAUCACCGAAAGUAAUUGCCGGGAAGUCUCGCAUGUGGAUGGACAAUUUCGCUUCUAGGAAAGUACUCUGCAUGUCUCGAUCCACAAGCUUUUUUUAAUCCUUUUCUUUACAGUACUUAUUAUUUAUUUUUUUUUCGGAAUUUUUCAAAAACUAAAAUUAAACUUUUAGUUAUUUUUAAAAAAUAUUAUAAUAAAAAAUCAGAAAGAUUUUUCCAACAGGAUAAACACCUUUACUCCCUGCUUAUCCUCCAUUUUGUUUAGUCAAUUUCCGCAAUUAAAAAAAGUAGAGUUAAGGACAAAUUUAAUUUAAGUGAACAAAAUAACAAAAUGGAUAUUUACGUCAAAAAUAAUUUUACUUCUUUUCGCUCUUGAUGAAAUAAAUUUACUCUUAAGAACUUGAUAGUUGGUGCACGAUGUCUCAAAUUCCAAACUGUUGGUGUCAUAUAUUUCUUCUUAAAUUUAUUUUAAAAAAUAAACGAAUUGAAUAAUUUAUUAAUUUUCUGUUUAUGAAAAAGAAAAAAAAAAUUAGAGCAAAGUCAAACUGUCUGUGAGAUCCCUGGUGUUUAGCAGUGAAGGCUUGUCGACUGCUCUAGAGAGUGUCAGGACAAGUCUGAGUCGCGUUGGCGCGAAAUAAACGUAAAACGGACUCUGUGCGACGCGAGAGCAGCAUUUAGCAAAAAAAAUCUGCAAAUAGCUAUUUUUCUGCUUGCUGUACCGGUACAGCCAUCACGGUGUACCGGUACACUACACAGGCUGUGCGCUGACUGCUCUCGGGUUGGCUUCUUGUACCGGUAUGUUAGCCCGUGUACCGGUACGCCAGGGUAGGUUGGAGGACUUUUUGGUCUUUUUCCCCCUCGUUCGUAUCACCAUUUCUCUCUCUCCCUAUUUAGGCUUAUGUAGAGCUGAGAGAGAGAGUUUUCACUAUCUUUAUUCCUCUCUCUCCUCUCCUUGUGCGUGACCGAGCGUGGUGGAGGAGCUCGGGUAGAGUUGUUCCGUCGCCGACGUCGCGCCGCGGAGCCGUUCGAGCGCGCGUUUGUUGUCGUUGCAUCGCGAGGAGGCCGGGCGAGGGUGCGUUUUUGCUGUUCUCGAUGUCGCGCCGGUGCUAGAAUCGCUGUCGAGGUGGGUAUCUAAUUUUCCUCCCUGGAUUAUUUGAACGCGCUAUUUUGGGCUCUUAGGUGCUGUUUUGCUGAUUUUCAGCGUCGACCGUCGGCGUUUCGGCUCAUUCUCGGCGUAGGAGCGUCGGAUUUCAACAAGACUUGGUUCGUUGGAUUCAGGACUUAGAAAGGAAUCCACGAAGCCCUUAUUUUAUGGAUUUGGUGAAGGUUAGCUUGGUCGGAAUUAUAAUCUCCUCUGCUGCUGCGUUUCGGACAGAAUUAAUGGAUUUCAGUGCUUUACCUUGAUGUAGCUUUGUUGCUGGAUUUGAGGGCAUUUCGGUUGAUCCGGCAGGUUAUCCCACAACUGAGGGAGUUCAUCACUGUUAGGGAUUAGCUAUCGAGGUGGGUUACAUCGGUUUUGUAGCACACUGGACCUUUGCAAAUUGCGAGGUUUGAGUGUUUGGAUGUAUUUCGAGCUUUUCCACACUUGGUGGAGGGUUCUAGAAUGUUUUCCGACCUAAAAAGUUCAAAAACUGGAAUUCUGGACAAGUCCUGAGAGUUUUUACUCUCGGGGACCGGUCCCUGGAAGGAGAGAUCGGUCCCCCAGUGAGCAGUGUUGCGGCAGCCCUGAGGCAACCGGUCCCCGAGCGCGCCUUCGCAGAGAGAGACUGGUCCCACGCAGGGAGAGACCGGUUCCCGAAAAUUGGUUCUCCGGGUUCGCAGCAAGAGACCGGUCCCUGCUGGGGAGAGACCGGUCCCUCUGGGCGAAAACUGCCCAGACCGGGCUGUGGUAAUAUUGGAUUUUUGGAGGACCUAGCUGGAUUUUGUUACAAUAGAUGGUCUAUAUGACCCAUCCACCCUCUCUUCUCCUCAUUUUCCCUCCUCACACUCUCCCCACAUCCUUGCUAGAGAGAGAAGAAGGAGAAGAAGAGGAAGGAGAAGAAGAGGAGAAGGAUCUAGCUUGGGCUUGGAGCAUCCCUUUGCCUUUCUUCCUCUUCCCACCUUGUUCGUGCUUGAAGGCUUGGACUUGGAGCUUGCAAAGGAGAAGAUCUUCACCCUUUGAGCUUGGAUUGGAGCUUCUUAGAGGUUGGUAGCCCUUUCUCUCCAUCUAGACCUUGGAUUUGAGGUUUUAUUGUAUUGGAACCCUAGAAUGAGGUUUUAGGGUUGAUUUUGGGGCUUUUUGAUCUAGGACUUUUGAGGCUAGAUUGAUUGGAUUAGAACAUUCCUUGAGCUUGGAUUGGAAGGAUUCUAGCUCUCUUUUAGAGCUUUGGAAGAGAUUUCUUCUCUUGAGGUGAGUUUUAGCCCUUUUUGUUAGGUUGUUAAAGUUUGACCUUAUAGAUUGGUCGUAAUGCCCGUGUAUCUCUUCGCUCAAUGCUUCUAAGGUAUUUCGAGACUCGGGGACAACUUUGUUCGGCGAAACGGGGCACUACACGACGGUUCGGUGGGUUUGACCUAGCCUACCUAUGAGAAAUUCUCAUAUAUGGUUAUAUAUGUUCCGUAAAUUGAAAAAGCAUGCAUGUUCAUACUAAAUGUAUUUAUUAUGAUUUUUAGAAUGCUUAAAAUGCAUAUGUUAUAUAUGAUGAAAUUUUGGACCUCUAUGUAGUAGAGAGUUGCUUGGGAGAUCUUUGGUUGCAUUUAGCAUUCUUUAUGAGACUUGGUUUCAUGCUUCUAUAGUAUAAAUGAGUUCGGAUUCAUGCAUUUAAACUUGAGUUUACUUGUGACAUGAAAGAUGACAAGAUUGCCAUUUAGAAGGUAUGUGAACUAGAGAGCUAAUGUCAUCAAGCGGCAUUGAGCUCGGGACAUGUGAGAACCUAGUGGAUAGGGCCAUUGAGGGAUUUGGAAUACAUGUUGAACAUCAAAUUGCCUAAGUGUCAUCAAGAGGCACUAGGCGUAGUGAGUGUUUGGAACUUCGCUUUGUGACUUAAACUAGAUCUUCGGGAUGCUAGUGACGAUACCAUGUUAGAGACAUGAGGAUUGGAUACUUGAGACUUGGACUAUGCUUGCUUGCCAUUUGUGCUCAUUCGCACAUGCUUGUGAGGGUCGCUCCCUACAAGCCGGCACUCCGGAGUUAGCCUACGCGACUUAUGUUCGCUCGUGCGGUAUUGAGAAGCCUACGGGGUCGAGUGGGACAGACACAUUCCAAGAGUAGGGAUGUUGGGCUACCACAGGCACUUAGGCGGCGCAAGCUGGACUACCCUUGGUAGGUCCCUAAUUGGAAAUGGAAAUCGACACGGGAUGAGUUUGUUAUAAUCACUACUAAAUAGAGAGUGGUAGUUGGAUUACUCGGACUUGCUUCUAGCAUAGGUUUGGACUUUGGGUAUACACACAUACAUGUAGCAUGCUAGGAGGCAGUGUUUAAUUGCAUUCAUAUAAACAACGUUGCUAUGAUAAGGGAUAAUCCUCAUAAUUUCAUUUAAGCAAACCAUGACAUUAUUUAUGGCUAAGUAGAGACAUACUCUUCAUGACAGGAUAAUUGUGCAUUACAUAAAUGCCAUGUUUAAUCGCAAGUAAUAUUUUAGCAUUUCAUUAUGCUUUCAUAGAUGCAAAUUACUCGUUAUUGCUAUCGCUUUUGACUUACCCUUUUUCUUUUGGGCCUAGUGGUGCAAUGAGCUGAGGUCAGUAAUUGCCCACUGGAAACUAUAAAUUAUAAUUCUCACGCCCUCUAUUUUAUGUUUUCUUUCAGAGCCUUCCACGCCGGGAGAGGCUAGGGACCGUGGGAAGGGCGUCGCUUCGAGUUAGCCCUUCAGCGAGAGACGAGUUUAGGUGGUCUACCUCUCGAUGUUUUAUUUUGUGAGAGGUUGAGAGUUGUACCCGUAUAUGUAUAGAGACCACCUUUCUUUUGGAUCUUGGUAUUUCUUUUGAGGAGUUAGUUUCGUAUCACCUUAUGUUUUACUUUCUUCGUCUUGGCAUAUUGCCUUUACUCUGGUUUAUAUGAUAGAACUUUGCUCACUCUGAUAUCAUUAGUUGUUACUAUUCUAUUUGUUCUAUUUCUUGCUUUUACUUCCGUUUUAUUGUAGACGCCUUAUAUGUGUAGACAUAUGGCGGGUUUGGGCACGCUACCGGGAGGGCCUCUGCCGGUCCUGGGGCGUGACAGAUUAAUUUUGUAACACACUGGACCUUUGCAAAUUGCGAGGUUCGAGUGUUUGGAUGUAUUUCGAGCUUUUCCACACUUGGUGGAGGGUUGUAGAAUGUUUGCCGACCUAAAAAGUUCGAAAAUUAGAAUUCUGGACAAGUCCUGAGAGUUUUUACCCUCGGGGACCGGAGUCCCUGGAAGGAGAGACCGGUCCCCCAACAAGCAGUGUUGCGACAGCCCUGAGGCAACCGGUCCCUGGCGGGCGAAACCGGUCCCCGAGCGCGUUUUCGCAGUGAGAGACCGGUCCCGCGCAGGGAGAGGCCGGUUCUCGAACGUUGGUUUUUCGGGUUCGCAGCGAGAGACCGGUCCCUGCUGGGGAGAGACCGGUCCCUCUGGGCGAAAAAUGCCCAGACCUGGCUGUUGCAACAUUGGAUUUUUGAGGGGCCUCUCCAGAUUUUGUUACACUAGAUGGGCUUAUUAGCCAUUUCCUCCUCUCCCCUCUCUCAUUUUCUCAUUCUCAUCCUCUCCCUACACUUCCUAGAGAGAGAAGAAGAAAAAGAAGGAGGAGAGGAAGAAGAGGAGCUAGCUUGAGGGAGCUUGGAGCUCAACCCCUUUCUCUCUUUUCCACCUUUGCAAGGCUUGGAGCUUGCUUGUAGAGCUUGGUGGUGGGCCAAUCUUCAACCCUAGAAGGCUUGGAGCUUGUUUGGAGGCAUCUUGGGAGGUUAGUACUUGGAUUCUACCCUUUGAUCCUUGAUUUUGUAGGUUUUACCAUAUGGAACCCUAGAUUGGAUAUUAGGGUUGAUUUUUGGGGCUUUUUGAUUUAGGGCUUUUGAGGCUAGAUUGAUUGAUUUAGAACCUUCCUUGGGCUUGGAUUGGAAGGAUUCUAGCUCUCUUUUGGAGCUUUGGAUGAGAUUUCUUCUCUUGGGGCCAAUUUUGGCCCUUUUUGCUUAUAGGUUAAUAUUUGAUCUUAUGGUUGGUCGUAAUGCUCUCGUAUCUCUUCGCUGAUCACUUUUAGGAUAUCUUGAGGCUCGUGGACAACUUUGUUCGGCAAAUCGAGACCCUACGCGACGGUUCGGUGGGUUUGACCUAGCCACACAAUGAGAAAUUCUCAUUUGUGCCUAAUUAAGUAUCGUUAAAUGAAAAAUCAUGCAUAUUCUUGUUAUAUGUAUUUACUGUGAAUUUUAGAAUGCUUAAAAGGCCUAUGUUAUAUAUGAUGAAAUUUUGGACCUCUAUGUAGUAGAGAGUAGCUUGGUAGGCCUAUAGUGGCUCUUAGCAUUCUAUAUGAAACGUGGUUUCAUGCUCCUAUAGUGUAAAUGAGAUUGGAUUCAUGCAUUUAAACCUAAGUUUAUUUGAGACAUGAAAGUUGACAAAAUUGCCUUAUAGAGCUAUCGAACUAGAAUGUAGGUGAACUGGAGAGCUAAUGUCAUCAAGCGGCAUUGAGCUCGGGACAUGUGUNNNNNNNNNNNNNNNNNNNNNNNNNNNNNNNNNNNNNNNNNNNNNNNNNNNNNNNNNNNNNNNNNNNNNNNNNNNNNNNNNNNNNNNNNNNNNNNNNNNNNNNNNNNNNNNNNNNNNNNNNNNNNNNNNNNNNNNNNNNNNNNNNNNNNNNNNNNNNNNNNNNNNNNNNNNNNNNNNNNNNNNNNNNNNNNNNNNNNNNNNNNNNNNNNNNNNNNNNNNNNNNNNNNNNNNNNNNNNNNNNNNNNNNNNNNNNNNNNNNNNNNNNNNNNNNNNNNNNNNNNNNNNNNNNNNNNNNNNNNNNNNNNNNNNNNNNNNNNNNNNNNNNNNNNNNNNNNNNNNNNNNNNNNNNNNNNNNNNNNNNNNNNNNNNNNNNNNNNNNNNNNNNNNNNNNNNNNNNNNNNNNNNNNNNNNNNNNNNNNNNNNNNNNNNNNNNNNNNNNNNNNNNNNNNNNNNNNNNNNNNNNNNNNNNNNNNNNNNNNNNNNNNNNNNNNNNNNNNNNNNNNNNNNNNNNNNNNNNNNNNNNNNNNNNNNNNNNNNNNNNNNNNNNNNNNNNNNNNNNNNNNNNNNNNNNNNNNNNNNNNNNNNNNNNNNNNNNNNNNNNNNNNNNNNNNNNNNNNNNNNNNNNNNNNNNNNNNNNNNNNNNNNNNNNNNNNNNNNNNNNNNNNNNNNNNNNNNNNNNNNNNNNNNNNNNNNNNNNNNNNNNNNNNNNNNNNNNNNNNNNNNNNNNNNNNNNNNNNNNNNNNNNNNNNNNNNNNNNNNNNNNNNNNNNNNNNNNNNNNNNNNNNNNNNNNNNNNNNNNNNNNNNNNNNNNNNNNNNNNNNNNNNNNNNNNNNNNNNNNNNNNNNNNNNNNNNNNNNNNNNNNNNNNNNNNNNNNNNNNNNNNNNNNNNNNNNNNNNNNNNNNNNNNNNNNNNNNNNNNNNNNNNNNNNNNNNNNNNNNNNNNNNNNNNNNNNNNNNNNNNNNNNNNNNNNNNNNNNNNNNNNNNNNNNNNNNNNNNNNNNNNNNNNNNNNNNNNNNNNNNNNNNNNNNNNNNNNNNNNNNNNNNNNNNNNNNNNNNNNNNNNNNNNNNNNNNNNNNNNNNNNNNNNNNNNNNNNNNNNNNNNNNNNNNNNNNNNNNNNNNNNNNNNNNNNNNNNNNNNNNNNNNNNNNNNNNNNNNNNNNNNNNNNNNNNNNNNNNNNNNNNNNNNNNNNNNNNNNNNNNNNNNNNNNNNNNNNNNNNNNNNNNNNNNNNNNNNNNNNNNNNNNNNNNNNNNNNNNNNNNNNNNNNNNNNNNNNNNNNNNNNNNNNNNNNNNNNNNNNNNNNNNNNNNNNNNNNNNNNNNNNNNNNNNNNNNNNNNNNNNNNNNNNNNNNNNNNNNNNNNNNNNNNNNNNNNNNNNNNNNNNNNNNNNNNNNNNNNNNNNNNNNNNNNNNNNNNNNNNNNNNNNNNNNNNNNNNNNNNNNNNNNNNNNNNNNNNNNNNNNNNNNNNNNNNNNNNNNNNNNNNNNNNNNNNNNNNNNNNNNNNNNNNNNNNNNNNNNNNNNNNNNNNNNNNNNNNNNNNNNNNNNNNNNNNNNNNNNNNNNNNNNNNNNNNNNNNNNNNNNNNNNNNNNNNNNNNNNNNNNNNNNNNNNNNNNNNNNNNNNNNNNNNNNNNNNNNNNNNNNNNNNNNNNNNNNNNNNNNNNNNNNNNNNNNNNNNNNNNNNNNNNNNNNNNNNNNNNNNNNNNNNNNNNNNNNNNNNNNNNNNNNNNNNNNNNNNNNNNNNNNNNNNNNNNNNNNNNNNNNNNNNNNNNNNNNNNNNNNNNNNNNNNNNNNNNNNNNNNNNNNNNNNNNNNNNNNNNNNNNNNNNNNNNNNNNNNNNNNNNNNNNNNNNNNNNNNNNNNNNNNNNNNNNNNNNNNNNNNNNNNNNNNNNNNNNNNNNNNNNNNNNNNNNNNNNNNNNNNNNNNNNNNNUUGUACUUGUGCGACGCCGUGCAAAUACAGGGGAGACUCUGUCCGUGUGAACAGUGGAACUCAUGUAUUUGUGGCGGAUCUGGCACACUCUGGGGUCAGGUUUUCAAAAAAAAUUUCAGACGCUUUUCCGCUACCUUUUAAACUAAAAGGGACUCUGUGGCGUGACAGAUUAAAGUGGUAUCAGAGCCCAAGUUACAACCACAACACCAUUCACAGGUUGUUUUUUUUUUUUUUUUUAAAAAAAUAUGAAAUAAACUGAACCAUUGGUUAGGUUGACCUUUUGUAAGACUUACGAUGUUUAGGCACGUGAGUGCUGGGUUUGUGAUCGAGUCCUGGUUAGUUGUAGUCGAGUCGAUUAUUCGAUUGACGGUGUUUUCUGUUGCAGAUGGCUCGUGGUCCUGGUAGACCUCNAGUUGUAGUCGAGUCGAUUAUUCGAUUGACGGUGUUUUCUGUUGCAGAUGGCUCGUGGUCCUGGUAGACCUCCUCGUCGGGGUCGUGGCGGUGGACGCACCACUGAGGGGGCAUCGGACAGUCCUGGAGGGCGUGUCCCGAGAGGCAGGGGUAGGGGGGAGCAGGCUGGCCCCGAGCAGCUGGGUGAUGUGCGUACCCAGCAGCUUGAAGCCGAGGUAGCAGCGAUGAGGGGUCAGCUGACGGCCCUCUCGGGGAUGUUCCAGCAGUUUUUACAGCAGCAGACUGUAGCUGCUGCUCCCCCGGCUCCACCUCCGACACAGCCGGCUCUAGUUACUUCGGACACUCCGGUUAUACCUCCACCUGCCACAGCUCCGACUGGCACGGCGACGACGACUACCACGACGAUUUUCGCUGGGGGUGCUAAUACCUCUGCAGCGGAGGGCGAUCGCAUGCGGGCGAAGUUGGCCCAGUUCCGAAAAUUUGAUCCGCCUAAGUUCGCUGGGAAGAAUGACGACGCAUGGGUGAUCGAGCACUGGGUCACCCACAUGGAGAAACUGUUUCGCGAUCUCCACAUCGAAGAGCAGGAUCGCGUUCCUCUGGCCGCGCAUUGCCUUGAGACAGAUGCGUAUGCAUGGUGGAUCCGCCACUUCGUGAACAAGCUCUCAAGCACUUAUCCACCCUGGGAGGAGUUUCGGAGACUUCUCUAUGAGUAGUAUUUUAAAGAUAGAACGAAGCAGAGCUUGGAGCGCGAGUUGCAGUGUCUCAAGCAGGGCAAUCGCACUGUAGCGGAGUACGAGCGAGACUUCAGCCGCAUUGUCGGGCUGAUUCCCUUCGCAGUGCGGGACGAGUACCACAAGGCGAGACUUUUUAUUAGGCGGCUGAGGCCCAACCUUCGGCUCCUGGUCACGUCCAAUGGCGCGAUACCUUUCGACGAGUGCCUAGAUCGGGCUUUGAUUGUGCAGAGCGAGUCAGAGGAGGUCCGAGCUGCUCGUGAUGCAUCCGAGCGAUCAGGCGACAGGAAGCGUUCCCAUGCCAGGUCUAGUGGUGGCCCUUCUUUUAGUAAGAAGCCACCGAAACAUCCUCGCACUCAGCAGUCGGCGAGGAGUACACCUUCAGGCAAUCAGCGGAUGGGUGAUCGACCCUGUGUCAUAUGUGGGCAAGCACAUAAGGUGACGGCUUGUCCACAGCAGAGGGACCACUGUUUUCACUGUGGUCAGCCGGGCCAUCUCCGAGCUCAAUGCCCUAAGAGGGAUGGGGCAAAUCAGAGUACUGCUUCUUCUCCGGCUAUAUCCAGACAGAACCGCGGAGCUCCCAGUGCAGCUGCUUCGUCUGGGCGUCCCUCUUCCUCACGCCAAAAUGGGGGGGCGCGCUAGGCAUCUGGUGGACGGGUCUUCGCCCUGACUCAGCCCGAGGGCAACACUGGUGGCGACGUCCUUGCAGGUAUUGUCACCCUCUCCAUCACUCGUGCUAGAGCUAUUUUCGAUACUGGAGCAUCGCACUCAUUCAUUUCGCAUUCAUUUGCAUGUGAGCAUGGUCUUUCCUCGCGCCCACUUGUUAUACCGCUUCGAAUUGAGACACCUGGAGGUGAUCUAGUCGCAGACAGGUGCAUCUUGUCGUACCCUGUCAUGUUAGAUGACCGGUCUUUCCUGGCAAAUCUGGUGGUGCUUCCGAUGAAGAAAUUUGAUGUGGUGCUUGGGAUGGACUGGUUCACCAGGCACCACGCUACUAUCGACUGCGAGCGGAGGACGGUGACAUUUAUCGGGCCCGGCGAAGAAGUAUUCGUAUACCGAGCAUGUAAGAGCUCCUAUUUUGCCGCGUCUAUCUCUUCAGCUAGAGCAAAGAGGCUUAUGAAUGCCGGAUGUGUGGCCUACCUGGCUUCAGUAGAUGUCACCCGCCGAGUUGCACCACCAUUGGAGGAUAUUCCAGUUGUUCGGGAAUUCCCGGAUGUCUUUCCAGAUGAGCUUCCGGGAAUGCCUCCGGACCGGGAGAUCGACUUCUUCAUCGAGCUAGUUCCAGGCACGGCACUGAUCUCGAAGGCCCCCUAUUGCAUGGCCUUCGCUGAGCUUAAGGAGCUGAAGGCUCAGCUUGAGGAUCUGUUGGAGAGGGGGUUUAUUCGACCUAGCGUGUCUCCUUGGGGAGCCCCAGUCCUCUUUGUCAAAAAGAAGGAUGGUAGUCUUCGACUGUGCAUCGACUACCGGGAGCUCAAUAAGGUCACUGUGAAGAACAAGUAUCCACUACCCCGGAUUGACGAUCUCUUCGAUCAGCUUCAGGGAUCAUCGGUGUAUUCGAAGAUCGACCUACAGUCCGGGUACCAUCAGCUUAAGAUCCGGGAUGAGGAUGUGCCGAAGACCGCCUUUAGAACUCGAUAUGGCCACUACGAGUUCACGAUGAUGCCGUUCGGGCUUACCAAUGCCCCGGCAGCUUCCAUGGAUAUGAUGAAUAGGGUCUUUCGGGCAUACUUGGAUCAGUUUGUCGUGGUCUUCAUUGACGACAUCCUGAUUUACUCACGGAGUGAUGAGGAGCACGAGCAUCAUCUCCGGCGAGUACUGCAGAUACUUCGAGAGCACAAGUUAUAUGGUAAGCUCAAGAAGUGCGAGUUCUGGCUCUGUGAGGUAUCUUUCUUGGGGCAUAUUGUGACUCCAUCGGGCAUUACGGUGGAUCCAAAGAAGAUAGCCUCGGUGGUCGAGUGGCCUGAACCGACUUCGGUGACUGAAGUUCGGAGCUUUCUAGGUUUGGCGGGUUAUUAUCGGCGAUUCGUUGAGGGCUUCUCCAAGAUCGCCGCACCGCUGAACAAGCUUACCAGAAAAGGAGAACGGUUUCAGUGGACCGAGCUAUGCCAGCAGAGCUUUGAUGAGCUGAAAGAUCGAUUGACCCGCGCACCCGUUCUUACUUUACCGCGGCUUGGUGAGGAUUUUGUGGUCUAUUGUAAUGCCUCCCGGGUCGGUCUGGGGUGCGUGCUUAUGCAGCAGGACUGGGUCAUCGCUUACGCCUCUCGACAGCUAAAGCCGUAUGAAAAGAACUAUCCGACUCACGAUCUGGAGCUUGCAGCGGUAGUCUUCGCCCUAAAGCUGUGGAGGCACUAUUUAUAUGGAGUACACUGCGAGGUAUUCACCGAUCAUCAGAGCCUGAAGUACCUUUUUACUCAGAAGGAGUUGAACCUCAGGCAGCGACGUUGGCUCGAGCUCUUGAAGGACUACGAUCUCACGAUCCAGUACCACCCGGGAAAGGCGAAUGCGGUGGCGGACGCCUUGAGCCGGAAACAGCCUUCAGCUUCGUUGUCCAUCAUGAUCACGAGCCAGGAUCGACUUGUGGAGGAGUUUCGCCGUCUGGAGAUUGAGGUUGUCUCCACCGGGGCCACGACCCAAUUGAUGACCCUAGUGGUACAGCCUACUUUGACGGAGCAGAUUUUGCUUGGGCAGCAGAGCGACCCGUGCUUACAGAAAGUGCGGGCGGAGAUCGAGCAGGGCAAGGACGGGGACUUCACUAUCCACACUGAUGGAUCUUUGCGCUUCAAAGGCAGAUGGUGUGUGCCUAGUGACUCGGAGCUGAGGAACGACAUCUUGUCCGAGGCGCACCGAUCCUCUUACACAGUUCACCCAGGCGGUACCAAGAUGUACCGCGACCUGAAGCAGAAUUUCUGGUGGCCUGGGAUGAAGCUUGAUGUGGCUCGGCACGUGGCUUGGUGCUUGAUUUGUCAGCAGGUGAAAGCCGAGCAUCAGCGACCAGCAGGAAAGCUGCACCACUUCCGAUCCCCGUGUGGAAGUGGGAGCAGAUCACUAUGGAUUUCGUCACCGGAUUGCCUCGAUCACAGCGAGGCCAUGAUGCGAUCUGGGUUAUAGUUGAUCGGCUGACGAAAUCGGCUCACUUCCUGCCGAUGCAUACGACGUGGUCCCGUGAUCGACUGGCACAGUUAUACAUCGACGAGAUCGUCCGGCUUCAUGGUGUGCCAGUGUCGAUUGUGUCUGAUCGGGACACUCGCUUCGUUUCCCACUUCUGGAGGAGCUUGCAGCAGGCUAUAGGUACGAAGCUGAACUUCAGUACGGCAUUCCAUCCCUAGAGCGACGGACAGUCAGAGCGAGUCAUCCAGGCUCUUGAGGACAUGCUCCGUGCAUGUGUCCUGGAUUACGGGGAUGGAUGGUUUCGAUACCUACCGCUAGUGGAGUUCGCCUAUAAUAAUAGCUACCAGGCGAGCAUCGGGAUGGCACCGUACGAGGCUUUAUAUGGGCGUCGAUGUCGAUCUCCUAUUUGUUGGGACGACGUCGGAGAACGCCGGUUGAUCGGGCCAGACUUAGUGGAGGAUGCGGAGGCGAAGAUCCGCAUUGCGAGAGAGCGGCUGCUGACCGCACAGAGUCGACAGAGGAGCUACGCGGAUCAGCGAAGGCGUGACCUAGAGUUUCAGGUCGGUGAGCAUGUGUUGCUCAAGGUGUCGCCAUCCAGGGGGAUCAAGCGGUUUGGUUUGCGGAACAAACUUAGUCCGCGGUUCGUGGGACCGUUUGGGAUCCUAGAACGCAUCGGUCCGGUAGCGUACAGAUUGGCUCUUCCUCCAAGUCUGGCCCUGUGUACAAUGUCUUUCAUGUGUCCAUGCUUUGGAAGUACAUUCCAGAUCCGUCUCACGUCAUCAGUCCGACGUCUAUUCAGCUACGGGAGGAUCUGAGCUAUGAUGAGGCUCCGUUGAGGAUUUUGGCACGUGAGGUGAAACAGUUACGGAACAGGAGCAUUCCAUAUGUAAAGGUUCAGUGGGCAAAUCACGAGGAGCGUGAAGCUACGUGGGAGCUGGAGUCUUCUAUGCGGGAGAGUUAUCCGCAGUUGUUUGCGGGGGAUGUUUAAAUUAAGUUUCGGGGACGAAACUUUUUGUAAGGGGGGAAUGAUGUAAUAACUGAAAUUUUUGAAAAAUAAAAUUAAACCCUUGGUUGAUGAUGUUUUUGUGUGUAAUGUAAUUACUAAAGCACUCAUCAAAUUUAUGGAGAAAAUGAGCUAAAAUGGAGAAAUUACGCGACCCGAACCGACGACUUAAGUGAAUAGUAACUCCGGCUUUCCGGAUGAGCCAACGAUUAGAGAAGGGUUCUGGUGCACGUUGAACUCCGAAUAUAGGACUUCAAUAGCUCGUUUCGAACGGCUCGACCAUUCUGGACCCAAUGGCACUGACGGAAUUGGGUUCUGAUGCACGGUUGUCGAGAAAAAGGGGUUUAAUGGAUAUUACAUGUAAUAAUAUAAGCGGUUAUAUGGUGGAAAUAGAGAGGGCAGGUUUCGUCGCUGAUCGGAAACCAAAUCAGACGGAAUAAAAUGCUAGAUUCGAUGCCCUAGUCGUGCUGAACGCGCUGGCGCAAUCCGUUCAGAAAUCCGACGGACGGAUCUUCGGGAAUCGUGAAAAGUCCGCUGAGAGGUUAUUUUGCCAAAAUCAAUUAAUCGCGAAAAGUCCCUAUAUUUUAUGCGCCGUUUCGCAAGAUUUCGAUCGUUGGAGUACGUACGCGCAAGUUACACACGUCGGCAGGGGCUGGACUGUAAAUAUUAGACGUUGAAGGGGUUCCUUGCAAAUUACACCUAUGUAUUUAUAUAUAGGUACUAGGGUUUCACAAAGAAAACCCUAACCCUAAUCAUCCCCAGCUGCCCUAGCCGCUUCAGCUCCACCCUGCCCAACCCGUGCGCAUGCCCCGGCCGCCGGCGAGCUGCAAGCUCUUCCCUAGGCUGAGACCCAGCUCCGGCGUCCUCCCCCGCCGGCCCCGGCCACCCCGAGCGCCGCCGGAGCCACCCCUGCUCCCUGCGGCCAGCUCGGGUCAGCCCAGACCNNNNNNNNNNNNNNNNNNNNNNNNNNNNNNNNNNNNNNNNNNNNNNNNNNNNNNNNNNNNNNNNNNNNNNNNNNNNNNNNNNNNNNNNNNNNNNNNNNNNNNNNNNNNNNNNNNNNNNNNNNNNNNNNNNNNNNNNNNNNNNNNNNNNNNNNNNNNNNNNNNNNNNNNNNNNNNNNNNNNNNNNNNNNNNNNNNNNNNNNNNNNNNNNNNNNNNNNNNNNNNNNNNNNNNNNNNNNNNNNNNNNNNNNNNNNNNNNNNNNNNNNNNNNNNNNNNNNNNNNNNNNNNNNNNNNNNNNNNNNNNNNNNNNNNNNNNNNNNNNNNNNNNNNNNNNNNNNNNNNNNNNNNNNNNNNNNNNNNNNNNNNNNNNNNNNNNNNNNNNNNNNNNNNNNNNNNNNNNNNNNNNNNNNNNNNNNNNNNNNNNNNNNNNNNNNNNNNNNNNNNNNNNNNNNNNNNNNNNNNNNNNNNNNNNNNNNNNNNNNNNNNNNNNNNNNNNNNNNNNNNNNNNNNNNNNNNNNNNNNNNNNNNNNNNNNNNNNNNNNNNNNNNNNNNNNNNNNNNNNNNNNNNNNNNNNNNNNNNNNNNNNNNNNNNNNNNNNNNNNNNNNNNNNNNNNNNNNNNNNNNNNNNNNNNNNNNNNNNNNNNNNNNNNNNNNNNNNNNNNNNNNNNNNNNNNNNNNNNNNNNNNNNNNNNNNNNNNNNNNNNNNNNNNNNNNNNNNNNNNNNNNNNNNNNNNNNNNNNNNNNNNNNNNNNNNNNNNNNNNNNNNNNNNNNNNNNNNNNNNNNNNNNNNNNNNNNNNNNNNNNNNNNNNNNNNNNNNNNNNNNNNNNNNNNNNNNNNNNNNNNNNNNNNNNNNNNNNNNNNNNNNNNNNNNNNNNNNNNNNNNNNNNNNNNNNNNNNNNNNNNNNNNNNNNNNNNNNNNNNNNNNNNNNNNNNNNNNNNNNNNNNNNNNNNNNNNNNNNNNNNNNNNNNNNNNNNNNNNNNNNNNNNNNNNNNNNNNNNNNNNNNNNNNNNNNNNNNNNNNNNNNNNNNNNNNNNNNNNNNNNNNNNNNNNNNNNNNNNNNNNNNNNNNNNNNNNNNNNNNNNNNNNNNNNNNNNNNNNNNNNNNNNNNNNNNNNNNNNNNNNNNNNNNNNNNNNNNNNNNNNNNNNNNNNNNNNNNNNNNNNNNNNNNNNNNNNNNNNNNNNNNNNNNNNNNNNNNNNNNNNNNNNNNNNNNNNNNNNNNNNNNNNNNNNNNNNNNNNNNNNNNNNNNNNNNNNNNNNNNNNNNNNNNNNNNNNNNNNNNNNNNNNNNNNNNNNNNNNNNNNNNNNNNNNNNNNNNNNNNNNNNNNNNNNNNNNNNNNNNNNNNNNNNNNNNNNNNNNNNNNNNNNNNNNNNNNNNNNNNNNNNNNNNNNNNNNNNNNNNNNNNNNNNNNNNNNNNNNNNNNNNNNNNNNNNNNNCCUGCCUUUCGAGAUAGCAUACGAUCUGGGCUAGGAGUGGUCGACAGGGUGAGCCUGGACGAUGCAGUGGACAUUACCCCCGCCCCCCACUCUUGUACAUUUGUACAGAGGGGAGGGUCACCCAUGGCGUUCGGCUUCUUCCGGUCCCUAUGAGUGAUCAGUGCCUCUAUUUGUUCCUAUAUCUAUUACCAUCAUGUCAUCGAUUUUAUUUGUUCAUGACUUUACAUAUAUUUAUUUGGUGAUGUCGAUGACAUACGUACGUAGUUGCCCUGUUAGUCAGGUUUUCAUGGGUUAAACUUUACCGGCAUAACCAUGGGUUGUGGAGUCCGGAUACGGUGUAGACGAGACUGUCUUUGUUCGGUAUAACCAUGGGUUGUGGAGUCUGACUUUCGUAUAUUGAAGUGUUCCCGAGUGCCCAACUGUGUUCGUUGGUGAAAAAGUCUUUUCUUGUGGGGAACGCCAACUAGUCUGGCGGCCACAAGCACUUUACGCACGCUCGUCACCGCUAGCUACGUCUUACGAGUUAUCGGUUGGCAGCCGUUGGUCGAUUGUUAGGACGGGUGAGUCCCGAGUGACUGGUAUAUCCAGUAGUACAUUGGUUGAGCUGGUUUGUCCAGUGUUCAUGUCCUAUACUUUGAGCUGGUUGUUCCAGUGUUCAUAUCCUAUCUUUUUAGCUGGUUGUUCCAGGAUCUAUGUUGUGUCCUCUUAGCUGGUUGGUCCAGCGUCUAUAGUAUACGACUACUUUAGAUGAGAUGAGGAUGUAUUCUAUGAUUUGUAUCUUUGUUGGUUCAUCUCAUUUAUGCCCUUAUUAUGCCCACGUUCCGAGUUAUACAUAUACUAUUCGUUAUAUUUGUCAUUCCCACCUUCCUUGCAGUGGCUCGCACGUGGUGACAUGGCUGCAGCCCAGCUUCAUGGGUGGACAUGUACAGACUGCUUUUAGAGAGCUGACACUUCUGCCACGUUGGCUUGGAUGCUUUCCAGGUGGCCCAAUCUUGGAUUGGGUGAUGAUUCUUUGGGAGUUUCGUAUUGGGGUGCCUAUUUAGGUGCCCUUAGCUAAAAGGUUUUAGCUAAUGGUUUGUGUGGCCUUCAGGGCUUGUUGCGUGGCCUUUAGUUGCUAACCAAAAGCCUUUCCGAACCCCGGAACCUGCUAGUCAGGUCUCCAAUAGGAGUCGGAUGUGAACGACGGUUAUCGUCGGUGUAGCUUCGUUUUUCGUAUUUUCGGGAAUGGCGAUGUAUCUUAGUGUAGUAAAAUACACUAAAGAUCCGAAAAGACCUGGCACGUGCGUUUGGUCUCCAGAUAAUUAGGCUGGCAGCGUGAGCGACUGUCCAAAGUCAUACAGCCUCCGGCACGAGUGGAAAGCCUCGUGACGGCCGGUGACGCCACGCGCGUGCUCGCUGCGCUUCAAGACAAUUUGACACGCGUGUUGCACUUCUAGCGCUGAUUGAGUAAUUGGUCCCGUAGAAACGGCGACAGCCUCCACUCGUGCUACAAGUCGUGCUCAACAUCUAGUAGCACGAGUGAAGGGCUUCAAAUCCUCCGAAUAGCCUAGUGACCUUUCCACUGGCCUUGGAGCUUUUUCGUAGUUUGGUUUAUCUUCCCUUACCCUUCAUGCUUAAAUAAAUAACUAACUUAGACAUAUUAUGGUUCAGUUUUAUUUUACUAUUUGGAUAUCUGAGUUUUCAGUUGGUUUUGGAAUGUAAUAAAGGAAUUUGUGUUCUCUUGAAAUGAAAAUGGUUUUCUACCCCUCGUGGUACCGUUUUGAAAAGAUAAAAGUUCCUGUGUAGGAAACAGUUUUCAAAAGAUUUUCUGUGGAUUUUGUGUCUUAGUAUUUCAAAACCUGUUUCUAUGGUUGAAAACAUUUUAACUGAUAGAUGUGGAUUUAUAUUUAAAUAGCGAAUGUAUAUUUGUGAAUCUGUGGUGAAUGGUGUAUGAAUGUAUAUCUGUGGUUAUUUGUAUGUUCAUCUGGUUGUAGUUGUUGUAUGAUUGAACUCUUGUACUUGUGCGACGCCGUGCAAAUACAGGGGAGACUCUGUCCGUGUGAACAGUGGAACUCCUAUAUUUGUGGCGGAUUUGGCACACUCUGGGGUCAGGUUUUCAAAAAAAAUUUCAGACGCUUUUCCGCUACCUUUUAAACUAAAAGGGACCCUGGGGCGUGACAAAUAAAGAUCUACUAAUCAGGUUCCGUCGGAUUUCAGGAGAAUGCUGCACAUUGUGAAGGAUUAACGUCUUUCCUGAAGUUAACUUCAGCUUGACUGUUCCGAUCCCCAAUACAUUGACAGCUUUUCCAUCUCCAACAGUCAUACAUCCUCCACUUGUGUCCUGAUAAGAGGAGAAUAGGGAUCUAUUAGUGCAAACAUGGACAUUGGCUCCAGAGUCUAACCACCAAUCUAAAUCAUGAUAGGUAAGGUUAACAUUAGGUACAAAUGAUACUGACCUAAAAGUGGAGUUGGAAGGUCACUCUCAAUCAUAUUGACCUGAGGUUUAGGAUAGUUGUUCUGAGUGUUUUGGCCCUUCUUGUAGACAACCUUCUCUUUCUUCCGAUGAAAAUAUUUUGAAGCAAAAUGGUUGUCACGGCCACAUACAUAUCAGAAACCAUCCUUCUUCUUAUUCCCACUAGGUUGGUUGGUAUUAGGUUUCUGGGUAUAGUUCCGGUUUCGAUUAGGGUUCCUACCUUUAAAACCUUUACCCUUAGGUUUAAAAUUUUUACCUUUGGGUUUAGGCUUGUGGCUCUGGUUUUGAAUCUCGGUCAGGUUUAUGUUUGAUCGGUUGUUGGACGGUUUAAUCUCCCUAAGUCGGUAUUGGUCUUCUAUUCUAAUAGCUUGGAUUACCGAUCUAAGCUUAAGAGUUUUCUGGGUACGUCCAAGCUCAUGGGCAAAUUUGGUCCAGGAAGGGGGUAAUUUAUCCAAUAGACAGGUUGCCUGAUAGGUUUCAUUUAAGAUUGAUCCAUUUCUAUGAAUUUCUUGGACAAAAUUCUGAAAUUGAUGGAUUUGAUCAUUUAUAGGAAUGUUAUCUACCAUUCUAAAAUUGUUAAAAUAGGUAAUGGUAAAUCUGGCGACACCUUCAUUAUCUCUAAUGUAGGCAUCUUCUAAGGCAAGCCAUAAAUCUUUGACAGUUUGAUAUUUCCUAUAGGUUUCAUAAAGUUCAUCAGGUUGGCAGUUAAGUAUUCUAAACCUACAGUGAAAUUCAAUUUCCUCAGGAGAUUUGUCAGUUUUAGGUUCUGUAACUGAGGUGGUAGUAGAAUCAAAUGGAGGAGUUUCAAUAGGUGGAUCAGAAGAAUUUUUAGAAGUAGGAUAAGGAGGUGUUUUUCCAAUUGCAGUUAUGAGGCCUAAGGUGAUAAGCCAAGCCUCUAACUGCUCUUGUCACCUUAAAAAACCUACCUCUUUAAAUUUUUCUGGUUUAAGGCUAGAAGUAUCAUCAAAACCCAUUCUAAACAAUCUAGUUGAGGGAACAAAGAAAUUAAGGAUGAUUGAAAAGAGCUGCAAAAAAGGUUCAAAAAACUUUUUUAGAAAAACAAACAUGUUAAGGUUUCUACCUUAGUCAACCAGAAUAUUUUAGGGUUUAAGUUUUUAAAUUUUAUCUUUUAUGAAAGUUCGUUCAGCAGCAAACAGAUGGCCUAAACAAUUUAAAUAUUUGAUUUCAAUUAAGUAAUCUUGAAUAGAUAUAUAUAUGCAAUCAAAUACUCUUUAUGCAGCAACCAGAUUAUAUAGAAAAUACUGAAACAAAAGAGAUUAUAAAAAUGGAAUGGGCUUGUUGGUUAGGUCCAGCUUUUAUAAAGUAGUGGAGAUAACCAGCUGAGGGUUCGAGUCCUCCUUAAAGCAAAUAUUUUUUUUCUUUUUUUUUUAUAUUAUCAAAACAGUAAAAUAUAAAUAUAUAUUUGAAAAUAGUAUAUAUAUAAAUUAAACUUUAAAAAGCUGUACACUUAAAAAUAAUUUACUAUAGCAAAUGUUUUUUUUUUUUUUUUUUUAAACCGUACAAGUAGUUUAAAACUUUUAACAAACAGUAAAAUUUUUUUUAAAAAUAAUCAAAAAGUUUUAUUGUAGCAAGAUUCAAACGUACACAGGAGAGUUAUAAAAAAAAAUUCACUGUAACAAUUAUUAUUAUUAUUUUUUUUAUGAAAUAGUUUUACUGUAGCAAAACUAAAAACUUAAAUUUACAGUAGCAACUAUUUUUUUUUUUUUAAAUAACAGUAGAAGUCAAAUAAAAAUUGCAAGUAAACUAUAUGCAAUUAGAAUUUGAAAAUGCUAAUCCCAACUUAAAUUAAUUUUGUAUGUCAAUCAUACAAGCAAGUUAUCAAACACAAAUUAUAUGCAAUAUACAUAAUUAUUAUUUUUCGGAUUAGCAUUUGUUAGAUUUUAAUCACAAUCAAAUUGGAAUACGCCUUAGAUUGUUGGAGAAAAACCGCAACGAAUAAUCCGAUUGUGACUAGAUCUAACAAAUUUAGUGAUGAAAUUAAUAAAAUCAACUUACCGAUAAUCGCUAAAUUCUAAAAUAUUGUAGAAGAAUAAUGACAAAUAAUUUGAUCCGGAAGCGUGCGAAGCACUGCCCUAAGGCGUAUUCCCGUCCUUCGUGCGGGAUUAACCGAAAACACUGUCCCAAGAUACGACCGGAACUCCUCCUCCUACGAGCACGAACGUAGAAGAGGUUGACGAAAACUUUUUCAACACCCAGCAAUAAAACGAUCAAAUGAAGUGGAUGAAAUUAGUAAAAAGAAAAUUAAAAUUAACUCUUAAAAAGCUAUCCUGUGAAGCUCUCACACAUUCAUUCAUUUACAUGUGUAUGAAGUGCUCUGUCCUCACAUCUUAAAAUACUAUGAACAUAAUUAGAACGUUGGGUCAAACGUUCUUCUUGAAACCGACUCGUGAUGGACGCGCGGACGUGCGCGGAGCGGUGCGCACAGGGAGCCGGUUCGCUCGCCACGCAAACCGAAACUUCUGCAAAAAUAAAUUCUUCAAUUAAUAAUGGAUUAAAUGAAAAACAUAAUAAAGAUUUUGAAUUUUAUUUUAUUAUCAACAGGCUGUUACCUUCCUUCAUCGGCAAGAUGAAUUACAUCUCUUAUUGUCGCUUCUUCUAUCACCGUUUUCUUUUUUUUUGUUGGCUAUUUUUUCUUCACUUAUCUACCCAAUUGCAUUACACUGGUUACUUCACUACUGCUACUUGAUGUGUGUAUGCUAGAAAGUUAUUUUCUUUCUAAAUUGUCAUUGAUAAAAUCAAUAUUAUAUAAAUAUAAGUUAUUUUUAGUAUUUUAAAUUUUAAAAACCAACACACAAUAAACAACGAAUUGUAGAAAGCUAAAACUAAAUGCCUAGUUGCCAAGUGCACAAUGUUGAUUUCAUUAAUAAAUUAACAUUCUAUAAGACCUUUGGGCGUUCAGAAAUAACGAAUAUUAAGAUAAAUUUUUUUAUCUCUAGAAUAAUUUAUUAUUCGAAAUAGUUAAAAAUAAAAGUACAAUUUUAUUUUAUUUGUAAUACUGCUAUUCUCAAGAAUAAUUUAAAUUGCAUUUUGGUUAUUUUAAUAGAAUAGUAGAGGAUAGUUGAAAAAAGUGAUGGUUGAAUUUGGUAUAAAAUAUAUUAUAAAAAUAAUUUAUUUCUUUCAAAUUCUACUUCAACAUUAAAUAUAAAAAAUUAUUUAUUAUAAUAUUUAAGUAUAAUAAAUAAGUACAAAUAUUACGUAUUCAUGUUGUAUAAUUAAAAAUUUUAUAAUAAAAAUAAUUUACUAUAAUAUAUAAUAUAUCAUAUAAUUUAUUUUAGUUCAAUUUAUAAUAUCAAUAAAGCUUAGAAGUAAAUUUUGGAAUAGCACUAUCUAUCCCAAGUUAUUCCAAAAUAAUCUCUAAUUGGGAAUAGCUAGGUUUGUCUGACAUAUUUUAUUCCGGUCAAAAAAUACCCCGAAAUAAUGGGAAUAACUUUUAUUAUAUUCACUUUAUUUCCGAACCAAACAGUGGAAAUAACUUUUGUUAUCUCCACUUUAUUCUCGAACCAAACAAGGUUGCGGUUUUACAAUACAUUUCCUUUUUCAAGUAAGAAUGCAAAUUCCACAUGCAAAAUUGACAAUAUUGCUAGAUGAAUACACCAUGAUUUGAAUCUUCAGUUUCUUGGGUUAGAUGUAAUAUAACCUAUACGGUAGAUAUUAAGACCCUGUUUGGUUCGGGGUAUAAGCAGGGAUAACCAAAGUUAUCCUUGAUAUUCCGUCAAAUGAGAUGAUUUGUAGCCGGGAUAUUUUAUUCCGAUCAACCUUGUUAUUCCCGGCUAUUCCGGAAUAUCUUGGAAUUUACUACUCCACCAUAUUGGUGGAAUAUAUAGUACUAUUCCAAUGUUUAAUUUCAAACUUUAUUAAAAUUAUAAAUUGAAUUAAAACUAAAUUAUAUAAAUAUAAUAUAUUAUAUAUAACAAUAUAUUAUUUUUAUUAUAAAAUUAUUAAUUGUACUAUAUUAAUAAAUAUUAUUUAUAUUUAAAUAUUAAAAUAAAUUUUAUAAUAAAUUAUAUUUAAAUUAUUAUAAUAACUUAUUUUCAUUAAAUUUAAGUUUAAGUAGAAUUUUCAAAAAAUUUAUAAAUUUAUUAAUAAUAAAAGUUUAUAAAUUUAUUAAAAAUUUAGUUUUAGCAAAUUUAUAAAUUUAUCAUAAUAAAUUAUUUUUAUUAAUUGUUCCCGCCCUAUGUCAUGCCCCGGGGUCCCUUUGAUUUUUAAAUUCAAUGCGGAAGUGCCCAAUUAUUAUUAUUUUUUUUUUGAAAGUCUUGACCCCAAGGGAUAUCAGAUUUGCCAUAAAUACAGGAAGCCCACUGUACACACGGACAGUGUCUCCUCUGUAUUUGUAUGGCGUCGCACAAAUACAAGAUACAACCACAGUAUAUAAACAACCAUAUAUAUAUAUAUAUAUAUAUAUAUAUAUAUAUAUAGAGAUAUAUUUAUAUACUUAUAUAUAUAUAUAUAUUAUAUAUAUAUAUUCACCACAUCACAGAGAUCCAUUCACAUUCAUUUCAUCACAAGAUUGCAAUACUUUGAUCAUGAAUCCACAUCUAUUAGUUUAAAACGUUUUCCAUCCGGAAACUCAUUUUGAAAUGCUAAAAUUAUGAAAACCGAAAAACUCUUUUUAAUACCGUUUCGCACACGGAAAUCUUUUCCUUUAAAAUGCUUACCACGAGGGGUAGAAAACCAUUUUCAAUAUUUUUACAUGAAAACCACGAGUACUUUCAUUAACUUCACAAAGCCAUGAACAUUUACUUAAAUGAAACCACUGAACCAUAAAGUGUCUAAGUUAUUUAAUUUCAAUAAGAAGGGAUAGAAAGUAGACCGAAUGUAACCGGGCCGAAAACUCUAUCGACCGCUACAUACGUGCCUCACGCACCGUCCUGACUCGGACCAGCAAUGUCACUUGAAAGGGUGGUAGGGGGGUGAGAACAUGUACACAUGUCUCCUCUCUUAGUGGGUACCGCAAGCCGACGAAGGCAAUGAGUACUCACCGGCAGAAAGAGAUCAACAAAGUCAUAGGUAGAUAUCACAGAUAUAGUAGCUAUAAUGCCGGAAGGAAAGGAAACAGUAAUAGAACAUGCAACUAUCGCUAUUGUAAAAUAGAACAAAAUGCAUACAUGGAUAUCAUAACUAUAGUAGCAAUGAUGCAGAGGUAAACAACAGUGCAAAGGAAUAUAACUAGCCGCUAUUGUAAUACAGAAUAAAGUGCGAGUAUGCAUCAACCGGACGAUUAGUCCCAAAUAUACCUAAUCAGAAACCUGGCAUGACGGUCCACAGACCUCAAGCCUGUGCCACUGCCCCUCUACCUGUAUAUGACCCAGACUAGGCCUCUGGACUCACAGGCUACAUAUAACCCAGACUAGGCCUCUGUGCUCACAGGUUGGCACGUCCAACCACUUUUAUGAAAAAGAACACCCUCUUGCGGUGGAUUAGACCGCUGGUGAUUGGGAAAUGCGAAUGAGUCUCGGGCGAUCUGUAGUACACUAAACUUUAGCAAAUUGCGAAGUUUGAGUGUUAGAAUAGUAAUUAGAGCUAUUUUAUAUCUUUUGAGAGGUUGUCAAGAGGUUUUCGGCAAGUUACUUGAGUGAUCAAAUGGCCGGAAGAGCAAAAGUGCAUUGAAGCGGCGAAAUUCUGCAUUUUGCACUGAGUACCAGUACCAACUUGCCCUAGUAUCGGUACCUAGCACAACAGCUGCAUGGAUUAAAGGGUUAUUUGGUAAUUUCACUCUAACCCUUAUCCUUUGACCCUCCUAGCUCGACCCCUGAGCCUGUUCUUAUUAGGAUUGAGCUGAAGAACAGGGUAAGACUUGCUCUCUCUCUCUCUCUCCAGGGUUUUGGGGUUUUUGUGAGUGGAAUUGAGGAUUUAAGCUUGUUUUUGUUAAGUCUUGUGUGUUGGCAAGUUUCAUGAAGUGAGUCGGAGUCUUGAUGGAUCGGUGCGGAUCAUCAAAGAUUGAAGAAUUCAAGACUUCGAGGAAAGUGGAAAUAACUCACGACGUGAAUCACGAUGCUCAGGUAAAGUUUUAAUUCAUGUUAUGGUGAUUCAUACUUAAUUGUAGGCACUAGAAUCAUAUACUCAAAGUUUAUUGGAUUAGAAAGUGCAUCGGAACUUGCGAAACUCAAAACUGUGGAAAAAUGAGGAAAAUGCAAAGUGUACCGGUACAGUAUUGAAAGUGUACCGGUACAAAUUGUGUUCCAGUAAAACCAGCGACUUGUCACCGGUUAUAGCGUUUCACAGGUUUUCUCUUCCGUCAUCGUGUAACCGGUAACAGCUUAAAAGUGUACCGGUACACAAUGUAAAAAUCUAAAAAUAUUUCAAAUCCGACUCUAAUUGAUUUUAAAGUCUAUAAAUAAGCUAUUGGGGUUCUCUAACAGAUAAAGGAUCAUAAGAAUACAUAUUUGAGAAACCCUAGAGGCUAGGAUUUCGUUCAUAACCUAUUUUCUUCAUAAUAACCUCUUUUAGGUCAAAUCGAGAGAUUGUAAUUUGAUAUCAAUUUGUCGAUUUGAUCUACUCUUCGCUUGGAGUUCUCUUCCCUGGUUUUCAUCGAUACUCUAAGCGAAGGAUGACCAUACACAUGAUGUUCUUCAUUGAUGGUGUCGUGGAUUCGGCGUGAUUGAAGGUGGUUCGUGGAUUCGGAUCGUGAGCUCGUGGAUUCAAGUGGCGUUCGUGGAUUCAGACGUGUACGAGGCGUUCAUGGAUUCAAACAUGAGGGCGUGGACAACCCGGAGGAUUGUGUGAGAUUCGUAAGAGGUUAAGAGAGGUCGAGUCCGUAGAGUCGAUAAUCACCUUGUAAUCUUUUCUCUUAGUGAAUUAUUUUUUCGCGUGUUGGUCCCGUGGGUUUUUCUCCAAGUUGGAGUUUUCCCACGUAAAUAUUGGUGUAAUUUUUAUUUUCCGCAUUUACUUUUAUUGCAUUGAGAUUUGUGAUUUUUGACUGUUACACCUAUUCACCCCCCUCUAGGUGUUGGAUACAAUUUAGAUAGAUCCUUAGGCACUCCAAAACUUUCAAUUGGUAUCAGAGCGGGAUCUAGAUAAAUUGCUAUCUAAUGGCCGAAGGCGGUAACAUUAAUCGACCAUCACUCUUCGAUGGCAUGAAUUAUGCCUAUUGAAAAAUUCGCAUGAGAGCUUUUCUAAUUCCAAUCGAUGAGCGAGUUUGGCAAUUUAUUGAAUUCGGAUGGAAACAUCCAACCAAAGUCGUCGAUAAUGCUACCGUUCCUAAACCGCGAAACAAGUGGAUGAAAGAUGAAAACGAGUCAUCUUCAUUUAAUGGCAAGGGCACAAACGCUUUAUUUAAUGCUUUGUCACAAACAGAGUUUACUCGCGUUUCGGCGUGUAAUACCGCCAAGAAAAUUUGGGAUACUCUACAAGUUACGCAUGAAGGAACUAGCUUGGUAAAGGUUCAAAAAUUACAAAUGUUGACAAGCAAAUUUGACUCGAUUUUAAUGGAAGAAAAUGAGACCUUUACUGAGUACUAUACUCGACUUCAAGACGUUGUUAAUACAUGCGCUAACUUGGGAGAGAAAAUUCCGGAUUCUAAUAUUGUUUGAAAAAUUCUUCGGACUCUUCCGGAACGCUUUUGGGCAAAAGUUGCCGCAAUCGAAACCGUAAAGCAUCCGGACGAGAUGAAAGUCCAAGAGUUAGUAAGUGCUUUGCAAAUUUAUGAGAUGACUUUUUAUACUAACCAAUCUUCUUCCAAGUCUUCUUCUAAAAGUACGGGGGUUGCACUCAAAUCGACAAAGAAAGAAGACGGCGACUCGGAUUUCGACGGAGAUAUUUCGCUCACCAAUUUCGAACAUCAAUUAGCGCUCCUAACGAAGAAGUUCCGACGAAAUUUUCGGAAGAAUAAAUUGGACAAGGCUUCAUCGUCUAAGCAACAAUCUUUUUCUAAAUCAUCUUCAUCUUCUAAAUCUAAGGAUAAAAACUUUGCAAAGUCUUCGAAAGAAAAAAAUGAAUUUGAAGGGAAAAUCCAAUGUUACAAGUGUAGAAGCUACGGUCAUAUUGCAACGGAUUGUCCCUCUAAGAAAUCAUAUACAAAGAAGGCUUUGCAAGCUAAAACUUGGGAUGAUUCAUCUUCAAGUGAAUUAAGUUCAAGUGACGAAGAAAAGAAUGAUCAUAUUGCUUUAAUUGCUAAUAAUUCUUUGUCUUUAUCGAAUGUUAUGUGUUUAUCCUCUAUUGUUACGAACUCUAGUGUUUCGCCUUCCUUACAUGGGUCUUCGAACGACAAUGGAGAAAGCGAGGAGGAAUCAAACAACGAGGAUAUAGCGGAAGCGUAUCAUCAACUCCUCGUUGAAUCCAAAAAGAUGGCGAAGCACAAUAAAAAAUUGAGGAAGCGUCUACUUGAACUUGAAGAAGAAAACAACAAGUUGAAGACAAUGAAGAAAGCUAUCGAGGAGGAAAGGGAAUCAAAUUUGAAAGAUCGUUCAAUCCUCCAAGAGAAGCUUGAUGAAGCGGAAUCAACGAUCAAAUCCUAUAAAGAUAAAGUUGGAUUUUUGGAGCAACAAUUUGAGGAAUCGUACACAUCUAACAAGUCCUUGACCGAUCAAGUUCGUCAACUCCAAUCCGAUAUUCAAAAAUUUUCUUCGGGAUCGAAGAAAUUGGAUCAUAUGCUCGGAUUGGGUCAAACGAACAAGGUAGGACUCGGAUACAAAAGGACUUACGUUGAGAAGGAUUCAAAAUCAACUCCUAAAAUCUCAACAAAUUCAGAUGAAAAGGUGUGUCAUCGAUGUGGCAUCAAAGGACACAUCAAAAAAAGUUGCCCGAACAAGACAAAGAAGAAUCAAUCGGCAACUUCUAAUCGUCAAGUGGCACCCUCUACAACUCGACUUCCCCCACGGAAUCAAAAGAAAAAUCAAGUUCGUCGAGUACCACAAGCAAAUCGGAUUCCUAAUGCGCAAUGUGAAGUCCGAACGAAGCCUCAAGAGAACCGGAAUUCUAAAUCUCACCGGCAACUUCAGUUGAAGUCACCUACAAUGAAGCAAUCUACGAUGGAUCAAAAAUCAAAGCAAACUGUACCAAAUGUCGACAACCCAAGACAACCUACUAUCCAACAAGUGUGGAUCCGGAAAGGUGAUAUCUUUCCUUGUUCUUUGUCUUAAGUUUGUUUUGAUUGAUUAUGUAAUGCUUUGUUUUGUGCUUAUUGCAUAUUUGUAUUCAUUGCAUUACAUGUUUGGACGAUUUUUGGUGCUUGAAUUUAUUUGUUUAAAAAUCGUUUUGAGGAAAGGUGUUUGGGAGAUUAAAAACUUUCUUUGAAAAAGGAGAUGAUUGAAAAUCAUUAUUUUGGGGAGAUUAAACUUUUCAAAGUGCUUUAAACGGUAUUUAACUUCACAUUCAUAUUAUGUUAAAUUCAUAUUAAUUAUCGGUUUUACUCCACUUUUUAUUAUUUUGACGAUAAUUUAUUAUAUGAAUUCUUAAUACAUAUAGUCAACAAAAUUUUGAAAUAAAAUUUGAUCUCUUGGUGAUUAAUUCAUCUUGAUUGUGUGUGUUGGAUAUGAUGGAUGGAUAUUCGCUAAUAGACCAAAAUUUGUCAAAAUUAUUUUCAAUUGUGAGAUUGUCUAAUUUAGGGGGAGUUUGAAGUAUUUAAAAAAAAAAAAAGAAAAAGAAAAAAAAACUCCUAUGUUUAAAAGAUGUGAAAAGAGUUACAUCUAAAAUGAGUGUGAAAACUACCACCACGUGUAGGAAAGAGCUACCACCCUGAUCGUCCGGUAAGUGUAUGAAGCUACCACAUGACAAAUUUUUUUGAAUAAUCGAAAAUGUUUGAAAAAUUGAAUAUGUUAGGUUUUUCGGUGUUAUAAGGUGGUAGGAUGAAAAUAUGCUCAAUAUAACGUAUCGAAAUCCGGAAGAAAUUGUCGAACUUUAGCCAAAUUGGUUAAAGUUGUCGAAGGAAAAGUUGGACAAGUUCCAAUUGGCAUUCCAACAAUUUUGGAAGGGCUAAAAAUGAGUUUAAGAGCUGUUAGAAAGAUUUUAGCAUCGAACGUCGCAAAACUGCAUUCUGGAGCAAAGUGCACCGGUACAACCAGCGAGUUGUCACCGGUACAGCCCUGCAGCCCGAGAAGAGUAAGCUCUCGGGUUUGAGAAAAAUUGGGCCAUGUGAAACAAGACAGUGGCCAAUGUGCUAAUGCGUCUCUCGUUGGGCUCUCGAAUGAGCUGAGCCGACGACUCGAUAUCUCGAGUGAGCCGAAUCGACGACCUGUCAUCUCGAAUGAGCCGAGCCGUUAAAAACAGUCANCGUGAGUGUGUUACCGGUAACACCUCUGGUGUGUACCGGUACACUUUGGUAAAACCCGAAUAGCAGCUCUUGGGUUGUCUCUGCGUGAUCGUGUUACCGGUUACACCCCAAGUGUACCGGUACACUUUGGGCUGACAGCACAGAAAUAAUCUGCUACAAUUUUGGAGGGUUGGGGGGUUUUGUGGCUAUUGUUACACACUAUAAAAUAACCCAACCCUCUCCCCCUCACAACAAAAUAGAAAUCCUCCUCUUCUCUUUCAUUUUCUCUCCCUUUCUCUCUAGAGACUCUCCACCAAGGCUAGAGGUGGUGAGUUGGAGGAGUUUUAGAGGUGAUUUUGGAGGAUUAGAGGACCUAGAAGCUCUCAUACAAGGUGGAUUUGGAGGAGCUUGGGCUAAGGUAAGCUCUCAUGCAAGGAUACAUCUAGGGUUUGGAUUUCUACCCUAAGAUCUAGAGUUUUGAUCUUCUUGCAAGCUUUAGAACAUUGUAGAGACUUAGAAACACAUGAAAUCCAUGGUUUCUUUAAGGUGCUCUAAUAGUGGAUUUUUAGGGUUUGUUCUAAACACCCUAAGAAUGGUUCAAAUGGUUUAUAAAUGGUAUUAGAGAGUUUCCUAGGUGAUUCUAAACUAAUCUUUGCUUAGGGAUGAGAUCAAUCUAGGGAAAUGGCAAGACGACAUUGUCAGGGCACCAAAAUUUGGAGCUUUUGUCGUAGAUGGGUUUAAAUGUAAAUUGACCCUAUGUAAACCUAAUUGAAGGUAUUUCGGACGCGUUGGUGAAGUCGGUUCGACGAUUCGUCGAGCCUACGCGAAGUUAUUGAAGAAACAGAUCAUUAAAGCUUCGUUUUCUCCUGGAGGGCCGAGGCGACGUCCUAAAAUCAUGAAAACGGAAUCGUGAGCUUGUGGCAACUAACCGUAAACCUUUAAUUUUCGGAUCGUGAAUUGGAGGCCGUUCGGGUGAUCGCGUGAGAGUUCGGGCCGAACCGGGUCACGGGUGCCUCGGGAGGCCGAUUACAAGUGACUACCAGCAAUCGGAGAGUAAGUUAAGGUGGGUUGUAUUUACCGAAGUGACUAGGUCGCCUGUAUGUCUAAGAUGAGUGUUUAUCAUUGAUGCAUAUUAUGGUAGCUAGUGGUAGAAUGUAUAAAUACAUGAAAUGAAUACUAUAUGGGCCACCAAAUAGUGCAGGAUAACAUAGUGUGAAUAAUGCUAGUGGAAAGCAUAAAGUAAAUGACAUAUGUGUGUUGACGUAUAGAGAACUAUGUUAAAUGACAUGUGCAUGUGGACAUAUAUAUAUAUAUAUAUCGAGUGGCAUUGAACCUAGUGUCAAGGACAUAGGUUGAGUAAGAGUAAUAUUGAACCUAGUGUUAAUAAACAUAGGUUAAACAAGUGUGGCACCGAACCUAGUGUUAAUAAACAUAGGUCGAACAAGAGUGGCAUCAAACCUAAUAUUAGAGAGCAUAGGUUGAGAUUAAACCUAGAAUUAAGUCAACCUAGGUUGUGAGAUAAAGAUAGUGAACCUAGAGUUAAAGUAACUUAGGUUAUGUGAUAAAAGUGUUAAACCUAGAGUCAAGUGGACCUAGGAUGGAAAGGAUGAUGGACCUAGAUAGGUGGAUACUAUGGGGUUAAGACCAACCCCUGAGUUAUAUGAAAUGGAUUCCGGAAUCCCAGAGCUUAUGGAUCACACCCAGAGUGGUGUUGGGCGUGUGAGACGAUUUCGCCGCCCGGGGCUAAACCAUUGACGUGGCGUGUGCAACGAUUUCGCCGUCGGAUGGUUAAGCUGGUUUGUGGAUUAGGCCGCCAGGUUUGACUUGAGCCAUUGUUGGGUGAGGUGCGAUUAGUUCACCGCCAGAUGGCUAAGUCAAGGGACUUGAACCAGUGUUUGGCGUGUGCGACGAUUUCGCCGCUAGCUGGCUAGGUCAGAGAGGGCGGUAGGCUAAUGAGCAGCUAGAGCGCGGAUUAUCUGCAGUUGAUUGACUUAAGACUGAGUCGGGUAGCAUAGAUGGCUAAGGUAAAGGUAACCUUAUGAAAGAAUCGCCAAUGACCAUAGUGUGGCAAGGAAAUAAAGUAGAGAACGACUAAUGAAUAACAAUAGCUAGUAAAAGUAAAGAAUGGCUACAAGUAAAGAAUGGCUAAGAAUAUAAGGUAGAAUCAAUUUAUCUACUUGCAUGAGUUACAGGAUUUGCAUAUUGCAUAUUGUGAGGCAUAGCAUGUUUUUCCUUAUUUGUAUAUAUCUGUUGGACUAACAUGUUACAGUGCCUCCUUGGACUUAUUGGUCGAGCUUUUUCCUUGGGUGGCCGUACCCACUGGGAAUCAUGGAGUUGGUUUUCACCCCACGUUAUUUUGGGGUGUUAUAGGUUUGCACGUGAGCGGCGCGGUGGCGCGAGGCAAGGGCGUAGCUUCGUAGAUAGCGGCCCUACCUCCGAAACUGAGAUAGCGGUACCCCGAGGUGGUCUAGCUUAGGGGUUUGAAGACAAAGAAACAAACUUGUAAUAAAUUGGUAAAAGAGUUUGAUUGUAUUGGAAGUCGAAUGUAAAAGUAAUUGUGAUGUAAAAUUCACCUAACAUGAAUGCUGUAAUAACUUAGUUGUUUUAUGUUUCGAUACUUCCUUAUGCAAUUUUUGGUUGAAUUCGGUUCCUGGUUGGAACAUCGUGAAUUGUAUCGAUUGCGACGCCUUGGACGUACAGGGGAGACUCUGUCCGCGGUACAGGAAAACCCUGUCCGUUCGGCGGUCUGUUGGCGUGCCCGAACCCAACCAAAUAAGCGGGGCACGGGGCGUGACAGUCAAAGAGCCACCCCCGGUGUCAUAUUAGUUAAAUCUCUAUUUUGAACGACUUGCGACAAAUGGAAGUCAAUUUUGCCGAAUUUCUAAAAAUUAUUUUUCAUUAACCGUUACAUCUGGAUGAUUUUGAAACACUAGAUUAUUUUUUAUUUCCAAAUUUUGAUGUUUCGAUGUAGUUUGAAAUCCUAUAAUAUUUUAUCUUCAUCAGAAUGAUUUUUGGAGUACAAUCUUUAAUUUUUAUGAAAUUAAUUAGAUUUUGAAGGAUUUUUGAAGGAAAAAUUCACAAUUUUCGAAAUCUGGCAAAGUGUAUCGGUACAAAAUACCGUAUACCAGUACAAAUUACUGUAGACCGUGUUAUUAUAACCGGUUACAGCAUUCGGUUUUUCCCCGAAACACAAUCAAAACUUCUCCUCUCUCUCUCUAAAAAGCCCCAGCAACCUUCUCCUCCAGAUCCAAGUGUUUUUCCCAAAGAUUUGUAAGUAUUUUGCUAAAAUUUGAAGAUCUAAUCCCGGUUUUUGCUAUUUUUUCGAAAAAUUUCGAGUUAAAGCAUGAUCUCUGUUUUAAUUCAUUUUUUAUGCAAUUUUUUUGCUGUGAAUCAGUGUUUAGACAUAUAUUCUUACUUCUAGAACACUUAGAUUAGGUUAUAAUGCUAUAUUUUUUGCUGAUCUAUUAUCCGUACCUCUAUAUACCUGGAAUUUCGUGAUUUUUUAUGAAAAUCAAUUUUUGAUGAAAAUUUUUGCAUGAUUUAGUUAGAAAUAGAAUUGUUAUUCAUUCUAAUAUUAUUAGAAAUUUUUAUGCUAUUUUUACAGAAUUUUUUGAAUUUUCUUCAUGCAAGGCUCAUUUUUUUAUGUAGGAAAAAUGGCGUUCUCGUUCGUGGUGCUGCUGUUGGUGCUAAUGGCCACUGGUCGUGGUCGAGGACGUGGUCGAGGCCAUCGAGGGGCCUCCAAGAGGACUCGUACUGCAGGCGAGUCGUCCGGGGCUGAUCCAGAUUACCAAGCGAGCUCUCCGGAGGAUACUGAAGAACCGAUUGCUCCAACUGACAAAGGGAAAGGCAUAGCUGGAGAAUCAUCACGCGGAGGUGGCUCUCGUGCAUGAGAGAGUCACUCAAAGCAAGCCGCGGAUGUUCCACCGGAGCGGCGGAGGACGUUCUCGAGCAGGUCAUGCAUUGCAGAGAGAUAUGUCAACUUCAACGAACUCAUCCAGGAGGUUCCAGAGUUUGGACGGUUAUUCCACUGUCGACUGGUGCUACUGACGUUGGAGGAUUUGGAGUUGGAGCAGACGAUGAUGAUGAUGAUGAUGAGGACACCGAGUGACGUCAUCUUCGAGCUUUGUUUUUCUACUUUGCUUAUUAGGAUGAUGUUUUAGUUUUUGCUUUGCUUAUCUUUGCAUUUUCUUUAGGCCUGUAUCUAUGACAUGACUACUCUUAUGUUUUCUAGUUGAUUUUCUCUCUAUAUACUUUCUUUUGACAAUUUUUGACAAAAAGGGGGAGAUCAUAGAUGAACAGGUAUUGAUCGAAGCAGGGGAAAAAGAACUCAUCAACAAAGGGGGAGAAGUGAUCGAGGACAAUGAUAAUGAGAUAAUGACAUUGAAAGGUAUAAAAGUCCAAUGGUUUCAAAUUAAGAUAUCAUCUUUGGAUAAAUUGUUUUGCAGGAAAUCAAGACUUCAAGACUCUUAGUUGCAUCUAAGUCAUAGAGUCUGUUUUAGGAGUUUUGAUAUAUUUUUGAGUUUCAUAUUAAUAUUGUAUUUGGACUACAUGCGAGGUGUUCAAUGUUUUGGUGAUAACAAUUGAACUUCGAUUCUUAUUAUGUAAUUUUGAGUUUGUGAGUUUUGUCACGAAAUUGCCAAAGGGAGAGAUUGUUAAGUCUUGUGUGUUGGCAAGUUUCGUGAAGUGAGUCGGAGUCUUGAAGGAUCGGUGCGGAUCAUCGAAGAUUGAAGAAUUCAAGACUUCGAGGAAAGUGGAAAUAACUCAUGACGUGAAUCACGAUGCUCAGGUAAAGUUUUAAUUCAUGUUAUAGUGAUUCAUACUUAGUUAUAGGCAUUAGAAUUAUAAACUCAAAGUUUACUAGAUUAGAAAGUGCAUCGGAACUUUGCGAAACUCAAAACUGUGGAAAAAUCAGGAAAAUGCAAAGUGUACCGGUACAACAUUGAAAGUGUACCGGUACAAAUUGUGUUCCGGUACAACCAGCGACUUGUCAUCGGUUAUAGCGUUUCGCAGGUUUUCUCUUCCAUCAUCGUGUAACCGGUAACAGCUUAAAAGUGUACCGGUACACAAUGUAAAAAUCUGAAAAGAUUUUCAAUCCGACUCUAAUUGAUUCUAAAGUCUAUAAAUAAGCUAUUGGGGUUCUCUAACAGAUAAAGGAUCAUAAGAAUACAUGUUUGAGAAACCCUAGAGGCUAGGAUUUCGUUCAUAACCUAUUUCCUUCAUAAUAGCCUCUUUUAGGUCAAAUCGAGAUAUUGUAAUUUGAUAUCAAUAUGUCGAUUUGAUCUACUUUUUGCUUGGAGUUCUCUUCCCUGGUUUUCAUCGAUACUCUAAGCGAAGGAUCACCGUACACAUGAUGUUCUUCAUCGAUGGCGUCGUGGAUUCGGCGUGAUUGAAGGCGGUUCGUGGAUUCGGAUCGUGAGCUCGUAGAUUCGAGUGGCGUUCGUGGAUUCAGACGUGUACUAGGUGUUCGUGGAUUCGAACGUGAGGGCAUGGACAACCCGGAGGAUUGCACAAGGUUCGUAAGAGGUUAAGAAAGGUCGAGUCCGUGGAGUCGGUAAUCACCUUGUAAUCUUUUCUCUUAGUGAAUUAUUUUUUUUGCGUGUUGGUCCCGUGGAUUUUUUUCCAAGUUGGAGUUUUUUCACGUAAAUCUUGGUGUGAUUUUUAUUUUCCGCAUUUUCUUUUAUUGCAUCGAGAUUUGUGAUUUUUGGUCGUUACACCUAUUCACCCCCCUCUAAGUGUUGGAUAUAAUCUAGAUAGAUCCUUGGGCACCCCAAAACUUUCAGUUUUCCUCUCCUCUCUUGGUGCUUGCUAGUUUGGAAGGUGUGGAGCAGCUGUGGAAGAGUGGAAAAGGAGUCUUGGGAGAGGUAUUUCGUAACCCUAACUCAGUAGGAAACUGAGUUGAAGUUUGGUAAGGUAAGCUAUUCAACUUCUUUUUAGUUGAUGCUAUAGUAGUGUAGUUGAUGUUGGUUCUUUGUUCCUUAUUACCAGCUGGUUUGGGAAGGUUUAAAACAGCUAUAGAGGAGUUGUUUUGUUGAGAUUCUUCAACCUAAAACCAGGGAAAAGCUAAGUUGAAGCUUUAGAAGGUGAUUAGCUAACUUCUCUCUUGAGUUGAUGCUAUAAUAGUUGUAGUAGUAAAAGUAGUGGUGCUGUUUUUGGUGUUUGCUCACAGCAGGGUUGUGAACCACUUUGGAUGAGUUUGAGUUGUCCAUGUAGAUCAGUUUUGGUGUACUUCAACUUGAGUUGGAGCUGUGUAAGGUGAACAAUCUAACUCCUUUAUAGUUUUGAUGUGUUGAUAGUAGUAUAAAGGGGUUUAUGGUCUAUGUUCGCAGCAGGUUCGCAGCAGGUUCGCAGCAAGUUUGAUGAUCACCUUGAGCUAAGUUUGGGGUGAUUCUUGAAGGCUGGAUUUGGUGUGUUCCAACCUGAAGUGGAGUGGAGUUUAAGUUUGGAUUCUAAUCGAAGUGAGAUUCUAGCCUUAAUUAUGUGAUUAUGUGAGGUUUUAUGUGAAAGCUUGGUGAAGCUCCUAGCUGAUUUUAGAAUACUUACCAGGGUGCUUGGAGGCUUCGAAUUACCUUCGUUGGAGGAAUCGACGAGAGUCGACAGCGAUUUGGUGGGUUUGACUUUACCAUAAUAGGUGAAUUCCCUCUAUAUCUUCUUGGACAUUAGGAAAUUGGAAUUGUUGCAUAUUCAUGUGAAUUUAUGUAUAAUUGAAUGAAAUGGGGCAUGCAUCAAUAUGCAUCUUAUAUUGAGCAUAAUGGAACCUCUAUGGAGUAGAUGAAAGAUUAUAAAAUUGCUUAGCCUACAUAGAUUGUUUGCUCGGUUAAUAUGUAUCCAUGACAUUAGUAAACUUUUGUAGACAAGUUAAGUAUGACAUCAUUCAAUAGGGUAUAGCCGUAAAGCUAUGAAUAUGACAUUUGGACAACUAAGUGAAUGAUGUAUUAUGAUGUUGUAUCUUUGAGUUAACUCAUGCGGUUUCAUGUGUUAGACAUGAUGACAGGACUUCUAGCAUAUUAUAUAUAUAAUGGAGUUACAUAAGUAUACAUUCAUAUUGUGGAAUGGCUUGUGUAGAGAUCAUGCGUAAAGUAUCUUAUAUGAUGUUUUGCCUACUUUUGUUAAUAAGUGAUUAUCGUUUUCAUAUAGCAGAAAUGGCAUGAAUUUGACGUUCUUACAUUUAACCUAGUUGGGUAACUAUAUACUAUUGAAUAGAAUCUAGUUAAAUAACUAGAAUUGGAUAUGAGGAUAUACAUGUGUAGUCAAGUAGAAGUAAUUACAUAUUACUUGUUUACUCUCAGUAGUGGAGGUUUAUGUAGAACUAUAGAAUAUGUGUCAUGAGUUAUUUGAACACCAGAAUGAGUCAUUGGAUAUGACCUUGGUAAACCACUUUCCUUAAGUAUAAGGAGUAGUGAGAGGACUAUAUGUGAGUAUGCGGGUAUAGCCCGUUAGAAUCAUCUAUAUGAUGUAAACCAUAUACUUGUUUAAGUCAUACUAACUAUUGAUAGAAUUGUGUCACCAAGUAGUUAAUAGUGGAAUUUGAUUUAUUGUUAAUUGUUGACCUUGUGUCAAAAAGGAAUUCCAUGUUAGAGACAUGAUGAACUUGUGAAUGCUAUACUAUGAGUUAAGCUUGCUUGCCAAUAUGCUCAUUCGCACAUGCUUGUGAGGGUCGCGCCCCACAAGCCGGCACUCCGGAGUUGGCCUAUGUGACAGAUUGCUCGCUUAUGUACGAGACUGAGCACCGAAUUGGAUUGCCGUGGGUAGUGUUGACUUCCACGGGCCAUUAGGCACGACACUAGCUUGGACUUUACCAUGAGUAAGUCUCCUGUUAAUUGGGUUACUACAGUGAACUUAGACCUAGAUAGACCUAGUAGUAAAAGUACUUUAUGUCAGUAGUUGAGAUAUACCUAGUAAUGAACAUACUAGAUGGUUGGCAUUUCUGUUAGUCAUUAGUUGUAAUGACAUUACCUGUAGGAUUACACUCCGAUUAGUAUAGGAAGGUAGCUGCAUGUUGUUAUUAUCUUGUUGAACUACGAUCAUAGAAUCCUACUUUAAUUGGCAUAUAGUUAAAGAUGAGCAAAUUGGUAGCUACAUGACAUACAGAAUUGGUAUACAUGAUAAGUACUAUAUAAUACAUGUUAGAAAGCAUAUCUUGUUGAGGCAUGUUAUAAUUGAAUGAUUUCAUUUACUUAUUGCAUUUACUUCUCGCACCUAUUAUAGUUUUAUUCAUGCCUCAGUUGACUUAGUGGUGUACUUCGCCACUCUCGGCGGCUUACCCACUAGGAACUAUUAUUUAAUAGUUCUCACGCCCUUUUGUUGGUUGUUUUUGUGCAGAGCCUUCCACAACGGGAAAGGUUAGGGUUCCUAGCAAGGGGUUAGUGGCUAGCUAGAGCCUCCUCGAUGUUAAAUAGAUGGAACCGUACCAGCUUUUCUAGUUUAGUUUAGUAUCGUAUAUUGGAACUAUGUAGAAUGUAUUUUGUACUUUGGUUUUAAGCUGUAAUAGGGUUUUGUGGUUGUAUAAGCUUAUGAACUUUUAGUUUUGCUCUGAUUACCUAAUUAGAAUACUAUGCUUUUGCUAUGUUGAUUGUAGACGCCUGGUGUACACUUAAGGUUGUGGUGUACACGGCGGGACUGUGCACGUGACUGGUGAGCUUUCGCUGAAGUCCAGGGCAUGACACAAUCAAUACUGAUAUGCUCAAUAGCCAACCAUCGGCAACUAGCCGACAAUCUUACCCCUCAGGGUAUGUUGACCGUAUAGGAGUAUCGACCACUCAGGCCAACUAGGAUGGAACAAUUCAACAUCCUUCCGAAGAUAUGAAAGUAUCGACCACUCAAUGUCAACUAACAGAUAUGCACAAGAACCGACAAAUAGGUCACAAUACGAGAUACAAGAAACCGACCGACUAGGUCACGAGAAUGUCAAAUCAUGGAUCAAUGUAAUCUAUAAUCAUCCUUCGGCAACUAGCAGACAAUCCUACCCCUCAGGGUAUACCAACCUCAUCGAUCAUCAAACAACAGGAGUCACAGAACCAAUCGAAUAGGUCACUACAUAUAGUCCACUCUACUUCUAAAUCAUGAUGAUAAAUACGAAAAGUAACCAAGUAGAGCAGUAAGUACGAAGUCAAAGGGUGCUAGUCUCAUAACAUGAUAUGCAAGGUAAUAAAAAGAGGGUGGAGAGAACGUCACCGAGCAUGUACCACUGUACCGACUUCAGAUCGAAGUACCCACCCGUACGUAUAUGGCACUGGUCUCUUGACUGCGGAAAAAGUAUCAACCGGACCUACGAAGGGUCCACCGGGUUAGUAUUCAACCCACACAAAUGAAACACUAACUCACAGUCCAAUCUAUAACCCAUAGGAAUCGGUUUCCCAAAACCGAUUACCGUAACUCGCCGGAAGUCCCGAAAAUUGCACCGGGACAUCGUCGGGACCCCGAAAUGUCCCGGGACUCACCGACUCGUGCCACAAGUCACCCGCUGCCACCCAACACAAUAAUUUGUGUGACCUGGCAGAAAACACAAGAUCACACCUCCAAACAAUUAUCGUCGGAUAAUCGUUCGAAUCCGGGUUCUCGGAAGUGUCUAUUUCGACACCGUAACCCACCAUUGCCCACCCGUCAUCUCCAAACUCAUGAGAUGACUAUUGUGACCAGCCAACAAGGCUCGGCGACAAAACAUAACUCGCCUUAGCACUGUCGGAAGAAAUUCGAACUGAAACCGCGUUCCGUUGGCGAAUUUCGCCAAAAAACGCAUCGAAAAUCGAUACCCGAUUUUCGUAAAAGCCUCGAACCUUGGACAACCAGUCCAGAGGUCACCCGCUGCCCACACACACUUCCCACAGGAGCCACGAAGCAUAAAUUGUAUAAAAGUCCCAGUGAUCACCUAAAAUCACAUUAUUUUAUGUGAUUUUCAGGGUUUUUACGGCCUGAUAGCGCAAAUCGAGGAUUUUCAAGCCUUGCCGAGACACACGCUGAUAGCUCUCGAUGUGCUGGAGGUCGUGCUCAUGAUUCGGAGCAUGGCCGUCCACUGUGGGAGGCGUGGGAGCUACUAGAAGUUCAGCAAACACUGCGCGCUGAGACUAAAACACGUCUAAUUCUGCAAUCUGGGGUUCGUUGACCCUAAACGAGGCGAGCACUGUGAUCAGCACUAACCAACGAUCACCAUACGCACCUCCGAGGACGUCGGAACAGUCUCGGGUCGUCAGAACAAAGAUCCGAAAAGGAAACAGUGUGCAGACAGCUUACUAAAAGCAUACCGGGCAAGGUGGGGCUAGGGCACGGUCGGCGGCGGCCCGGCGGUGGGAGGACUGGUGGCAGGCGGGCGCUGGCAACGUAGGGAGGCCAGGGCACGUGUCGGCUGGCGACGGAAGACGGUGGCGGUGGCCGACAAUGAUGCCCUAGCCGCGCGGUUUGAUGGAGAGCUUGGCUUCAGCUCGGCCGGUAGGGGCCUCCGCCGGCGGGAUCGCCGGCAGCAACCGGGUGCGGCCGACCGGGAAGGACCGGCGCUUACGCCGGCCGGCGGCGGGAGGCGGCGGUAGUGGCGUUAGGAGAAGCUGAGCCCGCACGGCCCUAUCUCGAGCUCAUAUUGCUUCUCCAGCCACGGCAAUGGCCGGAGCGGGCAAGGGAGGGGCGCGGCCUUCACCUGGAGCCCAGAGGAGGAAGCGGAGACGGCGGUCGGCAAUUGAGAAGGCGGCGCGGCCAGGCUCGGCCGUACCAGCCCGAGCUAGCAGCGUGCCGCAGUAUCCGCGACGGUGGAGCUCGGGGGCGGCUGUGGCCGCUCGGGGGAAGUCGACAAAGGUCAAGGCGCAGAAGGAGAGCCCAAGGUGUGGGAUCACCUGCCUAGCUCUCAAGUAGAGAGGGGGAUGGGUUGGUGGCAAAUGUGAGUGGGAGAGAGGGAAAAGGUUGGUCGAGGAGCUGGUUGGUCGACCGGAGCUCAGUCGAAGGUGGCCGGGGAGCGCGCGGCACACGAGGUUAGUGAGGAGCGGCGGCUGGGAGUCUGAUGGAGCUAGGGCAAGGGUUUUCUUGGAAGAAAACCCUAGUUAGCUCAAUAUAUAAAUGGCGACAACUUGCAGUUUAACCCACCAAAGAUUGAUAUUUUCAACUGAGUCCCUCACGGCACGAGUAAAUCGCGCGGAUAUACCUCCAUGCCAAAUUUCACGUAAAACGGUAUAUAAAAUAUAGGGUGUUUUGCAAAAUUACCAUUUUGCCACUUAUGACCCCUCCUCGAUCAAAGUGCGAUAUCAGGAGAUCCGUCCGUCAUAUUUGCGAACGGAUCGCACCAAUGCGAUCAGAACGACUGAGACAUCAAACUCACUAUUUUGUUUCACCAAGUUCAGUCGCGGAUUUGUGACGAAACCCAUUCUCUCUCCAAUAAGAAAAACCACACACAAAUACAUAGAAUAUAUGUGUAUAUAGUUUUCUCGAAAUCUCUGCGUCAAACCUGAAAUCCGUCAGCGCCACUAGAUCCAAGACAGUCAAACCAUUGAAAAUGAGCUAUUGGAUCACUAUGAACGGAGUCUGAUAUGCACCAGAAGCCAUCUCCACUGAUCGGCCUCUCCGGAAAAUUGGAGUUAUUCACUUUAAGUGAUUAGUAAUGAUCGCGUAACUUCUCCAUUCUAACUCGUUUUCUCCUGAAACUUGACGAAUGCUUAUGUAAUUAAAUUACACACGAAAACAUCUUCAACAACGAGUUUAGCUACAUUGUCAAAUUUUCAGUACUCAUAUUAUCCUCCCCUUAAAGGAAGUUUCGUCUCCGAAACUUCACUAUGCACCGGCCGUAAUCAAAUUUGGAUACCAAACUGCUAUUUUGGUUCCUCCUUCAAGUUUUAAUGAUACUCCCAAUUCAAAAUCUUUUAGCCUUGAAUCUGGAUAGAUCAACUUCCGAAGUAGGGGAGAACUGCGGUUCCACCUGGACGAGACGAGUGAAAACAACUAAUCCAAGAUCUAUGGACCAAGACUCACCGGGAUCAACACCAUUCUAUACCUUGCGGAAAAACAGUUCCACGACCAGGAUUAUCCGAUCCCAAAUAUGCCAAAACUGAGAUAAUAACUUAUCACUCAGAAACUCUAGGUUCACCCAACCUUGGUCCGUGUAGCAGUAACCGUCUCAAUCUACGUCAAAAGUUCAUGUAGAAAAGUCACAGGACAACACCACUAGUCUAGAGUAUAUUUUCAUAAGCCAAAAUGACACAUUCCGUGUGAGAUAUUGAAUCCCGAUGGAAUUUGGCUAACUUUGGCCAAAUGGACCAAAGUGGGCAAUUGAACGGUUUGGACAAGUUCCAUUCGGCAUUCCAACAAGUUUGGAAGAGCUAAAAUGAGUUCCAAAGGUGUUGGAUUGGUUUUGACAUCGAACGGCGCGAAUUAGAGCCGAAGAGAUGUGAAAACAACUUUCUGGAGCUGUUGUACCGGUAUAAGAGUGAUGGCUGUACCGGUACAACCAUCGCAGGCUCUCAGGUUGGAGGCUGCCAGACCUUGUACCGGUACAAGGGGGUCUUGUACCGGUACAAGCCCUGCGAAACCGAGAAACCGAGCUCUCGGGUUGGGCUGUCUGCCAGGCCUUGUACUGGUACAAGAACCCGUGUACCGGUACAAGGGACCCGAAAAUGUGGAUCUGGUUGGAAAAUUAGUUUUUUUGAGAGGGCUUUUGGGAUUUUGUUACAAUAGAGGUCUUAUACCUCUCUCUCAGCCACUCCCUCUCAUUUUUCUCUCCCUCUCUCUCUCACCUCUCUUGCUCUCUCUCUCUCUAAACCGAAAAGAGAAGAAAAGAAGGAGAAAAAGGAGAGAAAGAAGAAGAAGAGAAGAAGGAAAGGAAGGAGAAGAUCAAGGAGAAGAAGAAGAGGCUUCUCUCCCUCCUCAUCCUCAAGCUAGGGCUUGCUUUGGAGCAAACCCUAGAGGUAAGCCUCAACCCUAAUUUGAGAUUCUAGGGUUUUGGGAGCUUUUUGUUAGUUUUAAUGGUUCAAAUGGAACCUAAUGAGUUUAGAGGAUAUGGAUCUAGCUCACAAUGAAGCUAGAAAUCAUGGUUUCCCAUGGGUGCUAAACCUAGGGUUGGAUUUUGGGGUUUUUGGGAAUAUAGGGUUUUGAUCUAUUUUGAUGGGUCGGAAACCUAAUUGUUAUGCUCCCGAACGCGUAGGCGAAGAUGGUUCGUCGAUCCUUCGAGCGAGCGCGGAGAUAUCGCCACUUUGGUAGCUCUAGGGUUCGUUUUGACCCGAGGUGUUGAAGCGGCGCACGUGGAUUUCGACGCCGAGUUUCUUAGCUUUUCGGCACUACCACAAGGUGGGUGGUGACCUUCCCGAAGCCGCGGGGCUACGUUCUAUGUCCAAGUUUAUUAUUGAUCUAAUUGCAUCUUAUCCAUGUUGCAUAUAGGGUUAGAAAAUGAUUGUUGUUGCUUAUAUUUGCAUGCUAGUAGCUAUAUGUUUAGUUGAUUGAUCCAUGAUCUAGUAUGCAUGAAAACUACACGAUGAAAACCUAGACCCUAUAUGUAAUGGUUAAUGUUUAUGAGAUUAAAGAACUAGUAAGAUGUAACUAGUGUUGAAAAUGAGUCUGUGUGAUGGGCAAUCAGAGCGCACUAUACAGACUCUUGAGGACAUGCUUCGAGCCUGUGUGAUUGACUUACAGGGAGGAUGGUCACAGCAUCUAUCGAUGGCAGAGUUUGUUUAUAACAACAGUUAUCAAGCAAGCAUCAAGAUGAAACCACUCUAUAAACGGAAGUGUAGAUCGCCACUUCAUUGGAGUGAAGUUGGCGAGAGAUUGGCUUUAGGCCUCGUUGUGCUCCAGGAAGCAGAGGACAAGGUUCGCAUUGCUAGGGAGCGACUGUUUAUUGCUCAGAGUAGGCAGAAGAGUUAUGCUGACAAGCAUCGACAGGACUUAGAGUUUCAGAUUGGUGAUCAUAUCUUCUUGAAAGUCUCACCGACCAGAGGGAUUAGAAGAUUUGGAAUCCGAGGUAAGUUGAGCCCCCGAUACAUUGGACCGUAGAGGUUUUGGAGCGUGUAGGCCCGGUAGCGUAUCGGCUUGUUCUACCACCGAACAUAUCGGGUGUACACAAUGUUUUUCAUGUAUCGGUCCUUCGGAAGUACAUCCAGGAUCCGGCUCACGUGUUGGACGCUACACCUUUGGAGCUGAGGGAUGAUUUGAGCUUUGAGGAGCAACCUUUGAGAAUUUUGGCUCGCGAAGUAAAGAGAUUGCGGAAUCGUGAGAUGCCCUACGUGAAGGUGCUUUGGAGCAACCACAAUGAGCGCGAGGCCACGUGGGAGUUGGAGAACGCGCUGCGGGAGCACUAUCCCUAUCUUUUCUAGAUGGAGGCUUGAGGUACUUUGUCUUUCCGAGUUUCGCGGACGAAACUCCUUUUUAGAAGGGGUGAAUGUAACACACUUGACCUAUGCAAAUUGCGAGGUUCGAGUGAUUGGAUGUGUUCCGAGAUUUUCCACGCCUUGUGGAGGGUCAUAACAGGUGUUCCGACCUAAAAAGUUCGAAUCCUAAAAUUCCAGCUAAGUCCUGAGAGUUUUCCUCUCGGGGACCGAUCCCUGGUGGGAGAGACCGGUCCCCUUGGAACAGUAUUGCGGCUGACUGCGAGGCAACCGGUCCCUGGCGGGGGAGACCGGUCCCCGAGCGCGUUUUCGCGGGGAGCGACCGGUCCCUCGCGGGGAGAGACCGGUUCCCGAACGUUGGAUUUUUGGGGCAGGCUGAGAGACCGGUCCCAGGUCGGGGAGACUGGUCCCUCAGUCCGAAAUCUGCCCAAUCCGGGCUUGCACGGGUUGCAAAGUAGAGGGGCUUUUCUGGAUUUUGUUACAUUACAUAGUGUCACGCCCCGGGACCGACACCAAUUUCGACCCGAGCACGUCAAACAGACGCCGGACGGACAGAGUUUCCCCUAUCCGCACAAGGCUCAUCACAUGUACAUUUUCAUCAUUAGAGAAAAGCACUAGUGGAAACAUACACAAACGGCUUACACGAGGGUAAGCAAUAGCCAUUAGUGAAAGAAAGGAAAACUAAACAUCUACACAAGUAAUAUGAUUCAUUUUAGAUCAUAUACAUUGCAUCCAUCUCUUACAUUUAGGAUUCUUUGCAUUUCAUUACAUAAUUUCAUCAUUUCUUCCUUACAUCACAUUUACCUCAAAAUAAGCUUUACAUUCUUUUCUUUACAUUACUAGUCAUCAAAUACAAAAGAUGAACAUAGGGUAGCUACUAUCAAAAUGUAAACCCAACUUUGGUUUGGUGGCCUCUGACUAAGGUGCGAUACCUUUACCUCGGUCGUUCGCCGGCUCGCUCGGUCCCGGCUCUGUGGAAAUAGUGGGGUGAGAACUACAACAAAGUUCCCAGUGGGUUCGGCCUCAACAUCACCGACUUUCCCACUAGGACUAACUCAGGUAUAAUAGAAAGGAUAAGCUAAAAUAUAGUAACCAAUCUACAACAUGAUGCUAAUAUGCCUGAACAAAAGCAAGGAAUAUGCUGAACAUUAACAUAUGCAGAUUAUGCAAGUUCUUUCGUUCUUUAUCUUCACACUUUGUUCUUUGUUCUUUGCUCUUUGUUCUUUAUUCUUUAAUCUCAAGGCUAACUCGGGGGUUUCGCCACAUUAACUUGCUUCACAUUAAGUCCAUCAUCGCAGAAACUCACCCGCUAGGACCGUCCUUCGGGUUUACUCCAACCCGUGAUGCAUAACUCCGGAGCGCAUCGCCCAAGGGGGAGCGACCGCCCUCGAGCACGGAACUCAUAGCAAGUAUGAUCAUAUCCUUAACUCAAAGGAUUUAUAAGUUCAAUCUUGACUUUACACUAGCUCUACUGUUCAUUACAUCACUUUAUGUUGCUAACUCUAGCAAUCGUUAUUCUUUACUUUUCUUUUACUCUUGCCAUCCUUAGCAUUCUUAUUCUUUACAUUUCUUGUUCUUAUUGCCCCACUUCACUUUAACUUUAUACAUUGUCAUUUUCAUCAUUCUUUACAUCACUUUGGUUCUUUGGCUCACACUAACUCUAGUGUCACUUUACUUUACGUUUUCAAAUGCCACUCGAUCUAUGUCAUUGUGCCACUCAGUUCUUUUGGCUCACUUUAGCACUCACAUUUUUCUCUCAUGCAUACAUAUAGGGUUCUAACAUUCAUAAGGUUCUCAUUCAUCACAUUAUGCAGGUUGUACUCACAAUCAUGCAACAUUAUAUUUUCAUCAUCACUUUACCCUAAAAUGCAUGCAACAACAUAUAUAUAUAUAUGCUCAAAUGAAUGACACAUUAGGCAUAGAGAGAAGUUCAACGAGUUUGAGAAGCACCACCCACCUCGUAGGCUUUCAAAGGUGCUCCGAUGAUUUUCUUGGGAUUUUUAGACCCUUCGUUCUUUACCUGCGACAUAACGAACCCUUAUUAGGCCAUUUUGCCCAUAACUUUUGAUUGUCCUUUCGUAUACUUCAACGGAGCGCACCAACGCGUUCGUUGGGUCCCCAAUUAGGUUUUUAGAGGGUCAAUUGCACUUAGAAAUCCUCAUGAGCAAAAGCCCCAAUUUGGUGCCCUAGCUCCAACACAUAUCUCAAACCUAGGGUUUGAUCUCAAAGAGAAGCAAAAGUAGCUUCACUAUACUCUAAAUAGUCCAUUAGAACCAUUCUUAGGCUUUCCAAAACCCUAAGAAUGGUUUUGAUCUUUAAAUAAGCAAAAAGAAAGCUUACCUUGUAAGAAUGGUUUUAUAUCUCAAACGUAGCACUCACAUUUUUCUCACCUUGAGCUCAACCAUGGUUUUGAUCUUUAAAGAAGCAAAAAGAAAGCUUCAAACUACUAGAUAUUCCAUUAGAAACCAUUUCUAGGUUCAUUCAAACCCAUUUCUAGGGUUUUACUACAUUAGGGUUCAAAGCUUACCUUGUAAGCUUCCUUUUCUUGCACUAGAGAAGAAGGAGAUGGAGCCUCUUUGCUCCAAAAGCUUCUUCUUCACCUUCUUUUUCUUCUUUUCCUUUCUUUUCCUUUGCCUUCUUCUUCUCCUUCUUUGUAUUCUAGAGAGAGAAAGAGAGGAGAGAGUGUGAGAGGGAAAAAAUGAGAGAAAAUCUCAUUAGGCCCCAUAACAUAGCCAUUGGGUUGCCAAAAUGCAAAUAAACCCCUCAAUUUUCACCUUAAUACACUGCCCGAACUAGGCAGUUCGCGCAGGCGGGGUCCGGUCUCUCCUUUAGGGACCGGUUCCCGAACGUCGUCCCAGCGCAGCCAGAGCUGCUGCGCGCAGUGCAACCAGUCUCUCCUUGCGGGACCGGUCUCUCGGGGACCGGUCUCUCAGGUAGGGACCGGUUCCCGAGAGCUAGUUUCUCAGGACUUAGCCGAUUUUUCGGCUGUCUCAUUUCAUACCCGUUCGGGGACCGGUCUCUCCCACCAGGGACCGGUCCCCGAGAGUUCAAAAUCUGCAGCUUUGCAGAUUUGAUUCUAUAGCUCUCGAAAACCUCCCAUAACUCACUUUUACUCAUUUUAACACCUUCGGACUUUCCGAAGUGUACCGUCUUCGCACUUUGGUCAAUUUGACUAAAGUUCGACAUUUAUUUUUCGAAUUUUCGGUAUAUUACAGAUAGCCUAUAUUUCCACUCCACCUUCUCUUUCCCUCAUUUCUCUUCUCUCAACUCUCCCUACACCUUAGAUAGAAAAGGAGAAGAAGAAGGAGGAUGAGAAAAAGGAAGGAAGGAGAAGAAGUAGACCAACAAGACGACUUGGAGCAUCCUUCUCUCCCUCUCUUCUCCCCUUGGGUGCUUGAAGGCUUGGACUUGGAGCUUGCUAAAGAGGAGAUCUUCACUCUCGGAGCUUGGAUUGGAGCUUCUAAAGAGUUUGGUUGCUUGUUUCUCCCCUCUAGACCUAGUUUUGAUGGUUUUUGGGAGGUGGAACCCUAGAAUGGAAAAUCUAGGGUUUAUUUGGGGCUUUUUGAUUAGAGGCUUUUUGAGAUAAUCUAAUUGGAUUAGAACCUUGGUUUAGGUUGCUUUGGAAGGGAUCUAGCUUCCAUUUGAGUUUUGGAAAGGGAUUUUUACACUAUAGGUGAGAUUUUGGCCCUUUUCCUUAGUAGAUUAAUGUUUGAGCUUGUAGUUGAUCGUAAGGUUCGUUUAACCUUUGUUCUUGUGCCUCUAGGGUACUAAGAGACUAGAGGACACCUUCGUUGGAGCUUACGAAGGGUUUCGAGAUGGUUCGGUGGGUUUGACCUAGCCUAGUAUAUGAGAAAUCCUCAUAUCCUAUGUUUUAUGCUUCGUAAAGUAGAAAUUCAUACAUUUUCAUGAUAAAUGUAAUUCUUGUGAAUUUUAGAAUGCUUAACAUCCCUACGUCAUGUAUAAUGAAUUUCGGACUUCUAUAUAGUAGAGGGAGAGUUGCAUGUGAAGCUUGCACUAGCAUUGGGCAUUCUUAUGUUGGACUCGGGACCAUAUUUCUUACAAUAAAAUUGAGUAUUGCUUCAUGCAUUUUAACCUAUACCUAAUUGAGACAUAAGGGACUUUAAUAAGCUUUAAGGGGCUUGGGGACUUGUACCACUUGAGAGUGAUUGGGCUAAUAUCAUAAAGGGGCAUUGAGCUCGGGUUAAAUGAGAAUCUAGUACUAAUGUCAUAAAUGGAACAUAGAUUAUGAAAUGUGUUAACUUAUAACAAGCUUAAGUGUCAUAAAGAGGCACUAAGCAUAGGGAGUGUUGGAACAUCACUUUGAGACAUUGAACUAGAUCUUUGAGAUGCUAGUGACUUUACCAUGUUAGAGACAUGAUGAUUGAAUUUUUGAGACGUUAAUUACGCUUGCUUGCCAUUUGUGCUCAUUCGCACAUGCUUGUGAGGGUCGCUCCCUACAAGCCGGCACUCCGGAGUUGGCCUACGCGACUUAUGCUCGCUCGUACGGUAUCGAGAAACCUACGGGGUCGGGAGGGAUAGACUCAUUCCUAGAGUGGGAAUGCUGGAGCUACCACCGACACUUAGGUGGCACAAGCUGGACUAUACUAUGUAGGUUCUAGAACAUGUUGGAAACAACGACAUUGAACGGAAAAUAAAAAUCACUAUUAGAUAGGUUUUGUAGUUGGAUUACUUUAACAUGCUUAAAGCAUAGUGUUAGGACAUGUAGUAUGCCAACAUGUAGUAUGCUUGACAGUUUAUUUGUUGCAUCAUAGUAUACUUGGUUGCUAUGAUAGAUCAUAAUCAUCAUGCAUUGAUAGAACGGAUCAUAAUAUUUACUUGUUGCCAUGUCGGGACAUUGUUUUAUGCAUUGGACAUACUUCAUUAUGAAAGAGUAAAUGUACAAUACAUUGACAUCGUAAUGCUUAUGGUAUAGUAAUUUUAGUGAACAUACAUGCUUUCCUCCCGCGGUUAUCAUUAUUAUUAUUGUUGCUUAUCGUACUUACCCUUUUCUUUUGGGGCCUAGUGGUGCAUUGAGCUGAGGUCAGUAAUUGCCCACUAGGAACUAUAAAUUAUAUUUCUCACGCCCUUUGUUUUAUGUUUUUAUUUUCAGAGCUUUCCACUCCGGGCGAGGCUAGGGACCGCGGAAAGGGUAUCGCCUCGAGCUAGCUAGCUGUCGAGGACGCGUUGAUAGGUGGUCUACCUCUCGUCGUUUCUUUUUGGAGAGGUAGAGAGUUGUACCAUGUAUAGAGACCACCCAUUUUUUUUGGUGUACUUCAGGAAAUGGUUAUUGUAUUACUUUAUAUUUACUUUAGUUGAGUAGUUCUCUUCUUCUACUGCUGUUGCUAGUAUUAGUGGUUAUACUUGCUCUGAUAUCACUAGUUAUUGUUCCUCCUUUUCUUCAUAUUCCUUGUUUUGUUUCCGCCCUUUAUAUGUGUAGACAUAUGGCGGGUCUGGGCGCGCUACUGGGAGGGCCUCCGCCAGUCCCGGGGCGUGACACUGAGGGCCCGAUGGGUUAGCCACAAGAUUUUGUAAAGAAAAUGUAAACUUGCAUUCAUCAUGAGCAUCUCAUUGAGCAUAUGAUUGAGUUUAUUAUUCAGGCAUAUUAGCUGCAUUUGUUAGUUGGUUACUAUCUAUUUUUUCUUUUAUUAUGCCUGAUUUAGACCUAGUGGAAAAGUCGGCAAGAUCGGGGCCGAACCCACUAGGAACUUUGUUGUAAUUCUCACCCCACUAUUUCCACAAAGCCGGGGCCGAGCGAUCCGGCGGACGAUCGCGAUAAGGGUAUCGCACCCUAGACAGUGACCGCCCGAGAUACUUUCACAUUUUGUAGUUGCAUACCCCUUUUAUAUCAUCUUUUGUAUUUGAUGAUUUUAGUUGUAUCAAAGACAUUUGAAUGAAUGAUGUAAAGGAUUACAAUUUAAAUGCAAAUGGUUGUGUUUUGAGGAAUAUGUGAUUUAUAAAAGAAAUGAUGCAAAGUAGUAAAAGAAUUUGGUAAAAGUAGUAUGCAUGUAUAUGAUUUAAAGUUAAUCAUAGUACUUGUAUGUUGAAUAAUUAGUUCUUUCACUUUAGCUAUUGCUUGCCCUCAUGCAAGCCACGGUGUAUGCUUCCGUUUUGUACAAAAUUCAUACUCUAUUUGUACAGGAUGUUGAGCCUUGGGCGGACAGGGGAGACUUUGUCCGUUCGGCGUCUGUUCGACGCCCUCGAGCCGGCCAAAAGGAUCGGGCUCGGGGCGUGACAUAGAGGACCUUGUGAAUGAGGUUAGAAGUACGGAGUUGGUGUCCUCGACUCUAAUAAUCAUUGGCAAGAUAGUGGCUUUGUCGCCGCUUUGGCCGCAAUCAUCUAACAUGAAGAGUCGCAGACUGCACAGCCAUGUGCAACACAGACACAAGGAUAAAUCUGACUUUUGUUUGCAGUUCUUAUAUUUUGUGAAAAUUAGGCACUGCAAUAGGAUAUCUAAUGCGCAUUGUCCUCUCAAAGAGGUAUUUUCUCGACUUUACGGAUCAAAGAUGAAUUAAUCAGAGUAAGAGGAUCAAAAUCUGCGAAUAGCAUAUGAAUUAGAUAGAUUGAGGAACAGAGAGCUGAAGGAAAAGUGUCACGCCCCGGGGCCGAUUUUAAAAGCCAUUUUGAAAACAGAGUUGCGGAAGACGUGCCUUUUUUUUUUUUCAACCUGGCCCAUGCGAUGUACAGAUCCGCCACAAAUACAAGGUUCCUCGGUCCACUCGGACAGAGUCUCCUUUGUAUUUGCACGGCGUACCAACGAUACAACAGGAUCUCAACUACAAUCUACAAUUACCAAUCAACAACCAAUUCAUGAUAUGCAUUUUCAUACAGCUAACAAUCCCUAGAGAUGAUGCAUGCCUCUAAGCACUCCUUAGGUGCUAGAUGAUGCCAUGCACAGUACAACAAUCAUCCUAUUUAAAAGUGCUCCCCACCCGGAAGCUAGCGAUCCUUAGAUAUGAUGCAUGCCUCUAAGCACUCCUUAGGCACUGGAUGAUGCAAUGCACAGUACAACAAUCAUCCUAUUUAAAAGUGCUCCCCACACAGAAGCUUUUAUUUUUAAAAUCUAAUUCAUUCAUUCAUGAAAACUAUUCGAAAAUCUUUUGAAAAUUGUUUCCCACACGGAAACUAUAUUUUGAAAACCAGCUACCUCGAGGGGUACAAGGACCAAAAACCAUAAAACUAGAACCAUAAAUCUAUAAACCCCAAUCUCAGAUCCACAAUCACAAGCAUAAAUAAUGAAAACAUCCACAACUAAAACCAGUUCACAACAUUCAAGCAAUCAGAGGAUUAUCUAACUGAACAAUUUAUUUAAACUACUAAAAGCAGGAAUGAAAUAACCAGGGUGAUGGUCGCUACACCAGACUAGCUAGAUCGUCUUCUCGUCGAGCCCAAGUACCAACUCCAAGCUCGAAUCACCUGGGGAAAUGGGGGGUGAGAAACCGUAACCAUGAUUUUCCAGUGGGUACGGCAGAGCCACGAAGGCAAGUCGUAAUCACCGGAAACCAAAGGAGAUAGAUAAACAAGUAUAUAUAUGCUGAUAUGAAACAGAACUACAGAUAUGAAUAUGAUGUGAUAUAAGAGCAACUACAGUAGUAAUAGAAACGGGAUAAUAACUGAGCAAGAAUGAAACUACUACUGUAACAAAAAACUCAACUGAUCAGAUGCCUCAAAGGUGAAUAGUCCAAAACCAAACCUAAUCUGAUACUACUAUAUUGGUCCGCAGACCUCAAGCGUUGCCUGUCACAGAGCAGACACUGCGAGCUUAUUCAUGCGUCACCGACGACCUAUCCGGAUACGUACACCCCUUGGAUGGUGGCCAAACCAACCUGGUGUCUAGAAUACACAGUGCUGUGACUAAAUCAUGCUGGUAUGCUCAAAACAAAAAUCGACAAAAAGAGACCGGUACCAUGGCCGAAGCCAGUGCAAGGGCGUACAACGAACCACGAUCAACCAGAUCGAAACACAUGACAAGAGAGUCGAUGUGUUGCCUGGACCCAAGGUCCACAGAGAUGCAAUAUACGAAUGCAAGCCUGCUCUACAUGUCUAUCCACAACUAUACAAAUGCAAUCAAUGGAAUACGAUAAGCAACGAUAAACAAACAACUGACAUGUAGAGACUACGAUACUGAAUGAAAGAAUAGAGGAAGGGAGAAACGAUCUCACCGACUACUAGCUCGAAGCACCCACCUGACACUGUCGCGUCGAAACACUGGGUACGCACAAGUCAACCGAACCUACGAAGAUCCAACAGGUCAGUAACAAACCAACUCACCUGAAGUAUACUAUCUUACAAACCCCCACACAGAUCCCCGAAUCGGUUUCCCAAAACCGAUCAUCGUAACUAACCGGAAGUCCCAAAAAUCACACCGGGACGCCGUCGGGACCCACUGAGUGUCCCGAAACUCACCGACUCGUGCCACGAGUCACCUGCUGCCCCUAAACACUCCGAUUUGGAUGGUUUGGCAGCAAACACAAGAUAACACCACUACACAAUUAUCGUCGGAUAAUUGUACGAAUUCGGGUUUCCGAAAGUGUCUAUUUCGACACCGGAACCCACCGUCGCUCACCCAUCAUCACCGAACCCACAAAAUGAUAAUGGUGACGAGCCAACAAGGCUCAGCGAUAAUUUACAGGAUAACCAAACCUCGUUGGAAGAAAUCCGAACUGAAAUCGUGUUCUUUCGGCAAAUUUUGCCGAAAAACGCACCGGAAUCGACUUUUUGAUAUCCGCAAAAGCUAUUAGAUCAUGGACAAUUAGUCCGAAGGUCACCAUACACACCAACGCACUGCCCACAGUAGCCACAAGGUGUACAAAUGCAUAAAAGUCCCUAUGUUUACAUAAAAUCCAUCAUUUUAUGUAAAUCGGGCGACUUCUAUGACUCGUUCUCACAAACCGAGGACUUCUAAGUUCCACCGAGACACGUACUGACAGGUCUCGACGUACCGGAGGCCGUGCUCAUGGUCUGGAGCGCAACAGCUCACUGUGGGAAGCGCGGGAGCAGCCUGAAAAUUCUGUGAACAGCCUGCAGUCGGGGAAAAACGCACCAAGCAGAACGAUACGACAUCCGCUGAUCCAAAAUAAGGUGAGCACUGUGAUCAGCACUGAUUCACAAUCACCGUGCUCACCUCCAGAGGCAUCAGAAUAGCCUCGGAUCACCGGCAAAGUGCGUUCAAACCCGCAACAGCAGCCAAAAAGGCUCUAUAGGGUCGACAAUGCCGAAAUAGCGGAACGGAUUCUCCCCGACAGAAACUAAGGUGAGCACGAUGAUCAGCAAUUUGCCACGAUCAUCGUGCUCCCUUCCGUAGAGAUCGGGGAGGCUCGGAAAGCUCGGAACAGCAAACCGCCAAGGAAUAGCCCUAUUUCGGGCUUGGCCGGAGCAAGCUUGCUCCGGCCAGCUUCCGGCAUCACGGUGUGGUGCCCGCAGGCCAGGAAUGGAUGCGGGGGAGGUGAGGAGUGUGGUGCUCACCUCAGUUGGCGGCGAGGAGCGGCGGCGGCGACAGUGGAGAGACUUGAGCCCGCACGUGCAAGGCCUCGGGUUCCAAAGUAGCUGCGGCCACGGCGGCGGUCGGGGCACUCAGGGACGGCGGCAGAGGGUCGUCUGAGGUCAACGGAAGGCGGCAUGGGUAGUUUCGGGCGGCGGCGACGCGAGGGAGUGCUCGCAAAGUUGUCUCGGCCCGAACAGAUCAGGGGCGGCCGCGGGUUGGCCGAGACGGCGGCGACGACCCGCAGAGGCGGCGGCAACCGGCUAGGAAGGUCGGUGAGGCCCAAGGGAAGGCCGCGGGAGCGACCCCAAGUGGCUGCGGCGCGGAGAAGAGGCCACAUAGUCAGCUUGGUCUGGGCUCGGCCAAGCCGGACGCAGGAUGUAGCAGCGGCAGCAGCCGCGCGCAGAGGCGACGGCGGUCGGCGGGGAGGCUCGCCACGGCACGGGGGCGAUGCCGGCAAGGUGCAGGGAGGCAAUGCAGCCUCAGCCAAGGCUCCAACCCAAGAAGACCAGAGGGGUGGAGAGAGAAAUGGAGAGGGAGGGAUGGAGAGGAAGGCUGCGGUUGCUGCUGGCCGGCCGGGGCUAGGUCGGCGGCUGCCGGGAGUGGCGCAGCAAGGGCAGGGCAACCAAGGGAGGCGACUGGGCGUUUAGCUCGGGCUAGGGUUAGGGUUUUCAUAGUGAAAACCCUAAAACAAGCAUAUAUACAAGGUACAAUUUGCGAGUUAGCCCACCAAACCUCAGUAUUUAGUACUGAGUCCCUCACAGCGCGUGUACAACGCAAGAAUACCCCUCUACGUGCGAUCUCAUACAAAUGGUACAUAAAAUGUCGCGACUUUUGCGAAAAUACAGUUUUGCGAUCACCGACCUCUCCUCGAUCAACGCGCAAUCUCCGUAGAUCCGUCCGUCAGAUUUGCAAACGGAUCACGCCAGUGCGAUCAGCACGACGGAGACAAUAAAGCUAGGAUUUUGUUUCACCUUAUCGAUCACGGAUUUGCGACGAAAUCCGCUUUCUCUCCAAAAGGCCAAGAUGACGCACAAAUACAUAUAAAACACGUAUUUUUGGAUUUCCUCGAAAUCCAUACAUGAAACUCAAAAUCCGCCAGCGCCAUUAGUCCCAGAACAGCUGAACCGGUCGAAACGAGCUAUUGGAUCGCUAUGAACGGAGUCCGAUACGAGCCUGAAGCCAACUCUACGCAUUGAGUUUUCCGGAAAAUCAAGUUACUAUUCACUUUAAGUGAAAUUGGAAAUCACGUAGAAUCUCCGUUCUAACUUGUUUUCUCUCAAAACUUGACGAGUGCUUUUGUAAUUAAAUUACACACAAAAACAUCAUCAACAGAGAGUUUAACUAUACUGUCUCGCUCAUACUCUCCUACGGUACGGUUGCCUUGCUUGAGGCGUUCUAGCUCGCGCUCCAGACUCUGCUUGGUGCUGUCCAUGAAGUACUACUCGUAAAGGAGUCUCCGGAACUCCUCCCAGCUUGGAUAGAUGCUCCCAAGUUUGCGCUCGAAGUGCCUGAUCCACCACGAAUAUGCAUCCUUCUCAAGACAGUGAGCAGCUAGAGGGACGCGAUCCAGCUCCUCGAUGUGUAGAUCAUGAAACAGUUUCUCCAUAUGAGUAACCCAAUGCUCGAUCACCGAGGCGUCGUCGCUCUUUCCUGCAAACUUCGGCGGAUCGAACUUUCGAAACUCCACCAGCUUCGCCCAUAUGCGGGUGCCUUCCGCUGCAGGGGUAUCAGCACCCCCAGCGGGAACCGUCGUGGUGGCCGUCGUCGUCGUAGUAGUGACAGCUGGAGGUACGGCAGGCGCAUGCGUCGCGGGAGGAUCCGCGUUCACCGAAGUGUCCUGUGCCGAAGGUGGGACCGGGGUAGCAGUAGCCGCAGCCUGUUGCUGCAAGAACUGCUGGAACAAACCAGAGAGGGUCAUGAGCUGACCCCUCAAAUCAGCUACCUGGGCCUCGAGCUGCUGGGCGCGAGUACCACGCAGCGGCUCCGUGCCCGACUGCUCCCCAACACCCCCACUCGUAGGAACACGAGUACUACCCGAUGCCUUUGCACCAGCACAUCCACCAUCACGACCCGGACGAGGGGGUCUACCACGAGCCAUCUGCAAGAGAAAACACCGUCAAGCGAACCAAUCGACUCGACAAACAAACUCACCUGGACUCAAACCCCAUACACCGCACUCGCGUGCCUAUAUGCCUUAGGUCUUCCUAUGGGUCAACCUAAUCAAUGGUUCAGUUAGAAACUUGUAAAUGUAGUUGUAGUUGUUUCACUCUCUAAUACCAUCUUAAUCUGUUACACCCCAGGGCCGAUUUUAAAAGCCAUUUUGAAAACAGAGUUGCGGAAGACGUGCCUCUUUUUUUUUUCAACCUAGCCCAGGCGAUGUACAGAUCCGCCACAAAUACAAAGUUUCUCCGUCCACUCGGACAGAGUCUUCUUUGUAUUUGCACGGCGUACCAACGAUACAACAUGAUCUCAACUACAAUCUACAAUUACCAAUAACAACCAAUUCAUGAUAUGCAUUUUCAUAUAGCUAACAAUCCUUAGAGAUGAUGCAUGCCUCUAAGCACUCCUUAGGCGCUGGAUGAUGCCAUGCAUAGUAUAACAAUCAUCCUAUUUAAAAGUGCUCCACACCCGGAAACUUUAUUUUUAAAAUCUAAUUCAUUCAUUCAUGAAAACCAUUCGAAAACCUUUUGAAAGCUGUUUCCCACACGGAAACUCUAUUUUGAAAACUAGCUACCUUGAGGGGUAGAAAUCCAUGAUGUAUAAAUCCGUAAAAUACGCAAAUCCAAGGACCAAAAACCAUAAAACUAGAACCAUGAAUCUAUAAACUCCAAUCUCAGAUCCACAAUCACAAGCAUAAAUAACGAAAACAUUCACAACUAAUACCAGUUCACAACAUUCAAGCAAUCAGAGGAUUAUCUAAUUGAACAAUUUAUUUAAACUACUAAAAGCAGGAAUGAAAUAACCAGGGUGAUGGUCGCUAUACCAGACUAGCUAGAUCGUCCUCUCGUCGAGCCCAUGUACCAACUCCAAGCACGAAUCACCUGGGGAAAUGGGGGGUGAGAAACCGCAACCAUGGUUUUCCCAGUGGGUACGACAGAGCCACGAAGGCAAGCCGUAAUCACCGAAAACCAAAGGAGAUAGAUAAACAAGUAUAUAUAUGCUGAUAUGAAACAGAACUACAGAUAUGAAUAUCAUGUGAUAUACGAGCAACUACAGUAGUAAUAGAAACGGGAUAAUAACUGAGCAAGAAUGAAACUACUAUUGUAACCAAAAACUCAACUGAUCAGAUGCCUCAAAGGUGAAUAGUCCAAAACCAAACCCAAUCUGAUACUGCUAUAUUGGUCCGCAGACCUCAAGCGUUGCCUGUCACAGAGCAGACACUGUGACUUAUUCAUGCGUCACCGACGACCUAUCCGGAUACGUACACCCCUUGGAUGGUGGCCAAACCAACCUGGUGUCUAGAAUACACAGUGCUGUGACUNUCACACAGGAAACAGCUAUGACCAUGAUUACGCCAAGCUAUUUAGGUGACACUAUAGAAUACUCAAGCUUUUAGUUGUUCCAAAACCAGCUUUUCCUACCAAUAUAUUGAAAAGAAUGCAUCAACGAACACAAAAAGGACAGAACAAAUUAAAUCGAAGUUGAAAAGAUAAUAUAGCUUGCAAUCUAUUCCUCCUGCCCAUCCCUAAGUUCAUUAUCUUAUUGACCUCUUCCAUUGUGGUGCCUAAGAACUCAUCUCCUCGUGGCUUCUUGGAGGGCACACCCCUCCAGCAACAAACAGCACCAACAACCAUUUAGGGGGAAAGAGAGAGAGAAAGAGAGAGAGGGGGAGAGAAAGAGGGAAGGGGAAGAGGGAGAGAGGGGGAGAGAGAGAGAGCCGCGCCGCGACCCGCGCCAGCGCUCGCUCGAGCCGCCCACUCACGCUGCGCUUGUCCGUGGGGGGGAGAGGGAGAGGGAGAGAGGGGGAGAGAGAGAGAGAGUUGCGCCUGCGCCCGCUCGAGCCGCCAGCCCGCGCCGCGCGCCCACGCCGUGCCUGCGAAUGCUACCAUGUGCGCGCGACCCGCACACGCCCGUGCUGCCACGUGCGCACGACCCACGCCCAGCGCCCGCUCGCGCCUCUGUCACGCCCCGGGACCCGGCAUAGGUUCGCCCGCUGCGUGCCCAGACCCGCCAUAUGCCUGCACAUAUAAGGCGUCUACAAAAAAAGAGAUAUGAAAGUAAGAAGAAAUAAAGUCACUAGAGAUAUCAGAGCUACUAACAACAAGUAGAGAAAGGGGGAAAGUAAACUACUAAACAUAAAGAUAAAGUUAGUACAAAAGUCAUCACAAAAGUACUACAAAAAGGGUGGUCUCUAUGCAAGGUACAACUCUCAUCUUCUCCCAAAAGAAAAUAAAGAAGAAGUGGGCCACCUAUCGAACGUCCCUCGCUCACAAGCUAGUUCGUGGCGAUUCCCUUUGCGCGGUCCCUAGCCUCGCCUGGAGUGGAAGGCUCUGAAAUAAAAACAAGAAACAGAGGGCGUGAGAACUAUAAUUUAUAGUUCCCAGUGGGCAAUUACUGACCUCAGCACUAAGCACCACUAGGCCCCAAAAGAAAAGGGUAAGUACGAAAACCGCAAAUAAAAAUAAAUAGAUUGCAUUAGUGAAAGCAUAAAUAAAAUGCUGAAUUACUAUGUCGCAAGUAAACAUGAUGUCAAUGUGUUGUACAUCUACUCUAUCAAAAAUGAAGUACGUCAUAUCCCAACAUAACGAGCAAGUAGAUAUCAUAAUGUCACGCCCCGCCCUGAAAACACUACCAAUUUGGCAUGAUUCGGCCGCGGCGACAGACCGCCGAACGGACAGCACCUCCCUUGCUCGCCCAAGGCUCAACCACAGGAAUGUGUACAAGAAUUUACCCAGGACUUUAAAUUCUAAACAUACACAUUCAACGAGGGCACAAACAGUGCCAACAAUAAGAAGAGCAAGUAAUCCACAAGAUAUACGAGUGAAAUGAAGAGAGUACUUUACUAACUAUUACAAUAGUUACAUUCUUUACCUUUACAUCAUUUUCAAAAAUGAAUACAUUUGAUCCUCAAAAUACAUAGCUCUCCAACCUCACCUACAUGAAUCUCUCUCAAUACAUAGGUGUACUAAUGCAAAAGGGAAAGCUACUACACUACCACGGCCUCACUGAUCGGGCGCGAUGCCCUUGCCGCGGUCCUCUCUCUGCAGCCCUGAACCUACCACUGGAAAUAGAGUGGGGUGAGAACUAUCUUCCAUAGUUCCCAGUGGGCUCGGCCACCGACUCUGCCGAUCUCCCCACUAGGUCCAAGUGGGCACAAGUAACAACAAAUAGAUAGAUAGAUAUGUAUCUGAAAGCUGUAAAUGCAGUAGUAGGAAAACUAUGCUACUAUGCCCAUAAUCAUGAAUAUGAAUGCAUGCAUCAUAUAAUAAAGGUUUGCUACCAUGCUAACAAAUUCGAUCCAUGUUCGAAUAGUAAUGUUCAAUAUGUUCAAUGACAUUUAUUAACCUUUAACCUUUCAUUUACCCAAUCUGUGGCGAGGCCCUAGGGUGAACAACGAAAGUUGUGUACCAUAGUCAGUAGCUAGGUAUGGAUAGGGGGGCAUGGAAUACAUAUGAUGAGCUACAACAAUGGUUAAAGAGCCUAACAUAGCCAGGUUAAGAGAUAAUUGAGCAUGCCAUGACGUUGUUAGGAUUUCAUAUAGGCCCUUAUGGCCCUGGCCCAUAAAUGGACCUUUAUGAGCCUCUAAAAUGUCCUUAAGGCCAUGACCAAUGCCCCACGCCCAUAACUCAUCUUUCAAUCCCAAAGUGGGGAGGGAGCUCCAAGUGCACCCAAGCCCGGGACCGUCUGCGGACCUCCAUGUGGUCCGGACCUCCAAGUGGUCCUAGUCGCGCGACACUCCGGAGUACUCGACGACAAUCCCCUCCAUGUGGGGAUUGGAUGGCUAUGCCACCCUAAACGCAGACUGUGAGCUAGAUCUAUCCUCUCCAUGUGAGGAUACACUGUAACUAGGGUCAACACCCAAUCCAAUCCUCUCCAAGUGAGGAGGCUCUACAACUAGAGUCAAUAACCCAAUCGAAUCCUCUCCAAGUGAGGACGCCCUAUACUAGGGUCAACGACUAUCGCGGAAUCAUCGGUUCCCGACAUUCAUGCAAUGCUAUUUAGUUUUCUAAAUUCAUUGUUCACAAGGCAUUUUCUAAGGGAUCCACCUAUCCCUAGGUCCAUCGACCUCUAGUGUUAUUUACACUACAUUAAUGCCACUCGUUAUCAUUCAAUGUUUGGAUGCCACUCGUUUGUUCUUUAACAAUAACACUACUUUCUAUGUCAUCAAUACCCCCAUCGGGUUCAUCUCUUUUCUUUCGCACCAUAGGAUUCACGUCUCGACCCAAUCCUCACCUAUCUAAGUUACCAAGCGUUCCAAGUACACUAGGUUAUCAAUUAGAAAGCAUAAGGAAUGGAGCUACUAUGCAAUCCUACAAUGCAACAUGAAGAGAUGAGAUUAAAUGCAAUCUAAGACAUAGAAAGGAGUUCGAAAGUUUCGGAUGACACCCCCCACCUUUAAUCGAUGUAGAGGUUUCGGAAAUCUCUCUCGGCGAGCUCUACGAAAAGGCCUUAGCCUUCCUCGCCCGAAUCAACACUAGCCCGGCCCGAUUUUGCCGAGAACUUCACGUCGGUUCGCCGAAUGCCAAAAUCGACUUCGCCCCCGCGUUUUGGGACCUAUCAAUAGGGUUUCCAAGGCUUCAAAUGAGAUCAAUCUCAUACAUUUACAAAAACCUCAUUUUGGAACCCUAGAUUUGCACCUAUAGCAAAUCACCCCAUAAAUCCCUAGAUUCUUGGGAUUGAUCUAUUUAGAAGCUUGCUUAGGGUCCAUUUGACCCAUUCCAAGGCAUAAAACCCAAAAACCCUAAGUUCUAGAAGCUAGGGUUUAGUAGCUUACCUCAAGAGCUACUCCAAUGGGAAGAGGAGAGGGAGAUGGAGGUGCUCAAAGCCUUCCUCUUGAUCUCCUUCUUCUUCUCCUUCCUUAUCUUCCUCUUCUUUUCCUUCCUCUCCUUCUUGUUCUUCUUCUCCUUCUUUCCUUUCUAGAGAGAGAGAGAGCAAGAGAGAAAUGAGAGUGAGAGAGAGUGAAAUGAGAGAGUGUGAGGGAGAGAGAGGGCUCAGCCCACUCAAAUAAAGGCCAUUUUGCAUAAAAGCCCCUCAACUUUCACCCCUGUGCACUGCCCUUACUGGGCAGUUUUCGCGCGGAGGGACCGGUCUCCCCGACUUGGGACCGGUCCCCGAGAGCUUCCCUCGGGCGCACGCGUUCGGGAACCGGUCUCUCCCCGGGAGACCGGUCCUCGGGAGACCGGUCCUCACCUGAGAGACCGGUCCCCGAGAGCUUGAUUUUCAGGACUUAGCCAAUUUUUUGGCAUCUCUCGCUGGGACCACGUUCGGGAACCGGUCCCUCCCUGCCAGGGACCGGUUGCAUCACGCAACCCCGCUACACCCAGCCAGGGGAACCGGUCUCUCACCUGCAGAGACCGGUCCCCGAGAGCAACAUCAGCCCAAUGAUGCCAUUUGCCUCAUUUGCUCUCGCGGACUCAACUCCAAGGCACUUUUUGUGCUUUGGACAUUCCCAACUCCCACAAAGGGUAUACUCUCGACAAUUAGUCGAUCCUGGAUGGAGUACAAUUCUCGCAUUUCGAGAAUUCACUUCCUUACAUCCCCCCCUCCUUAAAAGGAGUUUCGUCCUCGAAACUAACUCAAUUCCUUAUUUUAAUUCAAAUCCGUACCGUACUCCUCAAAGAGAUGAGGAUGGUGUUUUCUUAUCAGAUCUUCGAGUUCCCAGGUGGCUUCGCGAUCAUCAUGAUUGCUCCACCUAACCUUCACAUAGGGGAUUUCUCGAUUCCUCAACUUCCGCACCUCUCGGGCGAUAAUCCCUACCGGAAACUCUUCAUAGCUCAAGUCUCCUCGAAGUUCCGGCGGUUCAUUAGCAUUGCGUGCUCGGGGUCGUGAAUGUACUUGCGGAGAUUGGAGACAUGGAACACAUUAUGUACAUCAGCAAGCUUCGGCGGUAGAGCAAGCCAGUAGGCCACCGAGUCGACUCGCUCUAAUAUCUCAUAUGGUCCAAUAUAUCGGGGACUUAGCUUUCCCCGCACUCCAAACCGCUUCACACCCCGCAUGGGUGAAACCUUCAAGAAUACGCGGUCACCCACUGUGAAUUCUAUAUCUCGACGGCGCCUAUCCGCAUAACUUUGCUGUCUUGACUGCGCCGUGAGCAAUCUCUUGCGAGCAAGGCGGACUUUCUCCUCCGCUUCUCGCAACACAUCCGGGCCGAACUCCGCACGCUCGCCAACAUCGCUCCAGUGUAUAGGAGAGCGACACGUCCGCCCAUAGAGAGCCUCGAACGGUGCCAUCUCCACACUAGCAUGAUAACUGUUGUUGUAGGCGAACUCGGCCAUGGGUAGAUGGUCGCACCAACUUCCCUUAUAGUCGAUGACACACGCUCAUAACAUAUCCUCCAGAGUUUGAAUUAUUCUCUCUGUUUGCCCAUCGGUCUGGGGAUGAAAUACGGUGCUAAAGUCAAGCCGUGUGCCAAGGGCUCCCUGCAGGCUCUUCCAAAAGUGUGAAGUGAACCGGGGGUCACGAUCCGACACGAUCGAUUUCGGCACCCCAUGCAGUCUCACUAUCUCGUUGAGAUAUACCUGCGCUAACUUGUCACCUGACCACGUGGUGUGGAUCGGCAAGAAAUAAGCCGACUUAGUUAAUCGGUCCACAAUUACCUAUAUUGCAUCGUGGCCGCCCGUUGAGCGAGGCAAGCCGACCACGAAGUCCAUCGAUAUAUCCUCCCAUUUCCAAACGGGGAUUGGUAGGCUUUGAAGCUUUCCCGCUGGAAAUCAACGCUCUGCUUUCACUUGUUGGCACGUUAAGCACUUCGCCACAAAGCGCCCAAUAUCACCCUUCAUUCCCGGCCACCAAUAAUGCAUUUUCAAUCCUCGAUACAUUUUGGUGCCCCUCGAGUGAUCAGCAUACGGAGAUCUGUGUGCUUCUUGUAAAAUCAAUUCGCGAAGCUCUCCAUCUUUCGGCACACACCAUCGGUUUCUAAACCGAAGCGCACCAUCGGCGUUUAUACUAAAAUCGCCGCCACGCCCUUCCUCGAUGUUUCGCCGCACCUUUUGGAGCUCUGGGUCUGCGGGUUGCAGAUCUUUAAUCCUCUCCAACAAGGUCGGUUGGACAACGAGUGCCAUCAGCUGAGUCGGGACCUCGGGAGCGACCACUUCAAGGUCCAACCGCUCCAUAUCCAGCCACAGAGGUGUUUGCUGGGUAACAUCAAAUGCGAGGUUCUUCGCUGACUUCCUACUUAGUGCGUUCGCGACCACAUGUGCCUUCCCGGGGUAGUAGAGGAUAUCGACAUCAUAAUCCUUUAACAGCUCCAACCACCGCCGCUGACGCAUAUUGAGCUCCUUCUGAGUAAACAAGUACUUUAAGCUCUUGUGGUCGGUAUAGAUCUCACAGUGGGCACCAUAUAAAUAGUGCCUCCACAGCUUUAAGGCGAAUAUCACCGCCGCUAGCUCCAAAUCAUGGAUGGGGUAGUUCUUCUCGUAGCUCUUCAGCUGACGGGAUGCGUAGGCAAUCACCUUCCCGUUUUGCAUCAACACACACCCCAACCCAAGAUAGGAGGCAUCACUAUAAACCACAAAGUCUUCGCCCUGCACCGGUAGAGCGAGCACCGGAGUCGAAGUCAAUCUUUGCUUCAACUCUUUGAAACUCCGGUCGCAUUCUUCGCUCCAAACGAACUUGGUGCCUUUCUGGGUUAGACGAGUAAGUGGAAUCACUAUCUUUGAAAAGCCUUCCACAAACCGCCUAUAGUAGCCCACUAAGCCCACGAAGCUUCGAACCUCCGUGACAUUCGUCGGGCGCGGCCAAUCCUUGAUUGCCUCAACUUUCCUCAGGUCUACAGAAAUUCCACCCGCGGAAAUUACAUGCCCUAGAAAUGCGACUUCUCGGAGCCAGAAGUCACACUUCUUCAACUUAGCAUAUAGCUUUUCCUCUCGAAGGACUUGAAGCACUAUCCUCAAAUGCUCGGCAUGUUCCUCGUCACUACGAGAGUAGACCAAUAUGUCGUCCAUAAAGACCACGACGAAUCGAUCCACGACGAAUCGAUCCAAAUACUUCUUGAAGACACGGUUCAUCAAGUCCAUAAACGCCGCUGGAGCGUUCGUGAGCCCAAAUGGCAUGACCGUGAAUUCGUAAUGUCCAUACCGCGUACGAAAUGCGGUCUUCUGCACCUCCUCCGGCUUGAUCUUCACUUGAUGGUAGCCGGAUUGCAAGUCUAUCUUCGAGUACACGCACGACCCUUGCAACUGAUCAAACAAGUCAUCGAUUCGGGGUAGUGGGUACUUGUUCUUGAUCGUGACUCUGUUCAAUUCUCGGUAGUCCACGCAGAGUCGAAACGAUCCGUCCUUCUUCCGUACAAACAACACCGGGGCUCCCCACGGUGACACACUUGGCCGGAUAAAUUGCUUGUCGAGGAGGUCUUGCAGUUGACUCCUCAACUCCUUUAAUUCUGCCGGCGCCAUGCGGCACGGGGCCUUCGAGAUCGGUGCAGUGCCGGGAAUCAAGUCUAUGACGAACUCGAUCUCCCGAUCCGGCGGUAUCCCCGGCAACUCCGCGGGAAACACAUCCGGGAACUCCCGCACUACCGCUAGCUCUUCCAAUGUUGGAGCUACUCGUUCCACUUCCACAACGGUUGCCAAAAAUGCUGCACAACCGUUGCUCACCAACUUUCUUGCCCUUGUCGCCGACACCGUCGCGACGAAGCACGAGCUCUGGCAAGCUUGAUAGGUGAAUUCUUCUUGUCCUGGCUCACAGAACGUGAUCACCCUGCUUUUGCAAUCGAUCGUUGCAUGAUACUUCGAAAGCCAAUCUAUGCCCAAUAUGACAUCGUACGCUUCUAGUUUCGUGAGCUCCAACGUCCGGAUUGGCAUAAUCCGUUCGCCUAUUUGCACCGAACACGAGGCGCACUCCGAGUAGGUAUUAAAUGUCGACCCAGGGCCCUCUACUCGCCACUUGUCACUCGCUUCUAUAUAUAUGCCAUGCAUGCGUGCGAAUGAUCUACUUAUGAAUGAAUGCGUGGCUCCUGUAUCAAAUAAACCCCUGGAGCGAACUCCGUUAAUUAAAACCAUACCUGCCACAAGGCGAUGCUCCUCCGCCUCUGCAAGCUCCUCAGCUUGGACCUGAGCGGCGAACACCCGUCCGCUCGGGGCCGAUCGCGCCACCUCAGGUGGACGCGACAUCGUCGCGCGUCCAGUCGACGCGGCCGUCGGUGGAGCUCCUCCAUAGUGAGCCGGAAUCACCGGUGCCGAUGCAGUCGAAGGGGCAGGUGAGGCUCCUCCCCCCGGGCAAUCUCAAAUGAAGUGUCCCGGCUGCCCACAUUUGUAGCACUUGCCUCGGCCUUGUUCACAGCGCGAGACCGGGUGGUCUUCGCCGCAUACAAUGCAUCGCCGCGCUCCACCGCCUUUCUGUUGAGUGCGCGGAUACUUCGGGGGUUUCUUAUAACGUGUUUGACCACCCGAACUACCGCCGCCUUGGCGUUUCUUGCCCUUGUCCUUGGACUCCGCCAAAAGCUCACGCUUCUCCCGAACGUGGGCGUCUCCAUGCUCUGCCCAUAGCGCUCGAUCAAAGACCUCAGCAAAGGUCGUGAGCUUAAGUAUUUACACAGCCUUGUAAAUUGUAACAUAUGGAAAACUUGAAGUUGCAAUGUCAACCUUGAUCUAGGGGAUCAAAGUGAGGAUUGAACUAGUUGGACAUCAUCCUCGAGUGAAUUGUGAUGCGUUGGAAUGACUUUCAGAGAUAAAUAAGUGUUUCGGCGCAAAUUGGGCGCGAAACGAAAUAUAAAGAGAAUUUUCGGAUUUCCGACGCUAACUUUGAUUAAAAGAAUUAAAGUAAGGCGUGAGGAUAAAUUGUGGUAUCUCCGAAUCAAUUGUGAAGCUUUGGAAAAGCCAAGGGUGUGUUUUCAAAGGAUUUUGAAGAGCUCAGUGCGAAGUGGUAGUGUAAAAAAGUAGAAAAUGCAAUAGGAGCUGAUUCUAUUGUUAAUUCGGCUCCAAUAAUGUCAAAAUGCAAAGGAAUUGCUUCCAAACUAAAUUAGUAGCUUGUGAAGAUCCCUUGGUAUAUUUUGGAAGUGUUUGGGUGAAAUCGGAGUGAAAACAGAAAAUGUAGACUUUUCUGUAAAGAACGGGACUGAGAAAAUUAGCAGAAAAUGCACAGUGUCAGAAAAUUAUGAAAAUUGGCAAAGAUGUCAGGAACAUUUUUAUGAGGCUAGAUUUGAAGUUUAAUAUUUUUUUGACACCUGUAGAGAGAGAAAUAGCAUAUGAAAGUUAUCUGAUAAAGCUUAUAGUUCGGGACAGUUCGCAGUGACCAAACGGGGUCGAAACUGAAAUGUUAAAAUUUCAGUGGACUUGUUAAGUAAAAAUGAACAUUCUUGUCAAAAUUGAGCUCAAUCGGACUGUCGGAAGGGCUAAACAUAUAUGAAAAUGAACGCGAGAGACAUGAGAAUGAAUAUAUAUAUGAACGGGAAAGCCAUAGUUAUGCUAAAUUCAUAUGUUCAUGAUAUAUAAAUGUUGAACUUGUAAAUAUCAUGUUAAAUCUGUAAAAGCCAAGGGCAUGUAAAUUGAAUAUGAAAUGUGAACCUAGAUGCUAUUGUCGACACUUAAAAGCGAAUAUUUGAGGCAUGUGCCCAAACAUAUGUGAAAAUGAAUAUAUUAUAGUUCAAGCUAUAUGAACGUCGAUAAUGAUUAGAAACCUCGAUGGCAAUAAGUAUAUAAUCUGUAAACCUCACGUGAAAUCCCUAAGUAUUGGGUAUAAAUCGACAACUCCAGUUGAGUAGAAAUCUAAACGGUAACGAGGUAAAUGAAAAUGUGCAGAUUAUAAACCUAGGCAUGGAGAACUAGGAUAUUGAACAGAUCGAGUGGCAUGAACCUAGAGUUAUUAAACAUAGGUUGGACAUGAAAUAAGCCUAGUGUUAUUGAACAUAGGUCGGACAUUAACCUAGUGUCAUUGGACCUAGGUCGAGUAUGUAAACCUAGAGUUGAGAUCUAGGAGAAAGUAUAUAAAACCUAGUGUAAGUGAACCUAGGUUAUGAUGUCAAGAACCAUUUAGUAAAAGUAAACUAAGUUAUGAAUUAUAGUGGCAAUAGGACCACUAGAAAGUGAAUAAUAUAGACCUAAGAAGGUCGUCAACAUAGGGUCAGUGAGUAAACCCUUAAGUUGUGAAAUGGAUUCCGGAAUCCUUAGGAAUGGUGUGAUGGCAGAAAUAGAAUCUUAACUACGGGAUUGACGGUUCUCCUCUCCCGGUAGUGAUUCAACGGGAUCGACGGUUCUCCUCUCCCGGUAUGCCAUGAAACAAGUGAAGUGAAUCGUAACUACGGGAUCGACGGUUCUCCUCUCCCGGUAGUGAUUCAACGGGAUUGACGGUUCUCCUCUCCCGGAGCUAACGGGUUUGACGGUUCUCCUCGCCCGUUGAGCUUGAGCGACUUAGGGUCACGGGGAUCGACGGUUCUCCUCUCCCUGUGAUGGACCUAGUGUCGCGUGGACUUAAGGCUGAGGUGUUGUGAGACGUCCUUCACCUCGAGCCUGACUUGACGCGGUACUCCGCGGUUGAUUGACUCAAGACCGAGUCGAGUGGCUAGAUGGCUAAGGUAAAGUAACCUUAGGAAAGAAUCGCCAGUGAGUACAAUAAGAAUAAAGAAUAAAGCAUAAAGAAAAGAAUAAGGAAAUAGCUAAUGAAUGAAACUAGCUAAGAAAGAAUAAAACAGCUACAAGUAAAGAAUGGCUAAUGAUAUAAAGUAGAAUCAAGUAAUCUACUUACAUGAAUUACAGGUAAUGCAUAUUGCAUAGCAGCGAGGCAAGGUAUGGUUUUAUUGAUCGCAUCGUUAAAUAUCUAUCUAUCUAUCUAUUGUUGAACUAACCUACUGUUUCCUCCUUUGGACCUGGUAGGUCGAGCUCUUCUCUUGGGUGGCCGUACCCACUGGGAACUAUAUUUAUAUAGUUCUCACCCCCGUGUUGUUUUGGGGGUACAGGUUGCACGCGAGCGGCGCGGCGGCGCGAGGACAGGGCGUAGUUCCGUAGAUAGCGCCCCACCACCGAGACCGAGAUAGCAAUACCUUGAAGAAGUUAAGUUCAGAGUUCAAAUUGAAAGAAACAAACUUGUAGUGAAAUUGUAUAAGUUUUGUAAUAACUUAAAGGUAUUUGGAAUUUUGUAAAUAUAAAAUGCUGAGAUGAAUGCUUGUAAUAGCAUAGUUAGCACUUUUUGUUUUUGAUACUUACGCAAUCUGUGGUUGAAUACAGUUUCUGUUUGGAACCUCUUGUAUUGCAUUGUAUAGAUUGUGACACCUAGAACGUACAGGGGAGGCUCUGUCCGUUCGGCGGUCUGUCGGCGUACCCGAAUCCGACCAAAUAGGCGGAGCUCGGGGCGUGACAGAUUAAAUGGUAUCAGAGCAUAAAAAGAGUAAUAGAAACGGUUUAGAUGGACCUAGGAGACCUAGGAUAGUAAACCGUAAGGACUUACGCUCGUGAGAGACGAGGACUUGUGACGUGUGGCGAAAGGUGAAUCGAUUGGGUCAAGUUUAGUAAACCUCUAAGACGGAUAUUAGAGGUAGAUUCAAGGUUCAGUUUAUUCUCAGCCAAGUGAGUUCAUGUUGGGUCGACACAACAUGAAACCGGGGGAUGGGAAUAAGCUUCCUUGCAUGACUUUCGCCCGAUUUGAGUCCGUAUUAAUCGUUUCGUAUUCGGCCUAGAGGGUCGAGGACUGACCGAGUUAUCGUGUCAGGUUUCUGGGAACGAUGGCACCGCGUAGGCGAUCUUCGACUAGAUCGGCGCGGGAUGGGACAAGUGGUGUCCCUGAGCGAACCGAGACGAGCGGAGACUUGGAGCUUCGCGAGCAAUUGGCCACACUCGUGGGAGUGGUCAGGCAACAAGUGGAUGUAGUGCAGCGUCAGCAGGAAGCUGCUCUGCGCCAUGAAGAGCGGAUAAAGAGACUCCAGGGGACAGUAGAUCACUUGGUGACUACACCAGUUGGGGCUAGUCAAGGACAGCCGGGAGUUGCGACGGAGGCAUUUCCGUCAGGGUCGGGCAAUCCGACUGCUGUUAGUACAGAGAUGGAAGUUGAAAGAGAGAGUGCUUUAGCGGCUCUAAUGACUUUCAAGAAGUUUGAUCCACCUACUCUUGAUGGAGAGGACAUAGAUCUAUGGACUGUGGAGUCGUGGAUUGACUCCCUAGAGAUUAUUUUCGAGGAUUUGUACACGGUGGAGCAGGACAAGGUACGCCUAGCCAUGCAUUGUUUGCAACGAUCAGCGAAGGUGUGGUGGAAAGGCAUCAAGCAGAAUCGAUCACUUAGUCUUCCUCCUAUGGGUUGGACGGAGUUUCGGGAAUUAAUACUCUCUGUUUAUUUUCCCGAUAGUGAAAAGAGAAAACUUCGGGACAGGUUUCAGAAAUUACAACAAGGAGAUCGCUCUGUGAGGGAGUACGAGCGGGAAUUCUCCCGUCUCGUGAACUGUGUUCCAAGUGUGGUACAAGACGAUAAGGAUCGAGCUGAAUGUUUUGUACGAGGACUUCGGCCUGAUAUUUUCAAAGCAGUGCAUAAUCUUAAGUUGCAGACUUUUGCUGAAGUUGUGGAUCGGGCUCUAUGGAUAGAGCAAGGCAAUGCUUUUGUGCGUGAAGAGCGCGAGGCUGAGGAAUGUAAGCGAGUGAGGUCACUACCAAGUAGCUCAGAUGAACAGUCAAGUUUUGGACACCUCUCGACAUCAUCCUCUACUCGAUUCUCCCCACGAUGUGUGAUUUGUGGUGGUUCUCAUUGGGCACGACGUUGCGUGCAACGGGAAGGAAAGUGCACUCGAUGUGGACAACCGGAACACCCAGGUUAUGAGUGCUUGCAAAGUGAUAGUAUGUGGGCGACGCCUUUUUCCUCCCCGGGACAACUUGCAGGUGUGCCACCUGCGGCACGGUCUGGAGAGCGAUUGAGGAUAAGGCAACCGAGGGGUUCGCGACGGGCAGCAAGUGGCCGUGAAUAGGCGACCCAUGUGGUGGAACCUGCUGCGAUUGGUCGUAAUGUGGCAGGUAUGAGUUAAUUAAAGCAAGCAUGUAUUUCAAUAUGAUAUCACUUGGUGCAUUGCAUGCAUUCAUUGUGUAAUCUGUUACUACUAUAGUGAUCAAGUGAAUGGAUAAGGGUAGAGACCCGAACAUGAUUGUGUUGUGGAUGUGUAGUACUUGUUGGAACAGGUAAGAGUCCUGGAACACUAGCAAAUCGCUGGUGAUAGCCUGUGAGAAGAAGUGAGACUCGUAGUAGAAAUGGUAGUGAUUGACCAACUCUCAAAACCAGUGCGAGUGGCUGAUUGCGAGAGUCUAGUCGCGAUGUUCGUGGAAUUCUUGUACGACCGAGCAUUUUGCAGGUUGUUCUAGUAGAUCGAACAGUGAAAAUAGAAUCACUGUUGCGUCUGGUACGUGCACGUGGACCUAGUGGUACCUCGAAUUGAGGUAAGUAGGUCGUGCUCGUGUAGUCGAUAUCCAUAGGCAAGAGUUGCCUAAUGCUAGACUUAAUAUAGCACGCGAUAGAGUCGUGUAGAGCACUCGAGUGUUGGUGCUCGUAGAGUGCAGAUUUGUUUCAGCCGUGAGUGUGUUGGUAGUAGCACUUUAGUGUUUCUAAGUGUGAAGCGUGCCAGAGAUCACUCAUAGGGCCGGUGGCUCGCACUAGGUGCGUAGGAGCCGAUAGUGGUACAUAUGCUCAGCAGAGUGUCGCGUGAGACGACGUUUGCGGGUAGUGCUUGGGGACGAUCCGUGCCUGGACCAUUUGUGAAUUGUGGAGCCUGGACCCAUUGGGUAGGCGCAGUCAGCUAUGAGAGAUAGCGGCCCGAUACCUACAGGUAGGGCGGAGAGUUUUGGUCAGGACGGUAGUCCGAGCAUAGACCGAGUACGUGGAAUGCCACGUGUUAGACCGUGAAAUCGGUGAUGCACUGAGAGUGCGAUUAUGACCCAACCCGAGGACUUGGCGUGAUUUAGGGUCUUAGUUACUCCUGGUUGGAGUAUGUGCGAAUUCUCUAAUGAGAAUUUCGCCCAAUAAUGAUAAUUGGGUCUACGCUUGUGAGCGAGAGACGUUGAGUUAAGCGCUAGGCCUAACAAAUCGUCGAUCCGAUUCGCGAACAGAUCUGUGGUAAUUGAGACACGUAGUUACCCGUGUGCAUUGUAAGUGAGUAGUUCGAAUAUUUCGAACAUGUCCAAGUGAAGGAUAGUGAGUAGGGACCGUGAAAGCGAAGGCUUGGUCCUAUGGAUUAUCUAGUCAGAAUUGCUAAAAUAAGCAUCGAUGACGAGCUGAGAUUGGAAACGCGAACAAAGGGUUCGUAGAGACUGAUUCGGAGGAAUCAGGGUAGCAUAGGUUGAAAUUCAGAAGCUACAGACUGAAAUGAUUCUACAUGUUGAUGAUGGUUGAUACUUAUCUCCAUCCGUUGAGUAAAAGAGGAGUAAUAGGAAUCUAAGUUUCGCGGACGAAACUUUUAUUAACGAGGGGAGAAUGUGUCACGCCCCGGGACCGAUACCAAUUUGGCCCGACCCGAGCUCGUCAAACAGACGCCGAACGGACAGAGUUUCCCCUAUCCGCCCAAGGCUCAUCACAUGUACAAAUUCAAACAAGAAAUGCACUAGCGGAAACAUACACAAACGGCUUACACGAAGGUAAGCAAUAGCCAUUAGUGAAAGAAAAAGGAAACUAACAUUCACAAGUAAUAUGAUUCAUUUUAGAUCAUAUACAUUGCAUUCAUCUAGUAAUUUAGCAAAUUCUUACAUUCAUUACAUCAUUUCUUUCUUACAUCACAUUUACCUCAAAACAAGCUUUACAUUCUUUCUUUACAUCACUAAUCAUCAAAUACAAAAGAUGAUCAUAAGGUACUUUACUACAAAAUGAAACCCAACAUUGGUGGCCUCUGACUAAGGCGCGAUACCUUUACCUCGGUCGCUCGCCGGCUCGCUCGGUCCCGGCUUUGUGGAAAUAGUGGGGUGAGAACUACAACAAAGUUCCCAGUGGGUUCGGCCUCAACAUCUAAGCCGACUUUUCCUACCUGAGCACUACUAAGCAUAAUAGAAAGGAUAAGCUGACAAUAGUAGUAACGCAACCUAACAACAUGAAGUAAUAUGCCUGAACAUAAAGCAAGGAAUAUGCUCAACAUAACAAUGUAAUUAUGCAAAUUUUUUGUUCUUUUCACUUACUCUUUGUUCUUGUUCUUUGCACUUUGUCUUGUUCUUUGUUUCUUAAUCUCAAGCUAACCCGGGGUAUCGGCCACAUUAACUUGCUUCACAUUAAGUCCAUCAUCGCAGGAACUCACCAGCUAGGAGACGUCCUUACGGUUUACUCCAACCCGGAUGCAUAACUCCGGAGCGCAUCGCCCGAGGGGGCGCAACCGCCCUCGAGCACGGUAACUAAUAGCAAGUAUGAUCGAAUCCUUAACUCAAAGGAUUUUAUAAGUUCAAUCUUGACUUUACACUAGCUCUAGUGUUCUUAUAUCACUUUAUGUUGCAAACUCAUGCAAUCACAUUCUUUACAUUUCUUUUACUUUGCUAUCUCUAGCAAUUAUAUCUUCAUAUCUUUACUUUGCUACCUCUAGCACUUCGUGUUCUUUAUUUCCCCACAUUGCUUUAACUUAAACAUUGUCAUUUCAUCAUUCUUUACAUUACAAUUGUUAUUUUGCACACCACUAACUCUAGUGUCUCUUUACUAUACAUUUUCAAAUGCCACUCGAUCUAUGUCAUUGUGCAUUCGUUCUUUUGCUCACUUUGGUGCUCACACUUUCUCUCAUGCAUACAUCUUAGGGUUUUUGACAUAUUAGGUUCUCAACCAUCUCAUUAUCCAAGUUGUGUUCACAAUCAUGCAAUCAUCACAUUUCAUCAUUACUUUACCCUAAAAUGCAUGCAAUAAUAUGUAGAACAUAUGCUCAAAGAAUGACACAUUAGCAUAGAAGGAAGUUCAAUGAGUUUGAGAAGCACCACCCACCUGUAGCGUCUCUUUAGGUGCUCCGACGAUUUUUCGGGAUUUUUAGAUCCUUCGUUCUUUACCUGCGGCAAAACGAAGCCAACUUAGAGCAUUUUGCCCAUAACUUUUCAUCGGCUUUUCGUAACGUAAAUCCGAACGCCACCAACGCGUCGGAAAUACCCCCAAUUAGGUUUUAGAGGGUCAAUGUUUGCACGCUUAGAAACCCUCAUGAGCAAAAGCCCCAAUUUGGGGGCCCUAGCUCCAAUGCGUAUCAAAACUAGGUUUGAUCUCAUUGGGAAGCAAAAGUAGCUUCAUGUAUACUCUAAAUAGUCCAUUAGAAACAUUCUUAGGCUUUCCAAAACCCUAGAUUAGAUUUCACCAUUAGAGUGGUCCAAGCUCACCUCUAUAGCAAACUAGUUGUUGAUCUCUAAAGAAGCAAAAAGAAGCUUCAAACUCUUUAAUCAUUCCAUUAAAAACCCAUUCUAGCUCAUCCAAACUCAUUCUAGGGUUUACUAUGAUUAAGUGAAGCUUACCUCAAGGCUUUUCCCUAACUUGCAUUAGAGAGGAAGAAGAUCGAAGCCUCUUGUGCUCUUUGAUCUUCUUCUUCACUUUUUCUCCUUCUUUUCCUUCUUUUCUUCCUUUAUUCUUCUUCUCUUUUGUCUUCUAGAGCAGAGAGAGGCGAGCAGAGCAGAGUGUGAGAGCGCGUGAGCGAAAUGAGAGCAAAUAUCUCAUUUGGCCUCAUACAUAGCUAUUGGGUUCCAAAAUGCAAUAAACCCCUCAACUUUCACUUAAAUACACUGCUCGAACUGGGCUGAUCGCCGCAGGCAGAGACCGCGUCUCCCCGAGCAGGGACCGUUCCCGAACGUCCACCGCUGCGCAGCCAGAGGCCGCUGCGCGCGAUUGCGACGCGUCUCUCUCUGAUGGACUCGGUCUCUGGGGGACCGGUCUCUCAGGCAGAGACCGGUUCCCGAGAGCUGAUAACUUCCAGACUUAGCCGAUUUUUCGGCUGUCUCAUUCCACACGCGUUCGGGACGGUCUCUCCCACCAGGACCGGUCCCCGAGAGCUUGAAAAUCUGCAGCUUUUGCAGAAUUGAUUUUAGCUCUCGAAAACCUUCCACAACUCACUUUUGAUCAUUUUAACUACCUCGAACUUCGGAAGUGUACAUCCUCGCACUUUGGUCAAUUUGACUAAAGUUCGACAUUUUUAUUUUCCGAAUUUUCGCGUAUAUUACAGAAUGUAACAUAUGGAAAACUGUGAAGUUGCAAUGUCAACCUUGAUCUAGGGAUCAAGUGAGGAUUGAACUAGUUGGACAUCAUCCUCGAGUGAAUUGUGAUGCGUUGGAAUGACUUUCAGAGAUAAAUAGUGUUUCGGCGCAAAUUGCGGCGCGAAACGAAAUAUAAAGAGAAUUUUCGGAUUUCGACGCUAACUUUGAUUAAAAGAAUUACAAGUAAGGCGUGAGCGAUAAAUUGUGGUAUACUCCGAAUCAAUUGUGAAGCUUUGGAAAAGCCAAGGUGUGUUUUCAAAGGAUUUGAAGAGCUCAGUGCGAAGUGGUAGUGUAAAAAAGUAGAAAAUGCAAGUAGGAGCUGAUUCUAUUGUUAUUCGGCUCAAUAAUGUCAAAAUGCAAAGGAAUGCUUCCAAACUAAAUUCGUAGCUUGUGAAGAUCCCUUGGUAUAUUUUGGAAGUGUUUGGUGAAAUCGGAGUGAAAACAGAAAAUGUAGACUUUCUGUAAAGAACGCGGACUGAGAAAAUUAGCAGAAAAUGCACAGUGUCAGAAAAAUUAUGAAAAUUGGCAAAGAUGUCAGGAAACAUUUUUAUGAGGCUAGAUUUGAAGUUUAAUAUUUUUUUGACCACGCCUGUAAGAGAGAAAUAGCAUAUGAAAGUUAUCUGAUAAAGCUUAUAGUUCGGCGACAGUUCGCAGUGACCAAACGGGUUCGAAACUGAAAUGUUAAAAUUUCAGUGGACUUCUUAAGAAAAAACGAACAUUUUGUAAAAAUUGAGCUCAAUCGAACUAUCGAAGGCAAACAUAUAUGAAUAUGAACCGAGAUGACAUGAGAAUGAAUAUAUAUAUGAACGGGAAGCCAUAGUUAGCUAAAUUCAUAUGUUCAUGAUGAUAUAAAGUGUUGAACUUGUAAAUAUGCAUGUUAAACGCUGUAAAAGCCAAGGCAUGUAAAUUGAAUAUGAAAUGUGAACCUAGAUGCUAUUGUCGACACUAAAAGCGAAUAUUGAGGCAUGGCCCAAACAUAAUGUGAAAAUGAAUAUAUUAUAGUUCAAGCUAUAUGAACGUCGAUAAUGAUUAGAAACCUCGAUGGCAAUAAGUAUAUAAUCUGUAAACCUCACGCUGAAAUCCCUAAGUAUUGGUAUAAAUCGACAACAUCCAGUGAGUAGAAAUCUAAACGGUAACGAGGGUAAAUGAAUAUGUGCAGAUUAUAAACCUAGGCGUGGAGAACUAGGACAUUGAAUAGAUCGGUGGCAUGAACACUAGAGUUAUUAACCGUAGGUGGACAUUGAAUAGCUCGAGUAGCAUGAACCUAGUGCUAUUAAACAUAGGUUGGACAUGAAUAAGCCUAGUGUUAUAUGAACAUAGGUCGACAUUAACCUAGUGUCAGUGGACCUAGGUCGAGUAUUGUAAACUAGAGUUGAAGAUCUAGGAGAAAGUAUAUAAAACCUAGUGUAAGUGAACCUAGGUUAUGAUGUAAAGAACAUCUUAGUAAAGUAAACUAAGUUGUGAAUCAAGUGGGCAAUAGACCACUAGAAAGUGAAUAGAAUAGACCUAGAAAGAUCGUCGACAUAGGGUAAAAGAGUAAACCCUUAAGUUGUGAAAAUGGAUUCCGAAUCCCUAGGAUUGGUAUGAUAGGCAGAAAUAGAAUCUUAACUAGCGGAUUGACGUUCUCCUCUCCCGUAGUGAUUCAACGGGAUCAACAGUUCUCCUCUCCGCGUAUGCCAUGAAGGAAGUGAAUCGGAACACGGAUCGACAGUUCUCCUCUCCCGGUAGUGAUUCAACGGAUGACGGUUCUCCUCUCCGGUUGAGCUAACGGGUUUGACGGUUCUCCUCGCCCUGUUGAGCUGAGAGAUUAGGGUCAGCGGGAUCGACGGUUUCCUCUCCCUGUGAUGGACCUCAGUGUCGCGUGGACUUAAGCUGAGGUGUUGUGAGACGUCCUGCCACCUCGAGCCUGACUGACGCGCGUACUCGCCGCGGUUGAUUGACUCAAGACCGAGUCGAGUGCUAGAUGGCUAAGGUAAGUAACCUUAGAAAGAAUCGCCAGUGAGUACAAUAAAAUAAAGAAUAAAGCAUAAAGAAAAGAAUAAGGAAAUAGCUAAUGAAUGAAACUAGCUAAGAAAGAAUAAAAGCUACAAGUAAAGAAUGGCUAAUGAUAUAAAGUGAAUCAAGUAAUCUACUUACAUGAAUUACAGGUAAUGCAUAUUGCCAAGCCAGCGAGGCAAGGUAUGGUUUUAUUGAUCGCAUCGUUAAAUAUCUAUCUAUCUAUCUGAUUGUUAACUAACCUACUGUUUCCUCCUUUGACCUGGUAGGUCGAGCUCUCUUCUGGGUAGGGCUACCCACUGGGAACUAUAUUUAUAUAGUUCUCACCCCCGUGUUGUUUGGGGUACAGGUUGCACGCGAGCGCGCGGCGGCGCGAGGACAGGGCGUAGUUCCGUAGAUAGCGCCCCACCACCGAACCGAGAUAGCAAUACCCUGAAGAAGUAAGUUCAGCAGUUCAAAAUUGAAAGCAAACAAACUUGUAGUGAAAUUGGUAUAAGUUUUGUAAUAACAUAAGGUAUUUGGAAUUUUGUAAAUAUAAAAUGCUGAGAUGAAUGCCUUGUAAUAGCAUAGUUAGCACUUUAUGUUUUUGAUACUUAUGCAAUCUGUGGUUGAAUACAGUUCCUGUUUGGAACCUCUUGUAUAUGCAUUGUAUAGAUUGUGACGCCUACGAACGAUAGGGGAGGCUCUGUCCGUUCGGCGGUCUGUCGGCGUACCCGAAUCCGACCAAAUCGGCGGAGCUCAGGCGUGACAUAAAUUCCCGGCCGAAGUCCUCGCAAGAGCCACUCGGCCGCGUCCCGCGUCAUCCUUGACAACAUCCUGGACACAAUCAUGAUGUGGGAGAAUUCUUGUUCAUACUCCGCCACUAAGCCGCUCCCUUGCUCCAGCUUGCGAAUUUCUCCUUGAGCUUCCGCUUCAACGUAUACGGAAAUAAUUGGCGAACAUUUCCCGCUUGAAUUCCUCCAUACAUCGCGCGGAAGGCCGCCGGAAGCCGAUCCGUUUAACGCGCUCACCAAACCUCGCCGCCGCCUUCUCCAGGCAAUGGGUAGCGAGGUAGACUUUAUCCGCUCUCCAAGGUACGCAAAUCAUCGAAGGGGUUCCAUCAAGUCGAUCCAAGCACUCGACCAUCUCUGGUUCCACCUUCUCGCCCCUCGAAAGUUGGCGUAUGGAACUUGUUGAAUUUGAUAAGAGCCGCCAAUGCGCGCUCUCCUUCCACCUCUUCGCCGACACAUCGGAGGUAGCCAUCCAGAUGCCGCCUGUGUGCGAUCUGCUGUCGGUCGGCGUCUGCAGCACACACCAGAACCGCGCGUAUACCCUCACCCUCCGCCACCUCGGCACACGGUCGAGGAGCGCGCGGCGGCCACCGCCCUCAGCCAUUGUCGCGGCGCGGGUGCCGUGAGCUCCGCUCCAUAAGUUCCUGAAGCCUCUCGAAUCGGGUCUCCUGGCGCUGCCACCACGCUAGUCAACGCGGUCACUUGCGGCCUGCAGCCGAUCAUCAUGCUCGGCUCCGUCUGCUCGGGCACCUCGGUGCGGUGCUGGAGUGGAUCUCGUACUUGGGGCGUCUCUUCCGUGCCAUAGCUCUGAAACGCAACCACUUGUUUAAUCACUUUAACCAACUUCCUCGUCGGAAUCACCGACACACCACGACUCAGCAACAAAAUCGGCGGAAGCACACACGCGUACUCGUCCUAGACUCUGGCAUUAUGUCGUCGGCCGCCGACACAACACCUCAAGCCACGAACUCAUACAACUCAAUCCGUCUCUAAUCACAAUAAGAGACCUAUACCAACUCGACCCAAUCGAAUUAACUUCCGCCAUCGCUGAUAGGUUCACAUUCCGCUCACGUCUGCACCUAUAACCUUAAGGCUGCCAACUAGGUCCCUAGGUCAUCUAAACUCUCUUUACUUGCUCUUAUGCUCUGAUACCACGAAAAUACUGUCACGCCCCGCCCCGCGAAACCACUACCAAUUUGGCGCGAUUCGGCCGCGCCGACAGACGCCGAACGGACAGCACCCUCCCCUGCCCGCCAAGCUCAACCACAGGAAUGUGUACAAGAAUUUACCUAGAACUUUAAUUCUAACAUACAACAUUCAACGACGGGCACAAACAGUGCGCAACAACAAGAGAAGACAAGUAAUCCACAAGAUAUACGAGUGAAAUGAAGAGAGUACUUUAACUAACUAUUACAAUAGUUACAUUCUUUACCUUUACAUCAUUUUCAAAAAUGAAUAGCAUUUGAUCCCUCAAAAUACAUAGCUCUCCAACCUCACCUACAUGAAUCUCUCUCAUACAUAGGUGUACUAAUGCAAAGGAAGCUACUACACUCACCACGGCCUCACUGAUGGCGCGCGAUGCCCUUGCCGCGGUCCUCUCUCUGCAAGCCCUGAACCUACACUGGAAAUAGAGUGGCGCUGAGGAACCUACUUCCAUCAGUUCCAGCUGUGGCUGGCGCACUCGUGCGAUCUCCCACUAGGUCCAAGUGGGCACAAGUAACAACAAAUAGAUAGAUAAUAUGUAUCUGAAGCUGUAAUGCAGUCUACGUAGGAAAACUAUGCUACUAUGCCCAUAAUCAUGAAUAUGAAUGCAUGCAUCAUAUAAUAAAAGGUUUGCUACCAUGCUAACAAAUUCGAUCCAUGUUCGAAUCGUAAUGCUUCAAUGACAUUUAUAAACCUUUAACCUUUUUCAUUUACCCAAUCUGUGCGAGGCCCUAGGCUCGCCCUGACCAUACACUUUCAAUCCCAAAGUGGGGAGGGAGCUCCAAGUUGCACCCAGCCCGGCGACCGUCUGCCGAACCUCCAUGUGGUCCGACCUCCAAGUGGUCCUAGUCCGCCGACACUCCGGAGUACUCGACGACAAUCCCCUCCAUUGGCGAUAUGGAUGGCUAUACCAUCCCAAACCCCAGACUGUGAGCUAGAUCUGUCCUCUCCAAGUGAGAUACUCUACAUACUAGAGUCAAUACCCAAUCGAAUCCUCUCAAGUGAGGACGCCCCUACACAAGGACAGUCAACGCACUAUCGCGGAAUCAUCGGUUCCCGACAUUCAUCAAUACUAUUUAGUUUCUACAAUUCAUUGUUCACCAGCGCAUUUUUAAGGGAUCCACCUAUCCCUAGGUCCAUCGACUCCUAGUGUUAUUUACAACUACAUUAAUGCCAACUCGUUAUCAUUCAAUAUUUGGGUGCGCCACUCUGUUUCUUUGACAAUAAACCUACUUUCUAUGUCAUCAAUACCCCAUCGGUUCAUCUCUAUCUCUAGAUCAUAGGAUCACUGUUCCGACCCAAUCCUCACCUAUCUACGUUACAAGCGUUCAAGUACACUAGGUCAUCCAUUAGAAAGCAUAUAGGAAUGGCGCUACUAUGCAAUCCUACAACUGCAACAUGAAGAGAUGAGAUUAAAUGCAAUCUAAGACAUAGAAAGGAGUUCGAGAAGUUCGGGAUAACACCCCCCACCUUUUUAAUCGAGUGUAGAGGUUUUGGAAAUCUUCUCAGCGAGCUUCGCGAAAAGCGCUUUAGCCUUUUUCCUCCCCGAAUCAACACUAGCCCGGCCCGAUUUGCCGAGAACUUUCACGCAGGUUGCCAACUGCCAAAUCGACUUCGCCCCCCGCGUGUUUGGGACCUAUCAAUCAGUUAUCCAAAGGCUUCAAAUGAGAUACACCCAUCUCAACGACUUUAUACAAAACCCCAUUGGAACCCUAGAUUCCACCUAGAAGCUAACACCCCUAUAAGAUCCUAGCAUUUCUUGGAUUGAAUCUAUUUUAGAAGCUUGCCUUAGGGUCCGAUUGACCAUUCAAGACAUAAAACCACAAAACCUAAGUUUAGAACGCUAGCGUUUAGUAGCGUUACCUCAAGAGCUUUUUUUACUCCAGGGAAGAGGCAGAAGAGAGAUAGCGAGGUGCUCAAGCCUCCUCUUGAUCUCCUUCUCUUCUGCCUUCCUUACUUUCCAUCUUCUUUCCGUCCUCUCCUUCUUGUUCAUUCUUCCCUGCUUUCCUUCUAAGAGAGGAGAGAGCAAGAGCAAAAUGAGAGUGAGAGAGAGUAAAAUGAGAGAGUGGAGGAGAGAGAGGCGCUCAUGCCUACAAAUAAAGGCCAUUGCAUAAAGCCCUCGACUUUCCACCUUGUGCCACUGCCCUUAUCAUGGCAUGUUUUCCGCAUGCAGGGACAGAGUCUACCCGACUUUGGGACGAGUCCCCGAGAGGCUUCCCUCGGCCGCGCACGCGUUCGGGCAACCGAGUCUCUCCCGGCGAGACCGUCCCUCACUGAGAAGACCAUGUCCCAGAGCUUGAUUUUCAGGACUUAGCCAAUUUUUUGGCAUCUCUCGCUGGGACCACGUUCGGGAACCGGUCCCUCCCUGCCAGGGACCGGUUGCAUCACGCAACCCCGCUACAUCCAGCCAGGGGAACCGGUCUCUCACCUGCAGAGACCGGUCCCCGAGAGCAACAUCAGCCCAAUGAUGCCAUUUGCCUCAUUUGCUCUCGCGGACUCAACUCCAAGGCACUUUUUGUGCUUUGGACAUUCCCAACUCCCACAAAGGGUAUACUCUCGACAAUUAGUCGAUCCUGGAUGGAGUACAAUCCUCGCAUUUCGAGAAUUCACUUCCUUACACAUAAUCCAAUAUAUCUUUAUGUAAUGAAUAUGCUCUAUCAUAACAACCAAGUAUACUAUGAUGCAACAAGUAAACUAUCAAGUAUACUACAUGUCCCAACGCUAUGCUACAAGCAUGUCAAGGUAAUCCAACUACUACUCCCUAUCUAGUAGUGAUUAACUUUUACGAAUUGAUGUCAUUGUCCAAUCUAGUUUUGGGACCUACACAAGUGUAGUCCAGCUUGUGCCGCCUAAGUGUCGGUGGUAGCUCCAGCAUUCCUACUCUAGGAAUGAGUCUAUCCCUCCCGACUCCGUAGGUUUCUCGAUGCCGCACGAGCUAACAUAAGCCGCGUAGGCCAACUCCGGACUGCCGGCUUGUGGGGAGCGACCCUCACAAGCGUGUGCGAAUGAGCACAAAUGGCAAGCAAGCAUAGUCAAUGUCUCAAGUGUCCAAUCAUCAUGUCUCUAGCAUGGUCAAAGCCACUAGCAACCCAACGGUCUAGUUCUAUGUCUCAAAGUGAUGUUCCAACACUCACCUUGCUUAGUGCCUCUUUAUGCACUUAAGCAUUAUGAUAAUCCAAGUACAAUCCACAUUCUAUGUCCCUUCAUGACACUAGUACUAGGUUCACACAUAACCCAAGCUCAAUGCCGUUUUAUGACAUUAGCUCCAAAUUUUUUCAUGACAGUCUAGUCUGAUGCCUCUUUAUGGCAUUAGCUAUCUCUCAUGUCUCUAACAUGCAUAGGUUUAUGUAGCACACUGGACUUUUGCAAAUUGCGAGGUUCGAGUGUUUGGAUGUAUUUCGAGCUUUUCCACACUUGAUGGAGGGUUGUAGAAUGUUUUCCGACCUAAAAAAUUCGAAAACUGGAAUUCUGGACAAGUCCUGAGAGUUUUUACUCUCGGGGACCGGUCCCUGGAAGGAGAGACCGGUCCCCCGGUGAGCAGUGUUGUGGCAGUCGGUCCCUGGCAGGCGAGACCGGUCCCCGAGCGCGCCUUCGCAGAGAGAGACCGGUCCCGCGCAGGGAGAGACUGGUUCCCGAACGUUGGUUUUUCGGGUUCGCAGCGAGAGACCGGUCCCUGCUGGGGAAAGACCGGUCCCUCUGGGCGAAAACUGCCCAGACCGGGCUGUUGCAAUAUUGGAAUUUUGAGGGACCUAGUUGGAUUUUGUUACAAUAGAGGGUCUAUAUGACCCAUCCACCCUCUCUUCUCCUCAUUUCCCUCCUCACACUCUCCCCACAUCCUUGCUAGAGAGAGAAGAAGGAGAAGAAGAGGAAGGAGAAGAAGAGGAGAAGGAUCUAGAUUGGGCUUGCAGCAUCCCUUUGCCUUCCUUCCUCUUCCCACCUUGUUGGUGCUUGAAGGCUUGGACUUGGAGCUUGCAAAGGAGAAGAUCUUCACCCUUUGAGCUUGGAUUGAAGCUCCUUAGAGGUUAGUAGCCCUUUCUCUCCAUCUAGACUUUGGAUUUUCGGUUUUCUUGUGUUGGAACCCUAGAAUGAGAUUUUAGGGUUGAUUUUGGGGCUUUUUGAUCUAGGGCUUUUGGGACUAAAUUAGUUGGAUUAGAACCUUCCAUUUGGUUGGAUUGGAAGGGUUCUAGCUCUCUUUUGGAGCUUUGGAAGAGAUUUCUUCUCUUGAGGUGAGUUUUAGUCCUUUUGUCUUGUUGCUUAAUAUUUGAUCUUAUAGUUGAUCGUAAUGCCCGUGUAUCUCUUCGCUCAAUACUUUUAGGGUAUUUUGAGGCUCGUGGACAACUCGGUUCGGCGAAUCGAAGGAGCACGCGACGGUUCGGUGGGUUUGACCUAGCCUAUGAUAUGAGAAAUGCUCAUAUUUGGCAAAAUAUGAUUCGUAAAAUAGAUAUUCAUGCAUUUUCAUGUUAAAUGUAUUUAAUAUGAAUUUUAGAAUGCUUAACAUGCAUAUAUUAUGUAUAGUAAAAUUUUAGACCCCUAUGUGGUAGAGUGUAUGCAUGUGAGACUUAGCAUUCUAGUUAUGAUUGGGAACCAUGAUUCCUAUUAUGGAAAUGAACCUUGCUUUCAUGCAUUUAACCUAUAUGCCAAUUGUGACAUUAGGAAUUUUAGAAGCCUAGAGAAGGCUUGAGAACUUGGACUAUUUGAGAUUGGGCCAAUGUCAUAAAGAGGCAUUGGGCCCGGGCUAAAGUGAACCUAGCUAGUAUUUUUUAAAUUGGAAUAUGGAACAUGAAUUGGGCAUGAUUAGUUGUGAUGCUUAAGUGUCAUAAAGAGGCACUAAGCAAGUGUGUGCGUUGGAGCGUCACUUUGAGACUUUGGACUAGAUCCUUGGGAUGCUAGUGGCCUUCCCAUGUGAGAGGCAUGAGAGUAGAGUACUUGAGACUUUGACCUUGCUUGCUUGCCAUUUGUGCUCAUUCGCACAUGCUUGUGAGGGUCGCUCCCUACAAGCCGGCACUCCGGAGUUAGCCUACGCGACUUAUGUUCGCUCGUGCGGUAUUAAGAAGCCUACGGGGUCGAGUGGGACAGACAUAUUCCAAGAGUAGGGAUGUUGGGCUACCACAGGCACUUAGGCGGCACAAGUUGGACUACCUUUGGUAGGUCCUUAAUUGGAAAUGGAAAUCGACACGGGAUGAGUUUGUUAUAAUCACUACUAAAUAGAGAGUGGUAGUUGGAUUGCUCGGACUUGCUUCUAGCAUAUAUUUAGACUUUGGGUAUACUAGGAGGCAUUGCUAGGAGGCAUUGCUUAAUUGCACUCAUAUAAACAAUGUUGCUAUGAUAAAGGAUAAUCCUCAUAAUUUCAUUAAGCAAACCAUGACAAUCAUCUAUGGCUAAGUAGAGACAUAUUCUUCAUGACAAGAUAAUUGUGCAUUACCUAAAUGCCAUAUUUAAUUGCAAGUAAUAUUUUAGUAUUUUCAUUAUGCUUUCAUAAAUGCAAAUUACUCGUUAUUGCUAUUGCUUUUGACUUACCCCUUUUCUUUUGGGCCUAGUAGUGCAAUGAGCUGAGGUCAGUAAUUGCCCACUGGGAACUAUAAAUUAUAGUUCUCACGCCCUCUGUUCUAUGUUUUCUUUCAGAGCCUUCCACGCCGGGAGAGGCUAGGGACCGUGGGAAGGGCGUUGCUUCGGAUUAGCCCUUCAGUCAAAGAUGAGUUUAAGUGGUCUUCCUCUCGACGUAUUUCUUUUUGUGAGAGGUUGAGAGUUUACCCGUGUACUAAAGACCACCAUUCUUGUACUAGAUAUCGAUGUUGUACUACUUAUAUUUUUCUUUUAUGGUUUAAUUAUGUUUCUUUUACUCUGGUUUAGAUGAUAGAACCGUACUCGCUCUGAUAUUAUUAGUUACCACUAUGCUAUUUGUUCUACUUCUUGCUUUACUUCCGCUUUUGUUGUAGACGCUUUAUAUGUGUAGACAUAUGGCGGGUCUGGGCGCGCUACCGGGAGGGCCUUCGCCGGUCCCGGGGCGUGACAGUUUAAGUGCACUACACAAUGCUCAUUUUCGUUGUAAGAAACAUGGUCCCAAGUCCAACAUAAGAAUGCCAAAUGCUAGUAUAAGCCUCACAUGCAACUCUCUCCUAUAUAGAGGUCCGAAAAUUUAUUGUACAUGACAUAGGGAUGUUAAGUAUUCUAAAAUUCACAAUAAAUACAUUUAGCAUGAAAAUGCAUGAAUUUCCACUUUACGAAGCAUAAAUCACCAAAUAUGAGUAUUUCUCAUAUUGUAGGCUAGGUCAAACUCACCGAACAACGCGUAACCCUUCAUUUGCUCUAACGAAGAUGUCCACUAAGCUCCUAGCAUCCUAGAAGCAACAAAAAGUGAGCUACAAGGAAUAAACGAACAACUACUAUCUCAAUCAUUAACCAACUAGACAAAAGGGCCAAAUCUCACCUAUAGUGAAGAAAUCCCUCUUCAAAGCUCAAAUGGAAGUCAAAUCCCUUCCAAAGCAACCUAAACCAAGGUUCUAAUCCCAUUAGAUUAGCCCCAAAAGUCUCCAAACAAAAAGCCCCAAAAUAAACUCUAAAAUCCAAAUCUAGGGUUUCAUCUCCCAAAAUCCACCAAAACUAGGUCUCGAGGGGAGGAACAAGCAACUAACCUCUUAAGAAGCUUCAAUCCAUGCUCCAAGUUCUCUAGGGUUGAAGAUAUCCUCUCUAGUAAGCUCUAAGUCCAAACCUCCAAGCACCAACAAGGUGGGAAGAGAGGGAGAGAAGAUACUCCAAGUCCUCAAACAAGCUCUUCCUCUACUUCUCCUUCUUCUCCUUCUCCUUUUUCUCCUUCUUCUUCUCUUUCUAGAGUGUGUGAGAGAGUGAGAAGUGAGGGAAAGAGGGAAGAGAAAUGGCCUAAAAGCCCUCUAUUGUAACAAAAUUCGGAAAAGUCCCUCUACUUUUCAUCCUAUGCAUCAGCCCGAACUGGGCAGUUUUCGCCCAGAGGGACCGGUCUCUCCCAGUUGGGACCGGUCCCUCGGGACCAUCCAGCAAAACCAGCUCUCGGGAACCGGUCUCCCCAGCCGCGGACUGGUUGCCUCGCCGUGGGGGACCGGUCUCUCCCACCAGGGACCGGUCCGCAAGAGUAAAAAUCUCAAGACUUGUCCAGAAGUUCAGAUUUCGAACUUUCUGGUCAGAAUGCAGUCUACGACCCUCCACCAAGUGUGGGAAAAGCUCGAAACACCAAACCCAAACACUCGAACCUUGCAAUUUGCGAAAGUCCAGUGUGUUACAUUCACCCCUCCUAAAAAGGAGUUUCGUCCGCAAAACUCGAAAAGCAAAGUACCUCAAGCCUCCAUCUGAAAAAGAUGGAGAUAGCGCUCCUGCAGUGCGCUCUCCAACUCCCAAGUGGCCUCACGUUCAUCGUGGUUGCACCAAAGCACCUUCACGUAGGGAAUCUCACGGUUCUGCAAUCUCUUAACUUCGCGAGCCAAAAUCCUCAAAGGUUGCUCUUCAAAACUCAAGUCAUCCCUCAGCUCCAAAGGUGUAGCGUCCAACACGUGAGCCGGAUCAUGGAUGUACUUCCAAAUGACCGAUACAUGGAAUACAUUGUGUACACCCGAUAGGUUCGGCGGUAGAGCAAGUCGAUACGCUACCGGGCCUACACGCUCUAAAACCUCGUAUGGUCCAAUGUAUCAGGGGCUCAACUUACCCCGGAUGUCAAAUCUUCUAAUUCCUUUAGUUGGCGAGACUUUCAAGAAGACAUGAUCUCCAAUCUGAAACUCAAAGUCUCGUCGUCGCCUAUCAGCAUAACUCUUUUGCCUACUCUGGGCUGUCAACAAUCGCUCCCGAGCAAUGCGAACCUUGUCCUCUGCUUCCUGGAGCACGUCAGGGCCUAAAGCCAAUCUCUCGCCAACUUCACUCUAAUGAAGUGGCGAUCUACACUUCCAUCCAUAGAGUGCCUCGAAAGGUGCCAUCUUGAUGCUUGCUUGAUAACUGUUGUUAUAAGCAAACUCUGCCAUCGGUAGAUACUGCGACAAUCCUCCCUGGAAGUCAAUCACACACGCACGAAACAUGUCCUCGAGAGUCUGUAUAGUACGCUCUGACUACCCGUCACUCUGAGGGUGGAAAGCUGUACUAAAAUCCAAACGCGUACCCAAAGCAUCCUGUAAGCUCCUCCAAAAGUGGGAUACAAAUCGGGGGUCUCGAUCUGAUACUAUAGAAGUAGGUACCCCGUGCAAUCGCACAAUCUCGUCAAGAUAUACAUGUGCGAGUCUCUCACCAGUCCAAGUAGUGUGAAUAGGUAUGAAAUGAGCCGAUUUCGUCAACCUAUCCACAAUCACCCAAAUAGCAUCAUGCCCAGCCUGCGAGCAAAGCAAUCCCAUCACAAAGUCCAUGGUGAUCUUCUCCCACUUCCACACUGGAAUCGGUAAGCUCUGCAACUUUCCCGCAAGAACUCGAUGCUCAGCUUUAACCUGUUGGUAAGUUAGACAUCUAGCAACAAACUCGCCAACAUCAUUUUUCAUCCCGAGCCAACAAUAUAGCAACUUCAAGUCCUUGUACAUCUUGGUGCCUCCCGGAUGUAUAGCAUAGGGUGAUUGGUGUGCUUCUUGAAGAAUUUCCUCUCUAAGUGCCGAUUUCGCUGGUACACAAACCCGUCCGCAGAAACGCAUCAUCCUAACACCGUCCACAGUGAAGUCACCAGUGCAACCACCAACCAUCUUAGCUCGAAUCCUUCGCAACUCCACGUCGUGAACUUGCUUUUCCUUAAUCCUUUUCAAAAGUGUAGGUUACAUCGCCAAAGUCAUCAGCCUCAAAGGUGUAUCAGGACUCACCACCUCUAACUCCAACCGCUUCAUCUGCUCGAUCAACUGCGGUUGAGUAACAACAAGCAUCGCUAAGUUUUCCGUCGAUUUCCUACUUAGCGCAUCCGCCACCACGUUAGCCUUGCCCGGGUGGUAAAGAAUCGUCAGAUCAUAAUCCUUGAGGAGUCCAACCAUCUGCGCUGUCUCAAAUUCAACUCCUUCUGAGUGAAUAAAUACUUUAAGCUCUUGUGAUCCGUAUACACUUCACACCGCUCGCCAUAAAGAUAAUGGCGCCAUAGCUUCAAUGCAAAGACUACGGCCGCCAACUCCAAGUCGUGAGUAGGGUAAUUCCUUUCAUACUCCUUUAACUGACGAGAAGCAUACGCGAUCACCUUCCCGUCCUGCAUUAAACCACAGCCCAAUCCAUUAAAGGAAGCAUCACUAUAAAUCACAUACUCCGCUCCAGCAAUUGGCAAGGUUAGGAUCGGGGCGGUAGUCAAUCUCUACUUCAGCUCUUGGAAGCUCUUUUCACACGCAUCAUUCCAAAUGAACUUAGUGCUUUUAUGCGUGAGCCUCGUGAGGGGAGUAGAAAACUUUGCAAAUCCCUCGACAAACCGUCGGUAGUUGCCGGCCAAGCCAAUAAAACUACGUAUCUCGGUAACACUCGUCGGCCUCGGCCAAUCCUUGAUAGCUUCAAUCUUCCUAGGAUCCACAGCUAUACCUGAUCCUAAAAUCAAAUGGACCAAAAACGCCACCUCUCUAAGCCAAAACUCACACUUCUUUAACUUNCACGUACGGGGACCGGUCCUCAUGAUCAGAGACCGGUCUCCCAAACCUUCUACGCAGAGAAGCUUGAUGGGUCCGGUCCCCGACCCCUGAGUUUUUCCAAAAAACUUAAGUUUGAAUAAACAAGAAGGAAACCAAGUCUUCUAAACAUCUUUUAACAAUGAAAACUUCACCACAAAUUAUUUAUAAUCAUACCUGAGUUCUCAAGGGUCUUUGAUCAUAAGAACUUCAAUUCUUUUCGUCAAUCUUCAUCUUCUAAUUCUUCGAGACUCCAUCCAAACCAUCACGAAAUUCGCCAACUUAUAAAAUCCUUAACAACUCCUUUAACUAACGAGAAGCAUACGCGAUCACCUUCCCGUCCUGUAUUAAAACAUAGCCCAAUCCAUUAAAGGAAGCAUCACUAUAAAUCACAUAUCCCGCUCCAGCAAUUGGCAAGGUUAGGAUCGGGGCGGUAGUCAAUCUCUACUUUAGCUCUUGGAAGCUCUUUUCAUACGCAUCAUUCCAAAUGAACUUAGUGCCUUUAUACGUGAGCCUCAUGAGGGGAGUAGAAAACUUUGCAAAUCCCUCGACAAACCGUCGGUAGUUGCCGGCCAAGCCAAUAAAACUACGUAUCUCGGUAACACUCGUCGGCCUCGGCCAAUCCUUGAUAGCUUCAAUCUUCCUAGGAUCCACAGCUAUACCUGAUCCUAAAAUCAAAUGGACCAAAAAUGCCACCUCUCUAAGCCAAAACUCACACUUCUUUAACUUAGCGAAGAGUUUCUUUUCCCGAAGCACUUGAAGUACUAGUCUCAAGUGUUCCUCGUGAUCCGCAUCACUUCGGAAAUAAACCAAAAUAUCGUCGAUGAACACCACGACGAACCUGUCUAGAUAUGGCUUGAAAACAUGAUUCAUUAAAUCCAUAAAAGCUGUCGGGGCAUUAGUAAGCCCAAACGGUAUAACAGUAAACUCGUAAUGUCCAUACCGUGUUCUAAAAGCCGUUUUUGACACAUCCUCAGACUUGAUCUUUAACUGGUGAUAUCCCGACUGCAAGUCGAUCUUGGAAUAUAUACUCGAUCCUUGCAGUUGAUCAAACAGAUCAUCGAUCCUCGGCAACGGGUACUUGUUCUUGAUCGUGACUUUAUUAAGUUCACGAUAGUCCACACACAGCCGAAGUGACCCGUCCUUCUUCUUAACAAAUAAGACCGGUGCUCCCCAAGGUGACAAACUCGGUCGCACAAAAUCCUUAUCCAAAAGAUCUUGCAACUGUGCCUUCAGCUCCUUCAAUUCCAAUGGUGCCAUCCUAUAGGGCGCUUUUGAGAUUGGAGUAGUCCCGGGGACGAGAUCUACAACAAACUCAAUCUCCCUAUCUGGUAGCAUGUCUUGUAGCUCCGUUGGAAACACAUCCCUAAACUCCCGCACGACGGGGAUGUCCUCAAUCCUAGGGGUGUCGGUUUCACCCCGCAACACAACAGUAGCCAAGUAUGCUACGCAGCCUCCGCUGAUCAACUGUCUAGCUUGAGAUGAGCUAAUUGUUAUGGCAAACAGCGAACUCUGGCAUCCUUGAUAAACGACGUUCGUCUGCCCCGGCUCUCUAAACGUCACCGUUCGAUUCUUGCAAUCAAUAGUGGUGUAGUACUUGGUUAACCAAUCCAUGCCCAAAACCAUAUCAAAUUCUCCAAGUUUGCGCAAAGCAAAUAAAUCCGCGGGCAUGAUCCAAUCCCCUACUCAAACAAGGCAACUGUGAUAAAUCUCUCUAAUGUCCAAGGAGUGGUCGGGAACAACAACACGUCCCGGAUGGAACAAAGAUGUCAGUGGAUGCUAUGCAAUUCGGCAAACAGCCGAUCAAUGAAUGAAUGCGAUGCACCGGUAUCAAAUAAUGCACGAACUUGAAUACCAUAAAGUAAAAUGAUACCUGCAACCACAUUCUCAGCUACUGCCGCCUCCUCCGUCUAGGCCGCAUACAUGCGCCCGCUUGGGGCCUGUCGUGACCCCUAGAUCUGCCUUCGUACAAGUGGUCGUCCGGCCUAGUGGUGAGCAGAAAACGUCCCCUGGCUGGGACCCGGUGAUGCUGGUGCAGAUGCCGAAGAUGGCGCUGGCACUGAACUCCUCGGGCAGUCCGACUGGAAGUGGCCCUUCUGGCCACAUAGGUAGCACCUGCCCCGACUGCGUGAACACUGCCGUGGAUAAUGAGGACCACCGCAGAUCACGCAACGCGGAGCCUGAUGUCGAUCAGGUCCUCCUUGCUGAGUAGACGAGCCACGUCCCCGCGACUGGCUCCGACUCCUCCGGUGCCUUGGCGGCCUCCGUGAGUGCGCCUGACUCGCACCGUCAGCCGCAGGCCUCUUGCCCUUCCCCUUUUCCAAACUCUCGCAACGCUCCUGAAGAUCUGCCGCUCCUACCUCCACAAUAAGCGUGCGGUUCACAACCUCCCGGUAGGUUUGGAGGUUGGAGGACUGCAUGUCACGCCCCGGGACCCAACGGAAGCCCGCCCGGCACGUGCCCAGACCCGCCAUACGUCUAAAACAUAUAAGGCGUCUAAAAACAACAAUAAUAAAAGCAGUAAUGAAAGACAUCUAGGAGUAUCAGAGCAUGAUAAAUGUCUAAAUGCUACCACAAGGGAUAAGGAUAAAACUGUAAAUCCACUAAAUAAGACAUAAAGUAAAUACAAUAGAAAAUCCCAAAUACAAGUGCUAAAAGUAGGUACAUAGGUGGUCUCUACACAUGGAUACAAAAUCUCUCACUCUCCCAACUACAAAAAGAAAGAGCAAACCACCUAGGCAAAGAACCGCCCCUCGCUAGCUAGCUAAGCGAUCCCCUUGCCGCGAUCCCGUGCCUCCGCCGGUGCCGAAGGCUCUNAAAGGUGCCAUCUUGAUGCUUGCUUGAUAACUGUUGUUAUAAGCAAACUCUGCCAUCGGUAGAUACUGCGACCAUCCUCCCUGGAAGUCAAUCACACACACACGAAGCAUGUCCUCGAGAGUCUGUAUAGUACGCUCUGACUGCUCGUCACUUUGAGGGUGGAAAGCUGUACUAAAAUCCAAGCGCGUGCCCAAAGCAUCCUGUAAGCUCUUCCAAAUGUGGGAUACAAAUCGGGGGUCUCGAUCUGAUACUGUAGAAGUAGGUACCCCGUGCAAUCGCACAAUCUCGUCAAGAUAUACCUGUGCGAGUCUCUCACCAGUCCAAGUAGUGUGAAUAGGUAUGAAAUGAGCCGAUUUCGUCAACCUAUCCACAAUCACCCAAAUAGCAUCAUGCCCAGCCUGCGAGCAAGGCAAUCCCAUCACAAAGUCCAUGGUGAUCUUCUCCCACUUCCACACUGGAAUCGGUAAGCUCUGCAACUUUCCCGCGGGAACUCGGUGCUCAGCUUUAACCUGUUGGUAAGUUAGACAUCUAGCAACAAACUCGCCAACAUCCUUUUUCAUCCCGAGCCAACAAUAUAGCAACUUCAAGUCCUUGUACAUCUUGGUGCCUCCCGGAUGUAUAGCAUAGGGUGAUUGGUGUGCUUCUUGAAGAAUUUCCUCUCUAAGUGCCGAUUUCGCCGGUACACAAACCGAUCCGCAGAAACGCAUCAUCCUAACACCGUCCACAAUGAAGUCACCGGUGCAACCACCAACCAUCUUAGCUCGAAUCCUUCGCAACUCCACGUCGUGAACUUGCUUUUCCUUAAUUCUUUUCAAAAGUGUAGGUUACAUCACCAAAGUCAUCAGCGUCAAAGGUGUAUCAGGACUCACCACCUCUAACUCCAACCGCUUUAUCUGCUCGAUCAACUGCGGUUGAGUAACAACAAGCAUCGCUAAGUUUUUCGUCGAUUUCCUACUUAGCGCAUCCGCCACCACGUUAGCCUUGCCCGGGUGGUAAAGAAUCGUCAGAUCAAAAUCCUUGAGGAGUCCAACCAUCUGCGCUGUCUCAAAUUCAACUCCUUCUGAGUGAAUAAAUACUUUAAGCUCUUGUGAUCCGUAUACACUUCACACCGCUCGCCAUANAUGGGUCGGAACACAGUCUACGACCCUUCAGAAAGUCUGAAAUAGCUCGGCACACAGAUCAAACACUCGAACCUCGCGAUUUGCAGAGGUCCAGUGUGCUACACUGUACCAACCGAACGAUCCAAGGCCGCAAUCCACGCUAAAAAAUGCGGGCCUUGUCCUCGUCAUCGCGCACUACGAAGGGUAUACAGUGAAGUAGCCGGAAAAACUCCCUCUCGUACUCGGCCACCGUCCGCUCCUCCUGACGCAAGCUGCGCAAAUCCUGCUCCAUCUUCCUCUUGACGCUAGUAGGGAAGUAGUGCGCCAGAAGAAGCUCCUUGAACUUCUUCUAUGAAAUCGCCGCCAGAUCAGUGUUGGGGUUGUCCUGGAUAUCCAACCACCAACGGUAGGCCUCACCGUCCAAGAAGUGUGUGGCGAGCCAAACUCUUUCCCUCUCCUCCACAAAGGUGUCGCGGAAGAGCUUCUCCAUAUGCAUCAACCACUUCUCCACGAUUCAGUGGUCGACUUUCUCCCCGUCGAAGAUCCUGGGGUUACACCUCCUGAACUCGCCGAGCCGAUCCAUAAGUCGGUCCCGCUUGGCCCCCUCGGCCAUCACGGGGAAAGUUGCCCUCGCUGUAGGUAUCUGAGCCAGUGGUGCCGCAACUAUCUCCUCCCGUGGUGCGGUCGUCGGUGCCGCACGUGAAGAACUGGGCACAGGGGACUGCGCCCUCGGCGCGACAUCCACUACGAGUACUGGCGGUGUGGGAACCUGGGUCUCCCUAGAAGCUGCCGCCUGCUGUAGCAAGAGGUCCUCUAGAUGCUUUAUCCGUGCCUCCUGCCGCUGAGCCACCUCGGCCUUUCGCUGCGCCGCCACCGCCUGCUGUGCCACAAGAUCAGUGAGGACCGCAAGUUGAGACCUCAAGUCGCAGACCUCACUAGAUCCGGAAGUAGCGGAGGUCUCGACCUCCUCGAGGUGUGCCGCAUCAUCCGCUCCAGCAGAUUGGGAGCUUGUAAUCGGCAUCGUCACUACAAAGCAUAAAAGCGCAAGUUAGUAACCUGCGCUAUCGCAACCCCACUCAAGAUAACCGGACCCCAAAUUAUGCGAAAGUAAGGAAGCAUUCUUCACUACUAACUCCCGAUGUUACGUUAUUGGCCGCCAACGUAACCCUCCGCGAAGUUAGAAGCCAUAUACUUCAGUCAAACUCGAACUUUUCGGAGUUGUCAAGAUACCCAAUCAAGAUACUUUCGCCUACAAAUCAAAUAGACCUCGUCUCUCACGAGCCUAUUUCCUAUAGUCCGACCGACCUAAGGUUUGCUAGGUCCCCUAAGACUCAACCCUAGGCUCUGAUACCAAAUUAAUAUGUCACGCCCCGGGACCCGGCAUAGGCCCGCCCGGUGCGUGCCCAGACCCACCAUAUGCUUGCACAUAUAAGACGUCUACAACAAAAUAGAUAUGGAAGCAAGAAGAAAUAAAGUCAUUAGAGAUAUCAGAGCUACUAACAACAAGUAGAGAAAGGGGGAAAGUAAACUACUAAACAUAAAGAUAAAGUCAGUACAAAAGUCAUCACAAAAGUACUAUAAAAAAGGUGGUCUCUAUACAAGGUACAACUCUCAUCCUCUCCCAAAAGAAAACAAAGAGGAGGUGGACUACCUAUCGAACGUCCCUCGCUCACAAGCUAGCUCGUGGCGAUUCCCUUUCCGCGGUCCCUAGCCUCGCCCGUAGUGGAAGGCUUUGAAAUAAAAACAAGAAACAGAGGGCGUGAGAACUAUAAUUUAUAGUUCCCAGUGGGCAAUUACUAACCUCAGCACUAAGCACCACUAGGCCCCAAAAGAAAAGGAUAAGAUGCCGCAAGUAAACAUGAUGUCAAUGUGUUGUACAUCUACUCUAUCAAAAAUGAAGUAUGUCCAUGGCAUGACUAAUAUAUCCCAACAUAACGAGCAAGUAGAUAUCAUAAUCCAAUAUAUCAUUAUGUAAUGAAUAUGCUCUAUCAUAACAACCAAGUAUACUAUGAUGCAACAAGUAAACUAUCAAGUAUACUACAUGUCCCAACGCUAUGCUGCAAGCAUGUCAAGGUAAUUCAACUACUACUCCCUAUCUAGUAGUGAUUAACUUUUACAAAUUGAUGUCAUUGUCCAAUCUUGUUUUGGGACCUACACAAGUGUAGUCUAGCUUGUGCCGCCUAAGUGUCGGUGGUAGCUCUAGCAUUCCUACUCUAGGAAUGAGUCUAUCCCUCCCGACCCCGUAGGUUUCUCGAUGCCGCACGAGCUAAUAUAAGCCGCGUAGGCCAACUCCGGAGUGCCGGCUUGUGGGGAGCGACCCUCACAAGCGUGUGCGAAUGAGCACAAAUGGCAAGCAAGCGUAGUCAAUGUCUCAAGUGUCCAAUCAUUAUGUCUCUAAUAUGGUCAAAGCCACUAGCAACCCAACGGUCUAGUUCUAUGUCUCAAAGUGAUGUCCCAACACUCACCUUGCUUAGUGCCUCUUUAUGACAGUUAAGCAUUAUGAUAACCCACGUACAAUCCACAUUCUAUGUCCCUUCAUGACACUAGUACUAGGUUCACACAUAACCCGAGCUCAAUGCCGCUUUAUGAUAUUAGCUCCAAAUUUUUCCAUAACAGUCUAGUCCGAUGCCUCUUUAUGGCAUUAGCUAUCUUUUAUGUCUCUAACAUGCAUAGGUAUAAGUGCACUCCACAAUGCUCAUUUUCGUUGUAAGAAACAUGGUCCCAAUUCCAACAUAAGAAUGCCAAAUGCUAGUAUAAGCCUCACAUGCAACUCUCUACUACAUAGAGGUCCGAAAGUUCAUUGUACAUGACAUAGGGAUGUUAAGCAUUCUAAAAUUCACAAUAAAUACAUUUAGCAUGAAAAUGCAUGAAUUUCCACUUUACGAAGUAUAAAUCACCAAAUAUGAGCAUUUCUCAUAUUGUAGGCUAGGUCAAACCCACCGAAUAACGCGUAACCCUUCGUUUGCUCCAACGAAGAUGUCCACUAAGCUCCUAGCACCCUAGAAGCAACAAAAAGUGAGCUACAAGGAGUAAACGAAUAAAUACUAGCUCAAUCAUUAACCAACUAGACAAAAGGGCCAAAAUCUCACCUAUAGUGAAGAAAUCCCUCUUCAAAGCUCAAAUGGAAGUCAAAUGUCACGCCCGGGUAUCAGCGGAAGCAUAUCCGGCACGUGCACAGACCCGCCAUACACCUGCAGUAUAUAAGGCGUCUACAAAGAAAACAUGUCGAUAGAAGGAAAACGUAGAAGUAUCCUAUCCUGAUAUCAGAGCAAGUAUAAGUCUAUAAUACCAUCAUCAGAGGAACAACGAGUAUACAACCCAAAUCUAAACAUCAAAGAGCAAAAUCAAAACUAAAAUCCCUGAUUCAAACUACUCAUAUACAUCACAGGGUUACUCAAAAUACAUGUACAAUGGUAGUCUCUCUAUACACGGGUACAUCACCAUCGGCCGUGGCACGAGUAGCAAGGUGAUCAACUAGCAAACAUCAAUCUAUGUCUAGCUAGACGCGACUCCCUUGCCGCGAUCCCUAGCCUCUCCUGUAGGUGGCUAUGUAAAAACAAGAAUAAAAAGGGCGUGAGAACUAUUAUCCAAUAGUUCCCAGUGGGUAAGUCGCCAGUCUCGGCGAAUUACACCACUAGGCUCAUGAUGUACUGAAUGAAAGUAAAAGUAGUAAUUGCAUGAUAUAUCUAUACUAUUAACAGGUAAUCAAUAUGUAAUCCUACUUUCUGCAGUAAUGAAUCAACUGAAUAAUAAAAGCAUAGCAACUAUUGUAAGCAUGAACAUAACAUGAACGUGUAAGUGAAUACUGUACACUAUAACUGAUAAUCAUUCAUUACUGUCAUUUCGAACUUUAAUUGCAUUCAUAAGGACCUACACAAGGUAGUCCAGCUUGCACCGCGCCUAAUGGCCCCGUGGUAGUAUACACUCUCCACCGCAAUCCACUUCGGCACCCAAUCCCGCACGGGCGAGCAUCUGUCGUAUAGGCCAAUUCCGGAGUGCCGGCUUGUAGGGAGCUACCCUCACAAGCGUGUGCGAAUGAGCACGAUGGCAAGCAAGCAAAGUCCAUAGCCCAAUAUGUCUCAAUCAUCAUGUCACGUAGUACACUCUGUUCUCACUCUCGAUCUAUUGAUCGAAAUUCUCAAUAUGAUAAACAAUGAAACUUGCUAGUAUCCACUAGAUUAGUAACACAUAAAAGUAAUGCCAAUUUUACAUAUUGCAUUAGAAACUUCUCACUAUUCAUAUACUAUCAAUAGGGUCAAGAGAACGUAGUUGUUCUCUACUUUAUAGAAGCAUAAUAAACUUAUCUCUUGGUUAUUCAAUUGAACUAAACAAGAAUACUUUAGUGCAUGAAUACUUUAUGCAUGAAUACUUUUAUGCAUGAGUUCUCUCUACUUCAUAGAGGUUUCAUUACAAUAUCUCAACCGAUGCGGCGAUGAUGUUUCAAAUCCUUAUCAAUCACAUAAUCAUAAAAUGCACCUAUGUACCAAAUCUAUAGUAACAUAUAGAACAUAGGGGAGUUUCACUUGCUCUGGUUAGGUCAAACCCACCUAGCACUAAGCUCGAUCCAGCCCCAACUGAGUCCCGAAAUUCAGCUCGCUAGGUCUCAAACCUACUGAAAACUGAGUAUCAAAAUCCCAUUGAAGCAAUGGCCAAAAUGUCUGAAAUCGGCAAAAUUCUCACUUAGUACAUAGCAAUAACUUAAAUCCCUGUUUUGGUUCACUUUAGUACCUCAAGUUUAACCUCCAAAAGCUCUCACAAGUUAGUCGAAGAUAAUCCAAUGGUCGUGUCACGCCCCGGGACCGAUACCAAUUUGGGCCGGCCUGAGCACGUCAAACAGACGCCGAACGGACAGAGUUUCCCCUAUCUGCCCAAGGCUCAUCACCUGUAUAUUUUCAAAUAAGAAGUGCACUAGCGGAAGCAUACACAAACGGCUUACACGAGGGUAAGCAAUAGCCAUGAGUGAAAGAAAGGAAAACUAACAUUCAUUUUGUAUUAUGAUUCACUUUAGAUCAUAUACAUUACAUCCAACUUCUACAUUUUUGAUUCUUUACAUUUCAUUACAACAUUUCAUCAUUUCCUUCGUACAUCACAUUUACCUCAAAAGAGAGCUUUACAUUCUUUUCUUUACAUCAUUAAUCAUCAAAUACAAAAGAUGAACAUAGGGUACUCUAUUAGUAAAAUGUAAACCAAACUCAAUUCUGGUGGCCUCUAUUUACUGUGCGAUACCUUUACCGCAGUCGCUGGCCGGCUCGCUCGGUCCCGGCUUUAUAGAAUAGUGGGGUGAGAACUACAACAAAGUUCCCAGUGGGUUUGGCCCCAAUCUCACCGACUUUUCCACUAGGACUAACUCAGGCAUAAUAGAAAGGAUAAGCAAAAUAUAGUAACCAAUCUAUAACAUGAUGCUAAUAUGCCUAAACAAUAAAGCAAGGAUUAUGCUCAACAUAAAACUCAUGCAGAUUAUGCAAGUUUCUUGUUCUUUCUCUUUACUCUUUGUUCCUUAUUCUUUAUUCUUUAUUCUUUAAUCUCACGGCUAACCCGGGGGUUUCGCCACAUUAACUUGCCCACAUUAAGUCCAUCAUCACGGGCCCUCAGCUGCCCCCGCUAAGACCGUCCUCGGGUUUACUCCAACCCGUGAUGCAAAACUCCGGAGCGCAUCGCCCGAGGUGGACCGACCGCCCUCGAGCACGGAACUCAUAGCAAGUAUGAUCGAUCCUUAACUCUAAGGAUGUAUCUCAUAAUAUUUUUAUUUAUUUUCACUUUUACAUUUAAAAUUCGGUAUGUUACAUUCCACCGCAACCUCACCGGAACUAUUUAAAUGUACACCGUAACUUCAUAGUUUUAGAUGUCUGAUACCUUACAACAUCGCUAUGGACUUCGUGGUCGGAUUACCCCAUUCGGCAGGUGGCCACGACGCGAUCUGGGUGAUUGUGGAUCGUAUGACCAAGUCGGCACACUUUCUACCGAUUCACACCACCUGGUCGGGCGAUAGAUUGGCGCAGGUGUAUCUCAAUAAGAUUGUGAGGUUACACGGGGUUCCGAAGUCGAUCGUGUCAGAUCGAGACCCCCGUUUUACUUCGCACUUUUGGAAAAACCUGCAAGAAGCACUUGGCACACGGCUCGAUUUCGGCACCGCAUUUCAUCCUCAGACAGAUGGACAGUCGGAAAGGACUAUACAGAUUCUGGAGGAUAUGUUGCGGGCGUGUGUCAUUGACUACAAGGGUAGUUGGGCAAACCAUUUGAGGAUGGCCGAGUUCGCCUACAAUAACAGUUAUCAAGCUAGCAUUGGGAUGGCACCGUUCGAGGUCCUAUAUGGACGGAAGUGCCGAUCCCCUAUAUGUUUGAGCGAUGUAGGUGAACCUGCGGCAUUAGGCCCCGAUGUAUUGCGGGAGGCUGAAGAGAAGGUCCGUCUCGCUAGCGAGAGGCUACUUACGACACAGUCGAGACAAAAGAGCUAUUCUGACAAACGCCGUAGAGACUUGAAAUUCGCGGUGGGCGACCGCGUUUUCUUGAAGGUUUCACCUAUGAGAGGUGUGAAACGCUUCGGAGUACGGGAAAAGCUAAGUCCCUGAUAUAUCGGGCCAUUCGAAGUGUUGGAACGUGUUGGAGCGGUAGCGUACCGACUUGCAUUACCACCGAAGCUCGCGGGGGUGCAUGAUGAAUUCCACGUUUCUAACCUUCGCAAGUAUGUUCCCGAUCCCGAGCAUGUUAUGUAUUACGAGCCGCCGGAUCUACAAGAGGAUUUGAGCUAUGAAGAGUUUUCGGCGAUGAUCAUUGCUCGAGAAGUGCGGAAGUUGAGGAACCGUGAGAUUCCCUACGUGAAGAUCCGUUGGACGGAUCACAACGAUCGUGAGGCUACAUGAGAACUCGAGGAAACGAUGAAAGUACAUUAUCCUCAUUUUUUUAUGGAAAUGCAAUGAGGUAUGAGUUAUUGAAUUCAUUUCGAGGACGAAACUCCUUUUUAGGAAAGGAGGAUGUAAGGAAGUAAAUUCUCGAAAUACGAGAAUUAGACUUCGUCCAGAAUCGACCAAGGGUCGUGUUGGUGAGCUUUGAAAAAGCCAAAGAUGUCAAAAUCACCAAAAGUGCAUUAGAAAUGAGUCCAUGAGAGCGAGUAGGGCAAAACCUGCACUGGAGCAAAAUUGCUCUCGGGGACCGGUCCCUGGCAGGGAGGGACCGGUCCCAUCGGCUGGUGGUUGCGGGGAUUCUUGAGGCAACCGGUCCCUGGCUGGGAGAGACCGGUCCUCGAACGUGACGCCAGCGAGAGAAAGCCAAAAUUGGCUAAGUCCCGAAGUCCCCACUCUCGGGAACCGGUCUCUCAGGAGGAACCAGCCUCCCGGGGACCGGUCUCUCUGGGAGAGACCGGUUCCCGAACGCGUGUGUGACGAAGUGAAUUCUCGAAAUACAAGAGUUAGACUUCAUGUAAAAUCGACCAAGGGUCGUGUUGGUAAGUUUUGGAAGAGCCAAAGAUGUUAAAAUCACCAAAGAUGCAUUGGAAACGAGUCCGCGAGAGCAAAUAGUGCGAAACUUGCACUGGAGCAAAACUGCUCUCGGGAACCGGUCCCGGGCUGGGAGGGACCGGUCCCAUUGGCUGGUGUUGCGGGAUUCCUUGAGGCAACCGGUCCCGGGCAGGGAGGGACCGGUCCCAUUGGCUGGUGUUGCGGGAUUGCUUGAGGCAGGGAGAGACCGGUUCCCGAACGUAAUCCCAGCGAGAAAAGCCAAAAAAUUGGCUAAGUCCUGAGAUCCCGGCUCUCGGGAACCGGUCUCUCAGGAAGAAACCGGUCUCCCGAGGACCGGUCUCUCUGGGAGAGACCGGUACCCGAACGCGUGACCCGAGCUGAAGCUCUCGGGGACCGGUCCCAAGUCGGGGAGACCGGUCCCUCCGCGCGCAGAAUGCCCAGUAAGGGCAGUGCACAGGGUGAAAAGUUGAGAGGGCCAGCUGGAUAUUGUUACAAUAAGAGGGCUUGUGGUCCCUCUCUCUUCCUCAGCCCCUCAUUUCCCUCUCUCCCUCACUCACACUCUCUCUCUCUCUAGAAGAAGAAAGAGAAAAAGAAGAAGAAGAAGAAAAGAAAAGGAAAAGAAGGAAGAAAAUGAAGGAGAAGAAGAAGGGGAUCAAGGAAAAGAAGCUUUUGGACUUCUCCCUCUUCCUCUUCUUUCUCUUUUGAGCUAACCUAGAGGUAAGCUUCUAACCCUAGCUUAUGAAAUUCAGGGUUUUUGGGUUUUAGCUCUUUGGAUGGGAUCAAAUGGAUCCCUAGCACCAUGAAUGGUAGGAUUGAAGCUAGAACCUAGGGUUUUGAGAUGGGUUUAGCUUAAUGCUAACCCUAGGGCACCAAAAUAGGGUUUUUGGUAAAGUAUGGGAUUGAUCUCAUUUGAGGCCUUGUAAACCUAAUUGCUAGGUAACGAAACGCCGGGGCGAAGUCAGUAAUUUCGAUUCGUCGAACGGGUCAAGAGCUAUCUACAAAAUAAGGCCGAUUUAGCAUCAUUUGGACUAAGAAGACCAAGGCUUCGCCGUAAAGGACGCUGAAGCACAUUUCUAGAGCCUCCGUAUACACGAAAGGUGGGGGGUGUCGUUCCGGAACAUCCGGGUUUCCUUUUAUGUCUGAGUUAACUAUAUUGAUCAUAUUGUGCUAUAGGAAUAGUAGUUGUACAUUUCCAUUCCUUGCAUGCUUCUUGGUAGUGUAGCGGGGUGAGCUUGACACGUGGACUAGGAUAGCAUGAGGAUUGGGUCUUGUGACAUAGAAUCCUAUAGCGGCAUAAAGAGCCGAACUUGGACAUAUGAUAGCCUAGUAGAGUGGCAUUGAACUAGUGUAGUAGAGACACUAAACUUGAACGAGUGGCAUGUCAAUUAGUAGGAAACUUACUACAAUGAUCGAACGAGUGGCAUUGAGUCCAGUAUAGUAAACUUGACAUGAACCUAGGGAUAGUAGAGGUCCCAACCUUGAUUAUAUAUCAUGACUGUGCAGCAGAGGCACAUUGACCCUAGUAGACAGGGUAUCCUCUUGUGAGGAUUGGAUCAUACUCACUAGUUUGUUUUGCUUGUCGGUGGUCACUCCACCGAAGCACGAGUCUCCGGAGUACUUCACUAGGGGCAGACGUAGUUGUCCCGCAGACGGUCUCGGUGUGCGAGUGCAGUUUCUCCUCACCCAUGAGAUUGAGAGUGAGUCGAGGGUUAACCUACGGGUCAACCAAGUAGAUUGGGUAAUAAACAUGAAAUGCAUAGUAGACUUGCAUUAUUACCUUGAGUAGACAUAGUGUAUGUUGUAGAUUACAUUGCUAUGCAUCUUUAUAUACUCAUGACAUGAUUCUAGCAUGUUAGUAGUUGUUGCAUGCAUUAUCAUCAUCGAUGGCAUGAUAGAGUAGUUACAGUUUACCUCUUUAUAUAUCUAUCUAUCUCUCUAUCUGUGCCAGCUUAGACCUAGUGGAAAAACCGGCGGCGUCGGCGGCCGAACCCACUGGGAACUAUAUUUAUAUAGUUCUCACCCCGUGCGGUUUUGGGGUACAGGUACACACAGAGGCGAGCCGAGCGAGGAUCGCGGCAAGGGCAUAGCGCCCUAAGUAAGCAUAGUUAGUAGCUUUCCUUUAUGCAUUAGAGUUCCCUCGUGUAUUAGAUGUUUUGGAUAGAUAUUGGAAAACCAUGGUGUAUUUUGAGAACAUAUAUUUACAUUUGGUAGAUGGAAAUGUAAUAUAUUCAAAUGAUGUAAAUGUUGAAUGGUUGUAUUAGUUAGAUGUACUCUCUUUAUACACUUGUAUUUCACUCGUGGUUCUUGCUCUUAGCUAUUGUACACUCGUGUGCAUCGUAUCGAUCAUGUAUGUUAUUUAAGCAUUCCCUGGGCACUUAACUGUACAUGAUCAGGUUGUUUGGCCUUAGGCGGAUAUGAGAGGUGCUGUCCGUUCGGCGUCUCUUCGACGUGCCCAAACCGGACCAAAUUGGUAGAGGUUUCGGGGCGUGACAGCGUGACCCGGACUAAGGCUCUCGGGGAGCGGUCCCAGGUCGGGGAGACCGGUCCCUCUGGGCGAAAAAUGCCCAAUAAGGGCAAUGCACAGAGAUGAAAGUUGAGGGGUUUGUUUGGAUAUUGUUACAUUAGAGGGGUAUGUAGGCCCCCUCUCUCUCUCCAACCCUCAUUUUUCCCUCACUCUCUCACACUCUUUUCUCUCCUUCUCUCUCUCUCUAGAAAGAAAAGAGAAGGAAGGAGAAAAAGAAGGAAGAAGAAGAAGGAGAAGAAAAGAAGAAAGAAAAGGAAGGAGAAGAAGAAGGAGAUCAAGCUAAGAAGGCUUUGGACCUCUCCCUCUUCCUCUCUUCUCAUUUGGAAGCUACAACAAGAGGUAGGCUUCUAACCCUAGUUGUGGAAUUUAGGGUUUUUGGGUUUUAGCUCUUUGGAUAGGAUCAAAUGGAUCCCUAGCACCAUGAAUGGUGGGAUUGGAGCUAGAAUCUAGGGUUUUGAGAUGGGUUUAGCUUGAUGCUAUCCCUAGGGCUCCAAAAUAGAAUUUUUGGUAAAGUAUGAGAUUUAUCUCAUUUGAGACCAUGUAAACCUAAUUGCUAGGUGUCUAAACGCGGGGGCGAAGUUGGAUUUUUGAUUCGUCAAGCGGAAGAAAAGAUAUCGGCAAAAUAAGGCCAACCAAACUUCGUUUCGACCUAAGGAAGCCGAGAGGCCAUUGUAACGUCCGUUGGGGGGCAUUUAUAGAGCCUCCAUACCCUCAAGAGGUGAGGGGUGUCAUCCCGAAGCAUCCGGAUUUCUUUUUAUGUCUAAAUUAUAUAUACAUUGAUAAUAUUGCAUUAUAGGAUUAAUAGAUAUUUUUUUUUUUCCUUGCAUGCUUCUUAGUAGUGUAACUUAUGAGUCGAACACAUGGACUAGGGUAGCAUGAGGAUUAGGUCUUGUGACAAGGAAAUCCUAUGAUGGCAUAAAGAGCCGAACUUGGAUAUAUGAUAGCCUAGUAGAGUGGCAUUGAACUAGUGUAGUAGAAACACUAAACAUGAACGAGUGGCAUGUCAAUUAGUUACAGAACAUUACUACGAUGAUCGAACGAGUGGCAUCGAGUCUAGUGCAGUAAAAAUGACAUGGUUCUUAGGAUAGUAGAGAUCCCAGCAUCUAGGAUGCAUUGUAUAUUGUGCAGCAGAGGCACGUUGACUCUUGUAGAUAGGGUAUCCUCUUGUGAGGAUUGGAUCAUACUCACUAGUCUGUUUUCGCUGUCGGUGGUCGCUCCACCGUAGCACGAGUCUUCGGAGUACUUCACUAGGGGCAGACGUAGUUGUCCCGCAGACGGUCUCGGUAUGCCAGUGCAGCUUCUCCUCACCUAUGAGAUUGAGAGUUAGUCGAGGGUUUAACCUACGGGUUAGCCAAGUAGAUUGGAUAAUAAACAUGAAAUGCAUAGUAGAUUUGCAUUAUUACCUUGAGUAGACAUAGUGCAUGUUGUAGUUUGCAUUGCUAUAUACUUUUCUAUACUCAUAACAUGAUACUAGCAUGAUAGUAGUUGUUGCAUGCAUUGUUAUCAUUGGUGGCAUGAUAGAGUAGCCGCAAUUCAUUUCUCUAUAUAUCUAUCUAUCUCUCUAUCUGUGCCAGCUUAGACCUAGUGGGAAAACCGGCGGAGUCGGCGGCCGAACCCACUGGGAACUAUAUUUAUAUAGUUCUCACCCCAUGUGGUUUUGGGGUACAGGUACAUACAGGGGCGAGCNUUUCCUAUUGUAUUUACUUUAUGUCUUAUUUAGUGGAUUUACAGUUUAUCCUCAUCCUUGGUUGUAGCAUUUAGACAUUUAUUAAGCUCUGAUACUCCUAGAUGUCUUUUAUUAUUGCUUUUAUUAUUGUUAUUUUUAGACGCCUUAUAUGUUGUAGACAUAUGGCGGGUCUGGGCACGCGCCGGGCGGGCUUCCGCUGUGCCCCGGGGCGUGACAGGGUGGGGGCAUGACAAUCGAUACCACUGUAGGGGGCGCAGGAUGCUCAGCCUCCACUUGUGCCGCCGCCGUCUGCUGCCGCUCCAAGGCCUCCUGGAGCCUUUGGAUUUGCUCCCCUUGGCGUUGAACGGACUCCGUUUGUUGCCGCACUACGCCAAUAAGCGCGGCCAUCUGCUCCCGAAGCUCCCCGUCGCCACCUACUCUGGGUUGCACGGGAGCCGCACUUGGCUCCUCGGCCAUAGACCUCGUUCGCGGUGGACCACGAGGCAUCCUAGGUUGUCCACAAGGUGGCAUUGCUUCCUGAACUGAAGCAAUUCACAUUAGUUACUCGCUACUAUACUCGAACAUACCCAAUUCGGCGAAAGCAACAAGUGUAUUUAUUUUCCUUCCAAAGCAUCAUGUCGUCGGCCGCCGAUCACAACACAUGGAAAAGAAAACAAAUAUCAUCUUAGAUUUAGUCCCUAACCACACUAGAGACAUAUUAACAUUAACUCAAUCAUAAGCUUUCGCUAUAGUUUGAUUCCACGUCGCUCACGUUUCUUAGAUCCUUAAGGUUUUCCAUUCCUAAGGGUCUCUAGGUCCAUCCUAUACUUUCACUUUUUCGCUCUUUAGUCUCUGAUACCAUUAUGUAUGUCACGCCCCGCGCCCGAUCCUUUUGGCCGGUUCGAGGGCGUCGAACAGAUGCCAAAUGGACAGAGCCUCCUCUGUUCGCCCAAGGCUCAACAACAGGUACUGAUAGAGUAUAAAAUUUGCACUUGCGGAAGCAUACAUAAUGGCUUGCACGAGGGCAAGCAAUAGCCAAAGUGAAAGGACUAACUAAACAAGUAAACAAGUAAUAUGAUUAACUUUAAAUCACAUACAUGUGUUCUACUUCAGAUUCUUUUACAACCUUUGCAUCAUUUCUUUUUACAUCGCAAGUUCUCCAAAAUAUGCCUUUGCACGAAGACCCGGGUGGUGCGACCACCACAAGUAUGAACAGACUGUGAGUAUGAUCAAUCCUCUCAACUCGAGGAUACCCUACUGGCUAGGGCUACAAGUCACUCGGGAAUCCACCUAUCCCAAAGCCCAAAUAUGAAUGUUUGGCUAUAUUAUGUUCUUGUCCAACGAGCCAUUUACUAGGGAAUCCACCUAUCCCUAUGUUCACAUGCCACUAGUGUCAUUUACACUAAGUUACAUGCCACUCGUUCUUGUUUGAUUAACAGUCAAUACCACUCAUUACGUCUUUAACAAUCAUCGAGUUCAUCUCUUUUCUCAGCAUAAUAGAAUUCAAUGUCAAGACCCAAUCCUCAUCUAACCAUCAUCAUGCAUUCAACGCAUACAUUGAUAUCUUUAGCAACAAUAAGGAAUGGAAUAACAUGCAAUCCUACAAUGCAACAUCCAAGAGAUGCAGAUUAUGAAGUACUAAGACAUAGAGAGGAACCCGGUUGCUUCGGGAUGACACCACCCACCUUUCGACGAUGUCACGCCCCGGGACCGGCGGAGGCCCUCCCGGUAGCGUGCCCAGACCCGCCAUAUGUCUACACAUAUAAGGCGUCUACAAUAAAAGCGGAAGUAAAAGCAAGUAAUAAAACAAUAGAAGAAGUGAAAUAACUAACAACUAAUGAUAUCAGAGCAAAUAUAGUUCUAACAUCUACACCAAGGUAAAGAAGUAAAGCUAGUCAAUAAAGGGGGUCAUAAGUAGUACAGAAACGGUGGUCUCUAAUACACUGGUAGAACUCUCAACCUCUCGCAAAAAGAAAUAAAAAAAUCGAGAGGCAGACCACCUAGCAACUCGUCCUCGAAGGAAGCUAGCUCGAAGCAACUCCCUUCCCGCGAUCCCUGNCUCGGUAUGCCAGUGCAGCUUCUCCUCACCUAUGAGAUUGAGAGUUAGUCGAGGGUUUAACCUACGGGUUAGCCAAGUAGAUUGGAUAAUAAACAUGAAAUGCAUAGUAGAUUUGCAUUAUUACCUUGAGUAGACAUAGUGCAUGUUGUAGUUUGCAUUGCUAUAUACUUUUCUAUACUCAUAACAUGAUACUAGCAUGAUAGUAGUUGUUGCAUGCAUUGUUAUCAUUGGUGGCAUGAUAGAGUAGCCGCAAUUCAUUUCUCUAUAUAUCUAUCUAUCUCUCUAUCUGUGCCAGCUUAGACCUAGUGGGAAAACCGGCGGAGUCGGCGGCCGAACCCACUGGGAACUAUAUUUAUAUAGUUCUCACCCCAUGUGGUUUUGGGGUACAGGUACAUACAGGGGCGAGCGGAGCGAGGAUCGCAGCAAGGGCAUAGCGCCCUAAGUGAGCUUAGUUAGUAGCUUUUCCUUUAUGCAUUAGAGUACCCUCGUGUACUAGGAGAUGUUUGGAUUGUUAUCGAAGAGCUACUUGUAUUUUGGAGAAAAACAUGUAUUUACAUUUUGGAAGAUAAAAAAUGUAAUAUAACUAACUUAUGUAAAUGUUGAAUGGUUGUAAUGGCUAGACUUAUCUCUCUUUAUACAUUUGUACUUAUACUUGUGGUUCUUGCACUUAGCUGAAUUGCACUUGUGUGCAUCGUAUUGAUCAUGUAUGUUAUUUAAGCAUUUCCUGGGCGCUUAAUUGUACUUGAUCAGGUUGUUGGGCCUUGGGCGAGCAGGGGAGGUCCUGUCCGUUCGGCGUCCGUCCGCCGCGCCCGAACCGGGCCAAAUUGGUAGCGGUCUCGGGGUGUGUAGCACACUAGACCUUUGCAAAUUGCGAGGUUCGAGUGUUCGAUGUGUAUUCCGAACUCUUCCACACUUGGUGGAGGGCCGUCGAUGGUGUAUCGGCCUAAAAGUUCGNGAAACAUGAAACCAAAUCUCAUAUAGAAUGCUAAAUGCAACCAACUCUCUCUCAAGCAACUCUCUACUACAUAGAGGUCCGAAAUUUCAUUACAUAUAACGUGGGCAUUUUAAGCACUCUAAAAUUCAUAAUAAAUACACUUGAUAUGAAAAUGCAUGAGUUAUUGGUAAACAAAGCACUUAUCACCAAAUAUGAGAUCUUCUCAUAUCAAGGCUAGGUCAAACCCACCAAAAUCGAAACUUUCGUUUCGCCGAACGGAGAUUUCCACAAGCUUCCUAGCACCCUAGGAACAUCAAACAUGGUGUCAUCCCAUCGAUACGAAGAGCAAUAAGCUCAAUCUUUAACAUAGAAGCAAAAAGGCCAAAACUCACCUCAAGAGUAGAAAUCUUCUUCUAAGCUCCAAAACAGAGCUAGAACCCUUCCAAUCCAAGUCCUAGGAAGGUUCUAAACCAACCAAUCAAGCCUCAAAAGCCCUAGGUUCAAAAAGCCCAAAAAUAAACCCUAAGUCUCAAAACUAGGGUUUCAUCUCAAAGGAAGUUCUAAAAUCCAAGACUAGAGGAAAGGAUCUUGCCACUUACCUCUUAGAAGCCUCAAAACCAGCUCAAAGUCCUCAAACUUCAAGUAUCUUCCCUCAAUCAAACUCCAAACCCAAGCCCCAAGCUUCAAAAAUGGUGGAAAUAGCUCCAAAAGGCAAAAGAGAGGGAAAAACCAUCAAAAUCCAAGCUAGAAUGAGAUCAAAACCAAAAAGGGGUGAAGGGGAGAGGUGCCCUACCUGAUUCCCCACUCUUCUCAGCUCAGGAGAGAGCCCUAGGGGCGUGGGUGCUGAUAUAAGAAGCCCACAAUUGCGAAAAACCCCCUGCAGUUCAAACUGCUCAGAAUCUGCACUGCGUACCGGUACACGGGCCCGCGUACCGGUACGCCUCCUACGAAAAUGCCCAGCCCAAGCCUCGGGUCGGCUGAGAAUAGGCUGAAAAUCGGCUGAUAAUCGGCUGAAAAUCGGCUGAUAAUCGGCUGAAAAUCGGCUGAUGUCGAUGGCUGUACCGGUACAGCCGUCACUCCCGUACCGGUACACAGUCCUCCGAAUGCAACCCGAGAGCUAUCCAAAAAUCUGAUUUUUCGGGUUUUCGUGCUCGGCUUUAAACCUCACUUCUCGGGAUGCGAGCCAUAGGUCGGAACACUGUCAACGACCCACCAGAAAAUCUGGAAAAACUCGGGACACUGUCCAAACACUCGAACCUCGCAAUUUGCAAAGGUCCAGUGCGCCACAGACGAGGUCGGAGUGCAAAGACACUAUUUGGCACUUGCUUCAACGUCGCUUCGACCUCCUAGAUAGAAACGAAGCUCGAUCGGUCUUAUUUUGCCGAUAACUUUUUACCGACUCGACAAAUGCUCAAUUCGGCUUCACCAACGCGUUUAGACACCUAUCAAUUAAGUUUAGAUUCCAUCAAUUGAGAUCAAACCUGUAAUAUACCAGAAAUUCAAAAAAUAAAUGUCGAACUUUAGUCAAAUUGACCAGAGUGCGAGGUUGGUACCCUUCGGAAAGUUCGAAGGUGUUAAAAUGAGUAAAAUAGUAUUGUGGGAGGUUUUCGAGAGCUAAAGAAUCAAAAAUCUUCAUUCUGCAGGUUUUGAGCUCUCUGGGACCAGUCCCUUGUGGGAGAGACCGGUUCCCGAACGCGUGAGAAAUGAGAAAGCUGAAAAAUCGACUAAGUCCCAGAAAACCAGCUCUCGGAAACUGGUCCCUGCGGGGAGAGACCGGUCCCUCUGGGAGAGACUGGUUGCAUCGCGCGGGGGCCCUGGCUGCCCACGGGGAGAGCUCUCUCGGACCGGUCCCAGGUCGGGAAGAUCGGUCCCCGAGCACGAAAAUGGCCCAGUCCAGGCAGCGUAAUAAGAUAAAAGUUGAGGGGCUUAUUUGCAUUUAUGCAAUAUAUGGGUUAUGUUAUGAGAGGUUAUGGGAUAUUUCUCUCAUUCCCUCCCUCUCAUAUAAUCUCUCCUCUCUUUCUCUCUCUAGAAGACAAGAAGGAGAAGAAGAAGGAAAUAAAGGAAAGGAAAGAAAGAGAAGAACAAGAAGACAAAGGUGGAGAAGAAUACCAAGGAGUGGAGCAACUCCUUCUUCUUCCUCUUUGGAGCAAAGAAGGGAAAGCUUUGAGGUAAGCUUUGACCCAUUUCAUGGUAAAACCCUAAAAUGAGAACCAAAUUAACCUAGGAAUGAUUUUGGUAGAGCCUCUUGGGUAUUACAAGCUUUCUUAUGCUUACUAAUGAGAUCAAAACCAUGGAUUGGGUGUAGGUGGUGAAGCUUAGAGGUAAUGUCACGCCCUGGGACCCAGCGGAAGCCCGUCCGGCGCGUGCCCAGAUGUGACGCACUGGACCUUUGCAAAUUGCGAGGUUCGAGUGUUUGAUCUGUGUGACGAGCCAUCUCAGACUUUCUGAAGGGUCGUAGGCAGUGUUCCGACCCAUGGUUCGAGUCCCGAGGAUUGUGGAUUGGAGCGGUGUACCAAAAUCCAAAAAGUUGGAUUUUUGGUUAGCUCUCGGGUUGCCUUCAGCGGGCUGCGUACCGGUACGGGUUCGCUUGCUGUACCGGUACNAAGGCCCAAAGCUACAAAGAAAGUGGUCAGUAGCUAUAAAAGUAAUAAAGCGAAAGGUAAGUAAAAGUGUAACUUACUAUAACCAGAUGUCUCUACUUAGCAUGAUAGGCAUAAGAAUAAGCAACUAUAAUAUAAAUGUACAUGGAUGUGUAUACAUGAAUACCCAUAGGUAUGCAAUCAAUACGAUGUCCUCAAUGCAAUUAGUAAAGAUGUCAUUGUUUACUAUUCUAGUCGAUGCCCAGUCAAUAUACUAAGUCAUCAUCUGUCCACAUGUCAUAGUGAAUACUCAAAGUCAAAUCUGAAGAGACCCACCCGAAGGUUGUCUAUGGCCCUGAGACCCACCCGUAGGCUGUCUGGCCGAUGCCGAGCCUAGUGGCCCUGUGGUAGUCAUCAUCUCCACCCUAGGAAUGAGCCUAGCCCACGGCAAUUCACUUCGGCACCCAAUCCCGAACGGCGAAUAUAAAUCGCGAUGGCCAUCUCCGGAGUGCCGGCUUGUAGGGAGCGACCCUCACAAGCAUGUGCGAAUGAGCACAAUGGCAAGUAGUCAUAUGUCCUGUCACAAGUACCAAGUCCUCAUGUCUAGCUAAUAACAUGGAAUGUAUCGAAUGUCCCAAAGGCCUAUCUCUAUGUCAUCAUGUCUCUAACAUGGAAUAUAUAGUAGAUGUACAAUGGCCUAACAUUAUGUCUCUAUGUUGCGGUUUCAUAGUUUACUAGUUUCAAGUGCCUCUUGAUGACCCUUCAUGCUACUAAGUCCAAACAUAGUAUAAUGUUUCCAAUACGCGAAUAUGAGCUAAUUCAGCAUACAAGACGAGAAUCCCAUUGGUCCAUAUGAACACUCCUCACAUGCAUGAAAAUAACCCUGAUUACUCUACUGUAUAGAGUGAAAUUUAACUUACACAUAAGGCAUGCAUUUUAAGUGUUGUAAAAUUCAAAUAAAUUUCAAUUAGCAUAGAAAUGCAUUCAAAAAUAUAUUACAACAAGUAUAGAGAAUAUAGGGGCCAUUUUGCCUCUUUUCCACGAAGCCAAACCCACCGAUUUUUCGAACUCUUCGUUUCGCCGAACGAAAGUGUCCACUAGCCUCCUAGUACCCUAAGGAUGUAGGAACAAGUGUUAUCCAAACGAAACGAACAACAGAUUGCUCAAUCAUUAACCAUUCCGGGCUAGGGUUGAAGAAAACUCACCGAUUGCGAAGGAAGCUCUCUCGAUCUCAAAAGGGAAGUUAGAGUCCUUCCAAUCUAACCUAAACAAAGAUUCUAAACCCAUCAAUUAGGUUUCAAAGCCCUUAAAUCAAAAAUCCCCAUUUCUAGCCCUAGAAUCCAAAAUCUAGGGUUUCGAUCAAAAGAACCAUCAAAACAUGUACCAAAAGGGAAAUACAUGUUACUAACCUCUCUAGAAGCUCCAAACUAGGCUCCAAUCCAAAUGGGGUUGAAGAUCCUCCCUCCACAAAGCUCCAAUCCCGAGCUCAAGGCUUCUCUCAUGGAGGAAACCCAAAAAGAAGCAAGAAAAGCAAGGAGGAGGAGAUCAAAACCUACCAAAAUCCAUCAAAAAUGGAAAAAAUGGAAAGAAAACUCAAAGAGGGAGAGUCUCACCUUGUCUCCACAGAACUAGGGCUCAAAACCCUGUCUAAGGGGGCUGGGGUCACUUAUAUAGGGGUUGCAACAAUUGCAAAAAUACCCCUCCACGAAAACAGCCCACUCUGCACUGUGUACCGGUACACGGGUUUGUGUACCGGUACACCACCCACGAAAAGCCAAACUCGAGCCUCAGGUUUGCUGGGAAAUAGCCUAUGUACCGGUACACAGGCCCGCGUACCGGUACAACCAUCACCGCGUACCGGUACAGCCAUCAAGUCUGUACCGGUACACUGCCCUCUGAAAGCUAACCGAGAGCUAACCAAAAAUCUAACUUUUUGGAUUUUGGUGCACAGCUUAAAACCUCCAUUCUCGGAACUCGAACCAUAGGUCGGAACACUGUCGACGACCUACCAGAAUGUUUGGAAAAGCCCAGAACACAAUCAAUCACUCGAACCUUGCAAUUUGCAAAGGUCCAGUGCAUUACAGGUAAGCUUCCUCCCCUCUCAUGGUAGAACCCAAACUAGGGUUUGGAUUGAGCUAAUAAUGGUUUCUAUAGAACCUUAGAGUAAUUGAAGCUCUCUUUUGCUUCCUAAUGAGAUCAAACCCUAGGUUUUGUAUAUGUGUUGGAGCUAGGGCACCCAAAUUGGGGCUUUUGCUUGUGAGGGUUCCAAAGUGAAAUUGACCAUCUAGAAACCUAAUUUGGGGUAUUUUCGAUGCGUUUGUGCGCUCGGUUUAACGUUACGAAAAGCCUAUGUAAAGUUAUGAGCGAAGUGGCCUAAUAUGGCUUCGUUUUGCUGCAGGUAGCGAACUAGGUGGCUAAAAAUCCCGAGAAAUUCACAGUAACACCUAAGAAAGCCUACGAGGUGGGUGGUGCUCUCCAAACUUGUUGGAAUUACCUUUAUGUCUAAUGUGUCACUUCUUGAGCAUACUUAUGUACAUUGUUGCAUGCAUAAUUAGGGUAAUGAGAUUAUAAAUAUGUGAAUGUUUGCAUUUUGUGAGUUUAAGUGCAUCAUGAGAUGGUCGAGGACCAAUGAGAAUGUAAUAACUCUAUAUGUGCAUGUAAAAGAGAUAAGAACUAAGUAAAGUUAAAGAACAAGUGACAUAUGACAUGAAGACAAUGAAAUGUGAGAAUGAAAGCUAGAGUUAGCAUAAAGAUUGACGUAAAGAACACUAGAGCUAGUGUGUGGCAUCAGAGAGAACAAAAUGUGGUAUAAAGAAAGAUAAAAGCUAGAGUUAGCAAAUGUGUGGCAUUAAAGAAUGAUAAUUAUUAGAGUUAGUAACAAAAUGUGGCAUAAAGAACAAUGGCUAAAGAUAGCAUUAAAUGUGUGGCAAAGAACACUAGAGUUAGUGUAAAAACAUGAUGAAAGUAAAGAAUGCAAAGAAUACUAGAGUUAGUGUAGUGACAUGGUCAAAGUAAAGAAUGCAAAGAACAUGAGAUUGACACAAUGACAUUCAACCUUAAAGCUAAGGGCCAUUUGUGCAAAAUUUCUUAGAGUUAAGGAACAGAUUGAACUGAACAUCCUUAGAGUUAAGGAUUGAUCAUACUCGCUAUAAGUCCUUAUUCGAGGGCGGUAGCUCUCCCUCGGGCGAUGCGUUCCGGAGUUUGUCAUCACUGGGUUGGUGCUGUUCCCCAGAGGACGGUCCUAGCGGGAGAAAGCUGAGGGCCUGCGAUCAUGGAUUUUGAGUUGGUGAGUUAAUGAGGCGAUACCCCCGGAUUAGCCUUGAGAUUGAACGAAAGAAUAAAGAACAAAGAACAAAGACCAUGCAUUCUUCAUGAGUUAGAUUGAGCAUCAUUUUUUAUCGCAUUAUUCAAGCAUAUUAGUUACAUUUGUAUAGUUUGCUACUUUUCAGCUUAUUCUUUCUAUUAUGCCUGAGUUAGACCUAGUGGGAAAGUCAGUAAGAUUGGGGCCGAACCCACUAGGAACUUCGUUGUAGUUCUCACCCCACUUUUUCCACAGAGCCGGGACCGAGCAAGCCGACGAGCGACUGCGGUAAAGGUAUCGCGCCAUAGUCAGUGACUACCCGAGUUGGGUUUGCAUUUUGUAGUAGCAUUUCCCCUACUUCAUCUUUGUAUUUGAUGAAUUGAGAUGUAAAAGAAAAGAAUGUAAUAUUUAUCUCGAGGAGAAUGUGAUGUAAAAAGAAAUGAUGAAAAGUAUGUAAAGAACUAUGAAUGUACAAGUUAAAUGCAAUGUAUGUGAUCACAAGAGAAUCAUAGUACUUGUGUAGAUGUUUAGUUUCCUUUCUUUCACUCAUGACUAUUGCUUACCCUCGUGUAAGCCGUUUGUGUAUGUUUCCACUAGUACUUUUCUCUACUUGAAAAUGUACAGGUGAUAAGCCUUGGGCGAGCAGGAGAAACUCUGUCCGUUCGGCAUCUGUUUGACGUGCUCGGGCCGGCCGAAAUUGGUAUCGGUUUCGGAGCAUGACAGAUAUUGUGAUAUCAGAGCCAAAGUGAAAGAAUAAGAAUGGACCUACAGACCCUUAGGACUGGCAAGGACUUAAGGAUCUAGGAAACGUGAGUGAUAUGGAAUUAAAGUUAGCGAAAGCAUGCAAUUGGGUGAAGUUGUUUUGCCUUACAAUACUCACUGUUUUUAGUGCACGCACUGGUGACGGGGUUAAUCGGAUGGCAUUGUCCCAAUGCCUCUCUGAAUGGGGUGGGUAUAAGGUGACUGAAAUGAGCUACAGGAUGGGCAUAGCGUAGAAGAUUUCAAACUUGUCACGGGUUUCUAGCGGAUUUGUAUUUAAAGAUUGGCACCCAUCUCAAAUCAAUCCCAUUCUGAUAACUUUGUUAAUAUAUGUAGUGUUGAUAAAAUUAAAUUUUAAUAUCCAAAACAAAAUGCUAAAAUCACACCGAUUUUUACAUAUCUUUUUAUAAAAAAAUUUAUGUUGCAAUUAUUAGGAUCUAAUCUCUGUCUUGUUUUACGAAUUCCUUAACCAAUUAUUAGAGUCCAUCGCAGCACAUGGCCCAAAUUCUUAGGGUUUCUGAUAGUGUCCAAAAGCGAACCCAAGAGAGAAAAUUUUAUGGAAAGAUUAUAUUAAUUUUUCUUGCAUCUUGUAUGUGGCCAAUAUCUCAUAUAUUUAUAGGUCAUAAAAAAGACGUUAAUCCUAAUCCUAUUCUAACUGAAUCUCAUAUAGAUAGAAAUUUGAACAGAUUAGAAUCUAUCUCUUAAAUUUAUUCCUUUAUCCCAUAUGGAUUAGGAAUAUUUUAGAUAUGUUUUAAUAUUUAUUUCUUAUCCCAUAUGGAUUAGAAAUAUUUUAAAUAAAUCCAAAUGUGGACGAAUUCCAAUAUGUAUAAUAUUUAGUAUUGUUAACCUAUUAUAUAUGAAUUAGUUGCUUUGUAGUUGAAGUGCGAUAACCUUUAAACGGGUUAGGUGGUAUGAGACCAAAACUUUCAGAACAGGGUUUGGAACUAGAAGGGCAACUUUCAACUCGACGGCGUGUGGAUCUCGGUCUGGGUCUGGGUCUGGGUCUGGGGCCCCAUUUAUCUUUGGCCGGCACAGAAAUAAGCUGCUCGACGGGAUCCUCUCGAGAUGCAUAAAAUCAAACAACUGAAAUUAAAUGUUUACCUUAUAGCCGGGAGAUGACACGUUUGAAUCUUUCUUAAGAUUAUGACUACUUCCCGUUAUGGAUUUGCAAUAUUAUCAUCGCCCAGCCCAAAUUAAAGUUUGGUUGAGACUUACAAUAUAUACUAGUAAGGGUACAUUUGGUUUCCUAAGAGUGGUUAAAAUAAAAAAAUUAUUAUUUUUAUAAAAGUGACUAUUAUAAAAAUAACUUUGAAUUAUAUUAUUUGGUUGGGUGCAAAGUCAAAAUAAAAAAUUAUAGUUUUGUGGUUUUGAUUAUUUAAUUAUAAAUAAAGGGGAGAAAAAUAUAAACAAACAACUGAUACUUGUAAUUUAAAUUUAAAUCUAAAUCUAAAUUUGAAUGCAAAGUUAAAUUUUAAAUUUUAAAUUUUAAUUUAAAUUUAAAUAUGAGUUAAAUUUAUAAUUAAAAUUGAAGGCAUACAAUUAAAUUUGUAAUUUGAAUUGAAAAUUUACGUUAUAACUCAUAACUGAAAUUAAAUUUUAAAAUUAAAUUUCAACUAAUAAAUUUAAAAUUGGAAUUCAAGUUUCGAUAGAUAAUUUGAACUUAGUAGUUCGAAAUAAUUUGAAUUCGAAGUUCAAAUUGAAAUUUUUUGGCUAUAAAUACUUUGAAUAGAAUUUAAAUUUGAAUAUUUUUAUUUAAAUUUAAAUUUAAAUUUUCAAACUACAAUUUAAAUUUGAAUAAUAAUUUAAAUUUAAGCCUUAAAUUUAAAAAUAAAUUUGGAAAUUUGAAUAUAAAAAUUGUGUUAAUUUUGAAGCUACAAAUAAAAUUCAAAAUGUGAAAUUAAAUUCAUGAUUUUAAAUCAGAUUUAAAGUGGAAAUUCAACUCUAAAAAUAAAUCCAAAUAUUAAAAUUAAGAGCUCUCCAUUUCCGUGUAACCAAGUAUGCCCUAACAAGCAAAAGGAACCAAGUCAAAAACAAAUAACAUUGUAGCAUAAGCUGAGGGAUUUAGGGCCCCUCGGAAUUGGGCGAAGAAUGCAUUAUGUGGUUAAGGAAAAGUACAAUUGUUUCCACAAGUUAUAACGACGCCGUGCAAAUUGCAGUGGUUCAGCACGCGAUAUUAUACCAUACCACGUCAGCAUUAAUAAAUUAUACUUUGCAGUGGUUCGGCAUACGAUAUAAUCAGCAUAUUUCUUAAUAAUUAUACUACGUGGCACUAAUUGCGGCAAUUCAGUAGAAGAUAUUUUUUUCUUCGAUCCUGUUCACAAAAAGAGAAAAGUUUACCUCUACGGACUACACUGAAAACUCCUUUUUGGUCCAACAGCAUCAGGCACGCAUGCAUGCAUAAUUAGAAUAGAUUUUGGCUGACCGUGAAAAUACCUACGCUAGCCCCUCAAUGUUGGCAUAGAGGCCACCUGACAAUAGUACUUAGAUCCAACUUUAUGCGUAAAUGAGAUGUUAGCAGCAGAUCUAACGACGAAAAAUAAGCCUCCCACAAUCUCACACUCAAGUGCCACAGGUAUUAUUACACAAUAUUUUCUUCACAAUCAUUCACAGAAAACACCAAAGCCGCUAUCUCUUGGGGAUCAUCUAAUGUACAAAAUUAGAUGAUAUAUUAUCUCAAAAGCACAUCUUAGGGUAUGUGCCAAUCUUCAAGGCAGUCAUACAUUUAGAUAACUGUCAAAUAUUCACGUAAGUUCCCAAGAAGAUGACGAGUAUAUAAAACCCUAAAGUAGCUGUUACACAUUUACAAAAGGUGUAUCUAUGGUAAUACACUAGACGGACAUUUAUGAAAGCACAUCUAGCGUAACCCCAUGGUGAUAAUAAGUAUAGACUUUUCACAACAGACGAGACCAGACUGUACUUAAACACUUGCAGUAUCCAGCAAAAUCCAAGUUUGGGCUGAAAAAAUCUUGUUUAACAAAUCCUUCAUAAGACGCAUCUCAAAUUAUGCGACAAAAAAGAGGAUCAGCUUUGUAUAGAAGUAAAAAAUAUGGAUCUUAUGACUUGUUUUCGGAGUUGGAUUCUGACUGCAGCCUCUGGUGAAUUUGAUUGCGCAAGAUACUCAUAUAUUCCUAGAAGAGCAAAAAAAUUGACGGGAUGUAAUAUAGAAUUUAGAGGCAUCAAACAAAAUGCAACAAGAAUUAUUCUUUAAUCACUUCAAAUACUGUUAAAAAAUAAAAACUAUAUGCAUGAAAAAGAUUCGAUACUCAUUUGUUGGUGAGCAGCGCCCACAGAUGUCAAAAUCAAUAAUAAAACGAGACAAGAUGUCCUACUAUCAUAACAUAUGCGUUCUAGGAACAACAGUUGCUACCUCGGCAAAUGGAAUGAGACCAUUACACAAGUAAAAGAGAAUUAUAUUACUCAUAAAACUAGUAAAGAUUAGGUCUAUAGUAUGUUGGUAGAUUAAAAUGUAUGGUAAGAAGGUAGCAGCAAAUCUAACUUUAGAUCACAAAAAAGGAUCUUUGGUAUCCAACAUAUGUCACAUUUCCUUCUAUUUGGGCAAAGUUAAUACGUUUAACAGUCUCAAAGCCAUCAAGCAAUGACUACUCCUAUUGGGAAGCAAAGAACAUUAUCUUUCAGAACUUCAGAUCAAAUAGAUGGCCAAUGUUAGAGUUCAACAAGGAAAUAAGAACCAAAAGUCUACAAUAGCGAUCUAUGCCAACAUAGGGAUAUCAGAUGACUCGAUCACACUUGGAAGACAAAUCAUAUUAAUUCCUGGUACAUUCAAAGCUAGUUGUCACGGACAAAAUGUUUCCCGCUGACUUCUCCUUGACAGUGGCCCAACUCUGCUAGCGAAACGGGUUGAAAAUGGAUUGAAUCGGAUUGUCAAGGAGACCCAAAUCCAAACCGCUGUGGGGAGACAAAGGGUUUUGUAGUUCUCCCAUCAAUGAUGAAAACUCAAAGGGUUAUGAAACUCUCAUGAGUUAUGGAGUGACUUUUGGGCUUAUGGCUCAUUAUGAGGGUGAGUUAAUGUAUCUCAUAAUGAGAGAGUUAGUGUGUGUCUAGGUUCAUUGUAUCUAGGAGCAUAUAAGUAGUGGGGUUUGGCUAAGGUCAAAACACACAAGAGAGAGUGUGUAUAUGAGUUGUAAUUCUCAUUUUCUAAGUAGUGUAGUACUUAGCUUUUUGAGAGAACCUCUGCCUUUUUCUCUUGCGUCAUUCUCUUUGCAUACUUAGUCGUAGGACGCGAAGGUUCGGACUAGCAAUAA
RNAcentral lists this long non-coding RNA (174163 nucleotides) under Ananas comosus (pineapple). RNAcentral describes it as "long non-coding RNA (ACOM_LNC013504)". The record is from RNAcentral. Lineage: Eukaryota; Viridiplantae; Streptophyta; Magnoliopsida; Poales; Bromeliaceae.